GUUUGAGGAUCAGGUAAAUUAAGCAUCAAUUUCUUUACCUCAUAUUGUAAUCCGUAGAGAAAUUGACUCACAAGUGCGGCAUCAUCCCACUUGAUAUCAGUUGCAAGUUGUCGAAAUUGCGAAGCAUAUAAUGUUACUGAUCGAUUGCUUUGUCACAAAAUACGGAUCUUAUUGGUUGCAACACGAAUUGCAUCAUGUUCUCCAAACAUGGAUCGAAACUCCGCCAAAAAAGCCUCCAGAUUAUCCAAUAUUGGAUCUCGUCGUUCAAGAAAAGAUGAAAACCAUGACAAUGCUGAACCUGAAAGAAGUGUACCAAUGAAUCUUACUUGUGACCCUGGAGUUGGAUAGCUCUGGGGUUGAAGUUCAAUCACUAGUUGGACCUGAUUGAUGAAUCCUCGAAACUUGGAUCUGGUACCAUCAAACUUCUCGGGCAAGGCAACUCUCGGUUCUCUAACACUCGAAGGGUGUUCCAUUCUGGGAGAAGGGACAUGGUUUGGUGCAGAUGUUGAAGCAGCCCCAAUCAUCUCUAUAUCUUCACUUCCUACCAUUCUUGUUGCUUCUUGUGGUGGUAAAUUGAGUUGAUGCAUCGCAAGCAUUAACUCCCUCAAUUGUUCUUGCAUCUGUGCCAUUGCACUCUUCAUUUCAACAAGCUCUGCCAUAGUAGCACUUAGAAAAGAGAAGAUGUCUAACAACGCUCAAAACAAAUAGAAGAGAGGAAUUGAUAACAAAGAAAAUACUAAGAACAAUAUCAGUUUAAAAGAGGGUAAUCCGCAACUUCUAAUGCGCUUAUGUCUUAUCAAGAAAAAGGGGUAAUCCACUCUUAAUCAAGAAAAGACAAAGCUCUGAUAUUGUAAGUGUACUCUUGUCAAUCUGUCAAGGACAAGAACUCGAUGAAAGCUAAAGAGUAAGUAAGACUUUUCUCAAAAAGAAAUAGGACAAAAUAGAAAUAUGUAUAUUAAGAAAGAAACUGGAAUGGCUAUUGCCAAAAUACAAGAAAACUAGAGACCCUUGAAACUAGACUAGAAGCAAGAAAGGAGUUGACAAGAGUGAAGAGGGCUUCACUCUUGCCUCUAUAUAUACUAUCUAACUAGAAGCCACGUGGCGAUGUUCUAUAAGACCUCCAAUAUAUGUUGACUUUCUAGGCCACAUGCCUUUGCUUGCAAGGCAAGUUUUCUAUGGAUGGACCACGUAGUUAGCUUGUUCUUUAAGCUUCCAACAUGUGUGGCACAUGGCUAACUUAUUGACCAAGUUUCUAACCUAAAAGUCAACUAUAGACUCCUAUAAAGUCAAAGCAGCGUCUAUGAAGCUUCUAAGAAGCUUCCCUAGAAGAUAUUACACAAUUAACCUACUUUUAUCUACUUUUAUAUACUUUUAUCUAUUCAUAUAGGUAAUUAUAUGUAUGUCCGUGACAGAUCUACGACAAGAAAUUUCUUGCAAUCAUGGAUUCUUUUGAAGAAUGGCAUCAUUAUUUAGAAGGCGCUUCAAGUCCAAUCAUCAUAUAUAUAUGGAUCACUAGAAUCUCAAGUAUUUCAUAUUAGCAUGUAUUUUGAAUCAUUACCAAGCUUGUUGGAGCAUGUCUUUGUCAAGAUUUGAGUUUAAUAUCACUUAUCAGCCAAAAAAUAAUAAAAUUUGUUUGAUGCUCUUUUUAAACAUUCUUAUUUUAUACCAAAAGAAAAAAAAAAGUAACUUUUGACCAACAAAAGAUAAUUUUACUAAAGCUAAAAUAAUUUCAUCUCCGAGCAAUGAAAUCAACAUUGAUUGUUGAUUUGACUAUUCUCAAGCAGAUCCAAGCUAGUAUAUCCCUAGACCUUCUUGUUUAUGAUAUUAAAAAUAAUUCUUCUAAGUCUCAAGAUACUUCUAAGUUUGAGUUUAAAGAGAAUCUACUCUAUUUUGAAAGAUGCUUAUAUGUUCCAAAAGGAGAAGUACAAUUACGUACUCUUGAAGCUCGUCAUAAUUUUCCUACAACAUGAUAUUUUGGAUAUAAUAAGAAUUUAGAGCUUAUAUUCAGAGAUUUUUGGUAGCCUCAAAUAUAAAAGGCUGUUAAAAAAUUUGUGUAGAUAUGUGAUAUUUGUUUAAGAUCAAAAACUCCUUGUCAUCGACCUUAUGUACUCUUCCAACCAUUAUCUAUACCAAAACAACCAUGGUCUUUUGUCUCUAUGGAUUACAUAUUAGAUCUUUUAAUUUCAAGUUCAUAUGAUUCUAUAUUUGAGAUUGUAGAUCAUUUCACCAAGAUGGCACAUUUUGUACUAUGUGCAAAAUCCAUCACAUGUGAAGGAACAGCUAAACUCUUCUUUAACAAUAUCUAUCACUAUCAUGGAUUACUAAGUAAUAUUAUAUCAAACAAAAGAAUAUAGUUUUUAUUGAGAUUUUGGAGAACUCUUUUGAAGAUAUUGAAGGUGGAUGUAAAACUAUCUUUGACUUUUCACCUUCAAACUGAUAGACAAAUAGAAUAGGUAAAAUAAGUUUUAGAAUAGUAUUUGAAGUAUACCAUCAACUAUCAACAAGAUGAUUGAACAACUCUUUUGCUAUUGGCAGAGUUUGCUUAUAAUAAUUUUAUACAUUCUUCUACUCAACAAACACCUUUCUUUGCCAAUUAUGAUUAUCAUCGAUAAUUUGAUACUUUUGAUUUUUUAAAAGUUAAUAAUCUUACAGUAGAAGAUAUGGCAAAUCGAUUAUCAAAGCUACAUGCAACAAUAAAGGUAUAAUUAAAAGAAGCUCAAGAAUGACAAAAAACCAAUGCAGAUGUCUAUUGUAAGGAACAACCUCAAUUCUAUGUGGAAGAUAAGAUAUGGUUACUUUGUCAUAAUAUAAAAACUAUUUGUCCUUAAAAAAAAGUUAGAUUAUUGUAGGCUUGAACUAUUUUUUAUUUGUAAAUAGAUCAAUCCAGUUGCUUAUCAAUUACACCUACCAAAGUCUAUGAAAAUCCGUCAUGUGUUCCAUGUGUCUUUACUUGAGCCAUACAAGACAAUGGAUAUACAAGGAAGAAGACAAAUGCCACCACCUCAUAUAAAAGUAGAGAAUAAUAAAGAAUUUGAAGUGGAAGAAGUCUUAGAUUCAAGGCAAUGCCAAAAUAGGUUAGAGUAUCUAGUACAUUGGUAUGGAUAUAAUAUAAAUGAACACACAUGGAAGCCAUCUAGGAAUCUAGCAAAUAUAUUAGCCAAAAUUAAAGCUUUUCAUCAAUGACAUCUAUCAAAAUCAAGAUGAAGAAUUAAGAAAUUCUUUGCUAUAAAGCAAAGCAAGUCCAAUGGAGAUUUCAUUCUAUCUUGUAUCAUUAUUUCUUUGGAUUUUUAGUACUUAUGAGAUGGAGAAUCACCAAUUAGCAAAUUCAACUCAAGGGCUAUCAUUUCUUGAGCUAUCAAACAAGACGUUGCAAUUAUCACAACCUUCGAGAUAGCAAAAUUGAGAUGAAGAUCUUGAAAAAUGACAUAUUUUUCUUCGAAUUGAUGGCGAGAUACAACAUGUUUGGUACUAUGAUUUGGGAAGGGAUUCUCGAUAUUUAGUGAUACUUUUAGAAGUAAGAAGUACUCUUCAUGGUAUUACUAAUGUUUUGUUUGAAAAAAGUUAUGAAGGCCUUAAUAAUGAUCAAAUAUUAGGGUGGUCUUUUCUCUUUGAUAUGGGACAUUAUUGAUGGCUGAGGGAACCUAUCAACUAUCUUUGAAGGAAACAAAGAUCAGAGUAUGUGGCAAAUAUAAUUUGGUACAUCUUGGACUUUAUCAACAUGUAAUUACCACUCCUUGUGGAAUUCGUCCCAAGAAGGGGGAGAUAAUGUCAUGGACAUAUAUAUUUAUUUUAAUAAUUAUCUAGAUAAUAAGAAUAGGUAGAAGUAAGUCAAAGUAAAUAAAUAUAAUAAUAUCUUAGAAAGCUUCUUAGAAGCUUCAUAGAUGCUACUUUACUUUCAUACAUGUCUAUAGGUGAUUGAUAGGUUGAAAACUUGGCUAAUAAGAGGCUACAUAUUGACAUGUUGACCACUUGUAGUACAAAUUGAACAUAUGGAGUAUACCUAAGAAACUUGCCUUGCAAAUUAGACAUGUAUCCUGUAAGUUGGACGCAUAUUAGAGGUCUUAUAGCAUGUCAUUAUAUAGUUUUUAAUUAAGUAGUAUAUAUAGAGGUAAGAGUGAGGCCUUAGUCACUCUUGUCAACUCCUUUCUUGCUUUUAGUCUAGUUUCAAGAAUCUUGUGUUUUCUAGUCUUUAACAAUAACCAUUCUAGUUCUUCUUAGAAUAUACAUACUUUCUUCUAUUUUGUCACUUUUUUUUUGAUACAGAUUCGACCAGUUUAUGUAUCUUCUUUCAGUUUGUAUCCUUGACAAUAUUAUAGAUAGAAUGAAAUAUUAUCUAAUUUAUUGGAGUAUACUAGUCACAAGAAAUGAUAUAUCACAUAAUAUGGUUUUAUUUCAUUGACUAUAGACAAAAUUUAUGACUUAACACUCAAAUAAAAAUACAAUUCAUGCCUCUAAAGGCACAAGAGUAUGUCAAGUAAUUCCAACAACAAUAGUGUACAAAUGGGAUAAUGACAAUAUCGCUAAUAAAUAAGUUGGUAUAAAAAUUAGUUAGAUCUAAAAAUAAUUUUUUUUACUAAUUUUUGAUAUAUAAUAUAUCUUAAUUAAAAUUGAUUUGAGCUUAUUUAAAUUAAUCCUUUUAUUUCAAUAGAAAAUAAUUUCUAUUUGUAUUAAAAAAAAUAAAACAAAAAAUAAUAAUAAAUAAAAUAAAAUAAAAUAAAAUAAUCUGGCUAUAAGUUGGCAAUGGCUAAUUAUAUGCCUCAACUUGAUUGUACAACCUUGUUACUUAUGCUUGCCUACCAAGUCCAUUGAAAGGUCACAUAUUAACUUGACACAUGCUUUAUCUUAUUUACUAUCUUGUAGGAUUAUUCUUAAUAUUGCACAUAAAAUAUUAUGUAAUAUUUUGGCUAUUUUUUAGAUAUCUUUAAAAUAAGGGUUUCUUUAAAAUAUACAAUUUUAUAAAAUUGGCUCAUAAGAGAUUGCUACUGCAAUGAUAGAAAUUGGUUGAAAUUUGACAUCACUCGAGGCAACUUGAAAGAAAUAUUUUUCAAGCUUCUGUGCAAGUUGGAGUAGCACAUGUAGGUAUUAUAUAGCCUCUUGGACAAAACAAAGAAUGUCUCCAACAAGAGAGAAAGAUGCAGAAAGAUUUCAGAGACAAGAUUGUUGCUUGUUGGAAAUAUUAUAUGUAAUAAUAUGAUCAAUGUUACACAAUAUAUUGUAUGUACAAUAGUGAUACCAAGAGUGAUAACUCUUGGUGUAAGGUCAAUACUUAGUAGAUUGUAUUCUAUAUAAGAGACUAAUAUAUGAUAUGGAAUAAUUCUUCCAAUACUCCUGUUAGGACACUAAUACUCAUCUUCAAAUUCAUCUAUUUUUAAAAUGAAUAUGUAAGAAAAAUAUAAGAGUUUAAUCUCCUAUUUGGUAUUGCAAUAUUGGAGAGCUUUCUUAUAGUUCUUCCAUUGCUUCUUCAAUUUUGAGAAGAUGUAUGAUUUCUUUUAUUGAUUUAAGUUUGUUUCUUGCUUCUUAUUCAUUAUUUAUAAUUUUUUUUAUUUUAUUUCUUGUUUUGUUGUUGAAAGAAGCAUUGCAAAUACAAGCACAAUAAUAGGCUUCAAAGUAGAUAUCUAUAUGGGAUUGGUUAUAGAUGCAAUCACUUCAACAGCAAGCUUUGUAGGAAGCUUUGCUGUGAGCUUUACAACAAGCAUUAUUGUAGCGACUACGAUAUGCCUUACUUUUUUUUUCUCCUAUCAGUUUGGAUAGAUAGGUUUUUUUGUAUGAUGAUAUUUCAUGGAUUUGAAGUAAGUUAUCUUACUAGAUUGUCUUUCAGUCUAUAAUGUAUUAAAAUAUGGAUGUUGUGUAAGGUCUUAUUAUUUUGAGUAGACUAAUAAGGCUUGAAUGAUUGUAAAAUAAUUUAUUUAUUCUAUAUUUAGAAAAUUUUGAUAUAUGCCUAAUUAAAAUAGAUAUGUAUUUAAAAAGAAAUUUUAUAAAUACAUCUAUUGUUAUAUAUAUCGUUUGUACAUAUUGUAAUUUGAUUUUCUUUGCAAGGAUCUUUUCUCUAGUGAAAUGAUAUUUUAUAUGCACAUAAUUGCUUUUGAAAUGAUAUUUGAGAUUUUUACUAAGAGCAAUGGUACUUUGACUAUUUGAAUAUAUAGUGGUUGGUUCAUGUUGACGAAAUCCAAGUUUACGUAAUAACUUUCUUAACUAUAUGGCUUUAACUAUUAUUUUUAUUAAAGCCAUAUAUUUUGAUUUUGUGGAUAAUAAAGUAACAAAUUUUUAUUCCUUGUUGCUUCAAAAGAUAAUUCUUUUAUCUAGUAAGAUAUAAAAUUCAAAGGUGGAGUAAUGGAUGUUGUUAUCACCUAUCUAAUCAAUAUCAAAAUAACCAUGUAGAAUAUCACCCGUAGAUAAAUAUUGAUAUUUUAAUUCAAAAUUUAAUAUACUUUUUAUAUAUUUCAUAGUUCUUUUUAAAGUUAAAUUAUAUAUAUAUAUAUAUAUAUAUAUAUAUAUAUAUAUAUAUAUACAAAUAUUAAUUUAGAGAGAUAUUAUGUUAAACUGUUGAUAGCAUAAAUACAAUCUAGUCUAAAAUUAAUAAUGGCAUGUACUAAACUACCAACAACUUGAAAAUAUAGAUAAACUUGUGAAGUAAUAUGGUCUUUAUUAUUUAAAAAAAUUAUUACUUGAAUUGGGGUAUAUAAUAAAUUAAAAUUUAAUAUAUUGAAUUUAUUAAGUUUAUUUUUUAAAUAUUUUGCUUGAUGGAAGAUUAUCCAUCUUUCAUCUCUAUUUCUUAAUAUAGCAUUGCUAAGAGUGUAAUGGAUUUUCUUUCAUCUAACAUGUCAAAUUUUUGUCAUAGAAUGUCUUUUACUUGCUAAAUUAAAAAAAUCUUAUUGCUGAUAAUGACAUAGUCAUCAACAUAUAAUAUGAUUAUAAUAAAAUCCUUAUCAUUUUUUUCUUUUGAUGUAUAUAUUUGCAUCUGAUUUUAAAUGUUGAUAUUUGUGAAGAAUUAAGUAUUGAUCUACUUUUGAUAUCAUGCUUUAGAUGAUUGUUUAAGUUUAUAUAAGUAUUUAUUUAACUUACAUAACUUCUUAAUAUGUAUAUGAGGUAAUUCUUUAAGAAUAGUCAUAUAGAUGUUUUCUUCUAUAAAACCAUUUAAAAAUAUUGUUUUAACAUUUAGUUAAUGUAUUUCUAUAUUAUAUUAAUUAGCUAAACAAAGAAGAACUUUGAUGGAAUUAAGUUUGAGUACAAGAGAGUAUGUCUCCAUGUAAUCGAUACCUUGAACUUGGGUGAAACAUCUAGCAACUAGCCUUGUAUUACAUUUGUCAAUAUUUCUAUCAAUUUUAGUUUUUAUUUUGAAAAUCUACUUUGAAUUGUUUGAUUUUUUUAUUAAGAGUUAAAUUUGUCAUUUUCUAUAUAUUUUUCUUAUAUAAGGAUGUAAUUAUAACAUUAAUUUCUUUUUGUUAUUCUUGAGCAUCACCCCUUUCUAUUGUUUCUUGAAUAGAGUUUAAAACUAUAUUGGUAAAAACAAGGUGGUCUUUGUGAUGUCAAUUAUAAUCGCAUGUAUAUUCUUUUUUUCUUGGUAUAGACUCAAAAACUCUUGUAGUUGGUUUAAUAAUUCUUAUUAGUUGAAAACUAGAAGGAAGACUUAAAUCUUGCAAUGUAGAAUGGACUUCAUCAUGUUCAAGAGGUAAUAUUUCUUCAUCAUUUGGUAAUGAUAGUUGAAAGAAGGCUUCAAUGACAUCAAUGUGAGAAGGAGGUUGUUCUCUUAUAUUUUGAAAAAUACUCUAUAUUUGUUGUUGAUCAAAUACAUAUGUUUCUUAUAGUAGUGGCAUUGAUGGUGAAGAUAUUCCUUGAACAUGAGGUAUUUUUUGAUCAUUGGACCUUAUAUUUGUUGAAAGGUGCUUCAAUAAUUCUAAGUCUAUUAAGAGCUCUUCAUUUUUCUUUUUGUAAGUAUGUUGUUUUUUUUUUGUUAUGUAGAUGUUUAUUACAGAAAACAUCUCUUGAAAAGAGAAUUUUUUGAUUUUGUGUAUUUCUUAGUCUAUCAGCUUUAGAUUCUUUAUUAUAGCCUAGAAUGAUAACCUCUUGUGAAUGAGAGUCUAAUUCCUUUCUUAUUUCUUUAAAAAUGAAUACAUGAAAUUUGCAACCAAAUAUUUUAAGAUAGGAUAAAUUUAGUUAUUUUUUAUACUAUAAUUCAAAUGGUAUUUUAGUACCUUAUAUAGAUUUUAUAGGGCUUCUAUUUUCGAGGUAAUUAGCUAUUUGAGAUACUUUACUUUAAAAAAAUUUAAGAUAACAUUGCAAGAACUAUUCAAAGUUUAAAUAGGAUAGCAUUACAAAAAUUGUUUCUAUUAAUAUUUUAUUUUUUUCUCAAAAACAUCAUUUCAUUGUGGUAUAUAAGUUUUAAUACAUUCUUAUUUGAUUUUUUCUUUGUUAUAUAAACCUUUAAAUUUAUUUUAUUUAUAUUUAUUUUAAUAAUUAAAUCUUAAGAUUUUAAUUUUGUUUUUUUACAUAUUUUUUGUAUAAGGUGAAUUUUUCAAAUGCUUAAAAUUUGUAUUUCAUCCAAUACUUAUGGAAAUAUCUUAUUAGAUCAUCAAUAAAUGUAAUGAAGUAAGAACAUCUUCAAUGUGUGCCUACUUACAUAGAACUACAAAUAUUAUAAUGUACAAGUUCUAACAAUUGGAUAGCUUAUUGUGCACCUUAUAUAGAAAACCUCUCUUUAUGUUAUUUAUCUUCUAUACAAGGUUGACAUAAGAUUUUUUUUUUUCAUUAAAAUGGUCAAUUUCUUUUUUCAUUAUUUAUAUUUCUUUGAGUCUUUGUAGAUUUAUGUAUCUUAGUCUAAGAUGCCACAAAUCAAUUUUGUUUAAUUAUAUUAUUGCUGGAAUAGCAAUUUGAAGCUUAUUUAAAAAGAUUGUUAUACCUAAUUUAUAUAAAUCAGGCUUUAAUUUGUAUACUGCAAGGAUUUGAUCAAAUUUAUUUAUAAAUAUAGUUAUUUGAGCUCUUAUACAAAUUUUUAGUCUUGUUUUAUCUAAUUGUUUAGCAAAGAACAAAUUCUUUACAAAUCCUAGUAUAUAUAAUACAUCAAGUAUGAUCUUCUCAUCGCCAUUUGUAAGUUUGAUAUGUACAUCACCAAGUCUUUCUAUUAUAUAUGAUGUAGUAUUGUCUCCUAAGUAGACAACUUAUUUGUCUUUAUUUUUUAUGUAUUUGACAAAUCCUUCUAAUUCAUGACACAUAUGUUAAGUUGCUCCCGAGUCCACAUACCACAUUGAAUUUGAGAUUUCUUUAAUUAUGAAUGCUGCCACAUAUAAUUUAUUUAAUUUUGUAACAACAUUUGUUUUUUUUUAUUAUUAUAAAUUUUAGUUUUUAUUAUUGUUUUGCAAUCUUUGAAUAAAUGAUCUAUUUUCUAGCAAAAAAAGUACUUCUUAUCAAUAGCAAAAUUGCUCUUUUUAUAUGGCUUAGAAGUAUUACUCUUUACUUAUGAAUUCUUUUUGAAAUCCUUAUUUAUAUAAGAUUUCUUGUUGUUAUUUUCAAAUUUUAAAUAGUUAAAAAAAUCUUAAAUAGUUAAAAAAAUCUCUAAACUUAAUAUUUUAUAAUUAAAUGAUUUAAAAUUAUAUUUUUAGUCAAUCUACUAAUUAAGAUUCAUUGAUAGAAUUCAUAAUAAAGCACAUAAUUGAUCAUGGCCUAAUAAGUAGAAUUUCUAAAAUAAAAAUCAAUAUUUAAGAAAAAAAUAAAAAUAAUUUUUAAAAAAUCUAUUUUUCUUUUCAAAAAUAUCUUAAUAAUCUUCAUAUUAGCUUAGAAUUCCAUUUAAAGUCUUUUUACUAUUAAAAAUAUAUAUUGUAUGAAUAAAAAAAAUUAAUAAUUUUUAAUAAUAUGCAUGAAAGUUCUUGUAUCUAUAAAUAAAGAUUUGAUUACAUUAAACUUAUGACUUUCUACUUGAUUAACAAAAAUCUUAGUUAUGCUUUGAAAAAAAUUAAGACUAUAAGAAAUCCAAUUUAUUUAAAGAUUAUACCUUUUCAACUAGAAUAAACUUAAAAAGACUAAAAAAAAUAGAUUUACAAUUAUAUAAAAUAUUAUAAAGCUAUUAUGACUAUUUAUUAUUAUAUUUAUAAGAAAGAUUUCAUGGAUAAUAUUUUUAAAAGACAAUGGAUAAUCAUCUUAAUUUCUAUAUGUACAUUUUUAGUUUUUUUUAUUUAAAAUAUUCUAUAUCUUUUAAUAAAUCCUUUAACUGAGAUAUAAAUUGAUGCUUUUGAAUCUAGCAAAGUAAAAACUUGUAUUUUUUAGGUUAUAAACAAACAUUUAUUGUAAAACAAAGAGAGGAUUUUGAGAAGAAAAUAAGACCUUCACUGUGUAUAGUAUAAGUUUUUAACCUCAUGAUUUCUAUUUUAAUUAGACAAACAUAUUUUUUUAACAUAUUAUCUUUUUUAAUAGCCAUAUUCGUCAUUUUAUAGUUACAUUAUUUUUUUAGAUAAUGUUGAACAUUGUGCUUAGGUUUUCCAUAAUAUAAGCAUAAUCAUUCUUAAUAAUAAUAAGUUUUUUCUUGCUUAAUAAGAUUUUUAAAAUAUAUUGCAUCAAUUUUUAUAAUAUCGUAAUUCAUAAAAAAAUUGGUUGAUGAAUAUAAUACUAUUUUAUUUGAUAUCAAUUAUAAGUUGUUAAAAUUAUGAAGCAUAUACUAUUACUGAUCAAUUUUUUGUUGCAAAAUACAAAUCUUGUUAAUUACAAUAUAAGUUAUAUCAUAUUUUCCAUAUAUGGCUUGAAACUUUAUUAAAAAAAAAUUCUAAAAUAUCCAAUAUUAGAAUACGUUAUUCAAAAAAAGAUAGAAAUCAUAAAAAAACAUAAUUUAAAGUAAGUGUUUUACUAAACCUUACUUGUAAUCUUGAAGUUAAAUAGCUUUGAGGUUGAAGUUCAAUCACUAAUUGUACAUGCUUGAUGAAUCUUCAAAAUUUAGAUUUUGUACCAUCAAACUUCUCAAGCAAGGCAAUUUUUUUUCUCUAAUGCUUGAAAAAUAUUCUAUUAUAGAAAAUAUAAUAAAAUUUAGUAUAGAUAUUGAAGAAAUAAUAAUCAUCUUUAUGUCUUUACUUCUUACCAAUUUUGAUACUCUUUUUGGUGAUAAAUUGAAUUAAUACAUUGCAAGCAUUAAUUCCUCAUUUGCUCUUGUAUUUGUGCCAUUAUACAUUUCAUUUUAACAUGCUUUAUAAUAAUACAACAAAAAAAAGAUAUAUAAUGUUACCUAUGACAAAUAGAAAAAAAGAUUGAAGAAUAAAGAAACUUUUAAAAAUAAUAUUAAUAUAGAAGUAGAUAAUCUAAAAUUUUUAUUUUCCUUAUGUCUUAUCGAAAAAAAGAAUAAUCUAUUUUUAAUGAAGAAUAGAUAAAGCUCUAAUAUUAUAUGUAUAUUAUUGUCAAUUUGUCAAUAACAAUAAUUUUAAGAAUGUAAAUAACCAAGUGAAAUGUUUUUUAAAUAAAAAUAAUAAAAUAAUAAUAAUAAUAAUAAUAAUAAUAAUAAUAAUAAUAAUAAUAUUCAAGAAGAAAGUAAAAUGGCUAUUGAUAAAGAUUGAGAAUUUAAAAACCCUUGAAACUAGAUUAGAAGUAAAAAAAAUGAAUUGAUAAAAGUGAAAAGGCCUUCAUUUUUUUCAAUAUAUACUAUUUAACUAAGAGCUAUAUAGAGAUAUUCUAAAGGACUUCUAACACAUGUCCAACUUGUAGAACACAUAUCUAAUUUGCAAGACAAGUUUUUUAUAUAUGUGUCACAUAUUCAACUUGUAUUACAAAUAUCAAGGACAUGAAUUAUAAAGAAUCAAAUGAUCAAUAUACUCAUGUGUUACUAAAAAAGAAUAGAUAAUCAUUCAAAGAUGGUAUAGUAUUAAACUAAAAUAGCUAUUACCUAAGACAAAAAAACUAAAUAUUUAUUGAAAUAACACUAAGGACAGAAUGAUAUUGAUAAGAAUAAAAAAGGCUUUAUUCUUGCCUCUAUAUAUACUAUAUAAUUAGGAGCCAUGUUGUAACAUUUUAUGGAAUUUCUAACAUACAUCCAAUUUGCAAGAUAUAUAUUUAGCUUUUAAGAUAAGUUUCCUACAUAUAUGCUAUAUGACCAACUUAUAUCACAAAUUACCAACAUGUACAAUACAUAGCCAACUUUUUGACUAAGUUUUCAACCUAUCAAUUAAGUACGAAUACAUAUAUAGGUAAAUUUUCAUUUACAAAGCUUCUAAGAAGCUAUUCUAUAAGUUAUUAUUAAAUCUUUCUACAUUUAAUUUUUAUCUAAUACUUUUUUAUCUAAAUAAUUAUAUAUAUUUGUAACAACAAGUGACAAAUAUGUGGAAUAAAUGGCUAACUUGUUGGAUAAUUUUUUAACCUAUGAAUUACUUACAAAUACAUAUAAAGAUAAAUCUAUAUGUAAUAAGUUUUUUUAUAUAAUUUUAUUAAAAUUACUUAUUUUUAUUUACUUCUAUUUAGUCAUAUAAUUUAAAUAAUUACUAAAAUAAAUAUGUAUGUUUUUUAUUGUGUACUAAUAUGGCCAUUAGAUAAAAGAAUAAAAGAAAUAUUUUACUAUAAAAGAGCUUAAAUGAAAAUAUUUUAAUAAAUUAUCUCUAAAAUAUAGAUAAUAUAAAAGAAUAUAGUAAAAAUUAGUAAGUGAUAAUAUUAUUUUUUUAUAGAAGAGACUUAUAUUCACUUUUUAGGAGCAUAAAUGAAUCAAAUCAAAUUAAAUAAGAUAUAUAAUUAAUAUAAGUAUCUUUAGGAAGAAAUUGAGAAUAUAUUUUUAAAAAAAUUAUCUCAAAAUACCAAGAAUUGAUAUCCAAAGAGGACCAAUUGUGAAUCAAGCUUGAAAUCAGACCUUGAGGUACAAAACCACAUACCUGUAGUGAUUCUAGAGUUCUUUUGUCAAUUGGAGAAUGGAGUUUGAAAACAAACUUGUGGAAGAAUUUUUGAGAGUUGAUUUCAUAUGGUUUGAGGGUAUAUUGAGGUUUUGAGAGCUUUUCAAGUAAGAAAUUUAUUUUGUGGAUUUGGAUUUUAAAAAAUUAAAGGAAGUUCACAAGUUUAAUGAUUUUGUGAAUGUCAUAGCAUAUUUAUAAGUAAAAACUUGUCAGUUGGUCCAUAUGCUUCUUAUAAAUGUGUAAAAAAAUUUACUUUAACUAAGCAAUUAGAUUGAAGGUUAUGAGAAUUUUUAUGGAUUAAGGUCUCAGAUAUUUAAAAUUUAGGAUUAGUGAGGAUUUUUGAAAUCUUACAACAUCCAUUAGUUUUAUUGAAGCAAAAAUUGGUGAAAGCAAUUUAGACUUCAAUAUCUAUAUACUAGCCAAAUUGUGGAGCAAUUAAAUAGUUCAACAAGGAAAAAACUUUAUAGAGAGAUCAACAUUCAAAUUGAAGAAAGAGGGCGGCCAACAUCUUAAAGGUUUUGAGAGCUUUCUUUCAAUUGAUAAGUUCGAUUCUUCUCAAAUUUUGUAUACUUAUAAAUUUCUUGUAGAUUAAAUUUUCGAUGAAAUUUUAGUCAAGAUCAAUAGUUCAAUUAAUAUUUAUUGAAGUUUCAAAAUAACUAUAAUAAUUAAUUAAAAUUUAUUUAAGUUUUGAUCAAGAUUUAGAAUUUCAUUAAGAUUUGGUUAGGAUUUGAUAAUAAUAUGGUCUAAGAUUUGGUAAAAAUUUAAUAUUUAAUUAAAAUUUGACUAAGAUUUAAUUAGGAUUUAGUUAAGAUUUAAGAUUUAAUUAGAAUUUUAUGAGGAUUUUUUAAGAUUUGAUUAGGAUUUUUUAGGAAUUAUUGAGAAUUAUAUUAGGAUUUAAUUAGGAUUUCUAUUUUUAAUAUUUUUUUAAGAUUUCUUUGAUAAUUUUUUAGGAUUUUUUUAUUAUAUAUAUUCUUUUAAGAUUAUUUUAUGAUUUUUUUAUGGCAUUUUUGUAAGUUCUUUGAAACUUCUUUUGAAAUUUUAUUAAUGAUUAAUUAGCAUAAUUAUAAUUUAAUUAAUUUUUUUUAGGAUUCUAUUAGAGUUGUUAGAAUCUUCUUGCUACAAGUUCCAUUUUACCUUCUACAGCCAAGUGUUCAAUGCAUUCUCAAGCAAACUUCACAAAAUACGACAUUGUGAUAAUAUGAGAGAUUUUCAAUGAAUUCUUUGUCUCUUUUUCUUUUCUUUAAACCAAAAAAUGAAUGCAUUUUGAAUUUAUUUCUAAGUAAUAAAUUAUCUAAUUGAAUAUUAAGGAUAAUACUUGAUUUUUUUAUUUAUUUUAUAAUGUAAUUAGAAAGAGCCAACUAUUCAUUUUUUGUUCAUUUUUUUGGCUUAAUAGAUAUUAUUAAUUUCUUAUAUAUAGAUGUUUGGAUCACCUUUGUCUUUAAACUAAGAUAAAAACAACUUUUGUAUAUUUAAUUGUAAGUAUUUUGUUUAUUGACGUAUAUUGUUGUAAAAAUAUAAGAGUACUUGCAUGUAAAGUUGUGAAAGAUCUUGGUCAAAUAAAAUAUUUAGUUCUUGAUUUAUCUCUUUAAAAUCUUUUGAUUCUAAAGAGUCUUAUUCCUAAUCCUAUAUUUUAGGCGUUUCUUUUUUUAUUACAAGUUUUUCUUGCUUAUUGUUGUUAUCUAAUUGGCUAUAGCUUUUGGUUGGUUAUAUGUUAAUUGUUGUUGGUGUAAAUUCACCUAAUGGUUGUUUAGUUGCUUAUUGAUUGUUUGUACAUAUUAUUUCUACUUUAUUUGUGCUUGUAGUAAUCAACAAUCAAAAUAUACAGCAUGAAAUUAUGAAGUUAUGAAGUUAGAAGAAAUUUUAAAGAUUAUCAAAUGAACAUGUGCUGUGCAUUAAUUUAAUUAAUUUUGUAAUUAAAAAUCAUCGAUAAAUGUAGUAUUCAGAAGAUUAUGUAAGCAAUAAAAAAAAUAUAUAUCAUAAAAUUUAAAUAAAGAUAUAAAUAUUUGAAAAGAUAUCUUAAUGGAUUUCUUUAUCAAAGAUUGUUGAGUAACUUUCUACUAAAAAACAUACAAUAGAUUUGUUUUUGUAUUGUAUUAAAUAAUGAAUUACAUAAUAAUAAUUACAUAAUCACUUAAUAUUUUUUGUGAUUAUAGUCACAAUAAUCAUGGUUUGUACAUUAUAAAUUUACCAUUCAUCUAAUGGUUUUUUUGUAUGCAUACAAGUUUGUACUAAAGUAUGUAUAUACAUUUAUUGAUAUUUUGGUUGAAAAUCUUGAUUUCAACAUAAGCAGCAGUAAAACCAAUAAAAAUAAAAAAGAGGAGUAAAUUGAAUAGGUUUGUGACAAGUAUUGCAAAUUGUCUAUGCUCAUGUACUAUUGAAAAAUAAUUUUAGUAUAUUUCUAUACGAUGUCUUGUACCCACAACUAAACCCAACUAAACCAGAUAACGAUGGACACAGGAUGAACAACGAGGAUGAAAAUAUAUUCUGUUCGCAGGUCACAGAGACCCAGAAAAAGUUUCAGGGAGCUUUAAAGGUCGCUGGCAGAGACACUGCACCCGCAACAUGCAGACGCCAAAUCCAGCCACACACACCGACUGACAGUUGCCGUCUUCUGGUUUUCACGCCACGUCCCACGGUCGGGAGUGAACUCCCCUUUCUCUCCCAUUCUAGCUGCGCCUGCACCAGAGAGAGAGAGAGAGAGAGAGAGAUAUAGAGUGAGCACCGUCGUCCUCGUUCAACGCCUGCUGUUUUUGUCGCGCUGUUGCAAGGGUGGGGUCGACUCUGGCAGCAGGUACAUCACCCUUCAUGCCUUUUCGUGCCGCUCCUCGCUUGAAAACACUACUGACUUUACCCACGUCACUUGCUUUUUGUUCAAUGAUUUUCCAUUUGGUUAAGUGGGUCGUGUUGGAGUGGUGUUGUUUGUUUGAUUGUUUCCGAAGUGCACUAGUCGAUGCUGCUAAUGGUCCAUGAGAGCUUCCUUACAGUUUUUACCACCUUGGAGUAUGUUUUCUUCAGGAUCUCCUUGAAGUAGCCCUCGUAACCCUCCAGUUUUCCAGGUGAUGGACUCGGUUUGCCAUGUUUUGAGGCUCGGUGGGAGUUGUACGCGGCUAGCCAUGGCAACAUAGACUCUUUUGCCUGGUUAGUACUGUUCUGCAAAUCUUAAUUCCAGACUGAAGAGAUUAAGGCUUUUGUGGUAGAGUGUUUUUUUUUUUUUUUUUUUUUUUUUUUUUUCACUUGCGAAUAGUUAAACCGGCACGUAAUGUGGGUUGUGAUUGGAGUCUGAUUUGAGCUUGGAGAGGUUGGUUGUCUCCGUUUCUUGUGCAUGCUCAAUCUCGCUUCAGAGUUCGUUAUGAAAACUUUCUGUGAAAGGGAUCCGUGCCAACUCUCCUUACAGUUCAUUUACUCGUACAACUAUGGCGAUGGACAGGCUUAUGACGUGUUCGUGGUAUGGUAAGUCGUGGGUGGUCUCGCAAGCUACCUCGUUAGCUAAAGAGUUUCACCAGAAUAGCCAAGGGUGAUCGGGCUUUUCAUUUCUGGAUGAAUGCUUUGUGUAGUAAGUCACAAAGCCUUUAGGAACAAGAGUGGUUUGUAGUGCACAUAUUCACCAUUGCCCAAUGUAAGCUGGGUCGAAUAUGACAAUGCAGCGGAGGUUAAUGCAACAGAAUUGUGGAGAAGCUGUUUGCCAAUCUUCUUCUGGAGUGUGAGCGUGUAAGACAGUUUUACCGGAAGAAAGUAUCGUGAGGUCGAGAAGGGAUGGCGAUGGCUACUGUGAUGGGGUGGAUACCACGACUGGCAAUUGGCGACGUAGCGAAUGUGGGUCAAUUGGCAGGCAUCAAUGCAGUGCAGCUAAUAGCCAUAAUAGUCCAGGCAGCAAACAAUGCUCGUAUGCACAAAAAGAACUGCAGGCAAUUCGCUCACCACCUGAAGCUGAUCAGCAACCUUUUGGAGCAGCUCAACAUGUCGGACCUCAAGGAUCGACCUGAGACGCGAGAGCCACUGGAGCUUUUCGAAGAAUCGCUCCGGAAAGCUGUUGUUCUUGUGGAAAAUUGUCGUAACAAGAGCUACUUGUAUCUCGUGGCCAUGGGUUGGAUGUAUGUCAACAAGUUUCGCGAUUACCAGGACGAAAUCGACAAGUACCUUCGGCUCAUUCCUCUCAUCUCCCUCGUCGAAGACAGCCGGGUAUGUAUCGUUCUUCCAUCGAACAACGCGAAAGUUUAGGUGUCGGCGUUUUCUUGUUACUCUGAUUCGUUGGGCGCACAUGGCAAACGAAACCAGCACAAGUAUUGCAGGAAAUUCUUAAGGUGGACUGUGUUUUUUAAUUAGACUUCUCAGUCCGACAUGCGAAACAAUGUCGACAAUUCUUACAGUUAGGUCUUGGACUAUGAGGACGAUAGUACAUCUUCACCACAUUGCUCGCCACAUCUGCAAAUUUAGUGAGUGAAUUGACGACACUCCUUUUGGAGGAACGCGAAUAAUUGCUUUUAAUAUCGAAACAAUCAUGACGAAGUGCCACCCCGAACACACAGUUAUUGGAGCGUGGGUUUUGCAGAAGCAUUUGAAAGCCAUAGAAAAGGACAGAAAGCCAUACACACUCGAAGUGGACGAAGUGAAGGUGCAGGAGUCACUUUUGAAACGGGACCGUUCCAAGAGUGAUUCAAACCGGCUGUCUCGCCAGCUUUCGAAGCGCUAUCCAGGUGUGCCCCUCACUGAAGCGCUGAGGAAUGAGAACGAGAUGUUGCGGCAAGAGCUCCAGCGCAUACAGGUUAGGACUUGUCCUAAUCUCAUCUUCCUCCACUAAUAGUUCAUUAAAUUUACAUACGUAUACCGAGUCUGACGCAUCUCGCAUUGGUAAUAAGUCAGCGCUCCUGAACAUCUGUUGUGGCUGAAUGGAUUAGGCAUGUAUGGAACACGAGCACGCGCUUGUGAUCGAGCAGCUCAUUGAGUUCACCGAGAACGAACCUGCAAAAUUGGAGAAGGCAGCCUCCAAAAGAUUUUUUUAAGGAGACAGCAGCGAAGAGAAAAUUCCACUGCAACCUGUUGAUACAAUAUGAUUAUUUGCGGGGCAGCAAAAGCUACUUUUGGUUUUAAUCACCGGAAGCACUCUAAUCGGAACUACAUAUCAUUUUUUAAGAUAAAAUUUUCUGGAGGCAAUCAAGUAGAGAUGACUCAUUUUCUUCAUUAGAAGUCAUUAUUUGUUGCCAGAAUUUUUUGCAAGUUUGAAGACUCGGCGUAGCUGUUUGUGGAGCAGCCAUGUGUGGAGGCUCAGCGGUGUAGAUUAUCAUGUCACAAAGCUUCCGUGGCACACAUUUAUGUUGGCGCUAUGCCUUGCUAACAUGGAAGACUAUGUAUUGUAUCAAGAAUCAAUUCGAGGAAAGUAAAAAAAGUAAGUACUUCCAAUCAACGGGCCCAUUUGAACUUUAUUGCAUUUAUAGAUAACAUUACAAUAAUACCAUUGACUUCAAACAGAGACCUACACUAUGAUGCACUCCUUAGAACGACCAAAAUAAUAAGACAUUGAAAAUUUUAUUACGUAAUCAAGAUUAGUGAACGUAGCAACCAUGAUAUGAAGGAGCAUAACUAUGUGAACAAAACAAUUUGCUUGGCGUCUCUAACUUGCUUCACACUUGAUUGCAAUCACAGUGAACAUCAAAUUUUAAAUGAACACAGUAAUUGUGCAUGGGAUUGGUUUGAGGUCCUUCAAAGUUGUCCAAUUAAGAAUUAACCAUCAAUGAAUGACUAGUAAAUACUAGUAGCCUGUACUUACCAGUUAUCCUUGGUGGAAUGAUCUAAAAUCAAAACCCACCCAUAUUAUACAUGUGAUAAGUGGAAUUCUAGCACAAUGAAAACUCAGAGGCGCAUGACAGUACUCGUGUCCUAUUUAGGGAGUAGAUAGGGUCCAUCUCCUCAGCAGAAGAGUGUUUGGCUACUAACCUUUAACGGGUACUAAAUUCCUUUCGGUUGCAGUUAUCUCCUUCAUCACUCUCUUUUAGAAAACCUUAAUAUUCUUGACGAAGGUGAAGGCAGACCACACUUAAGAAAAUGACCACAACAAGAAUGGAUUAGUAGAAACCUGGGCGAACAGAGGAAAAUGAUGUGCCUCGUCAAUAUAUAAUAGUACAAAAAUAAGAUUCGAAGUGAUUCCCAUUGAUUGACUCGUGCGACUGUACAUCCAGCUGCAAGUUGCGAUAUCUACUUAGAAACUCACAAGUUGGAAAUCUGCACAUAACUAGGUGAAUCAUAUCUUGUGAUUUCAUUCUACAGUAGUAGCUCUUGUAAGGAAAUAAAUGCCUUCUGCAGCUGUCCAGAGAUUAUCUGCGUUCUUCUUCCCCAUGCCGCACACCUGCACAUUAUUGCCACCCGUGUAGAGUGAGCACAACUUGAAAGAAAAACACUAUAUCAUGCUUGGGUACGUGAUAAACACAUCAAAUAUUAUUAUGCUACCAUAAACCACAACCAAUCACACAUACAAGCUUGCAUGAUGAUCCCUAUUUAAACACAAACUUAUACUGCUCAGAAAAUUACAAAAGCUCCAAAGACGUAAGUGUUACAGAAAGUUCCUCCUCGAUAAACAAAAUUGUGAACAGUACCUCUUGUUGACCUGAAACAAUCCGGCUAUAUUUUUUGUCAUGACUGUGAAGGUAACCAUUGGUGUCAACAUGUCGAAGCCGCACUUUCUGAUCUUGCAUCCACACCUUGCCCUUGCCCUCUAUCUCCAGCCUGGCGUACCAAUUGUGACAGGAUUCUAGUCAAACACCGUUUCACGAAGGUAUAAACAGAACUAAUCCCUGAAUGGAAUAUUUAUAUAUGUGCACACAUACACACACACACACACACACAUAUAUAUAUAUAUAUAUAUAUAUAUAUAUAUAUAUGACCAAUAGGAAGAUCGAGCGAGCGAAGACGCACCUCCAAUAAUCGCCAGUAUCAGAUUGAUCAUCUCCUCCGAAAGCGCUAACCUGAAUGCCAAAUAAUGAAUUGUAAUCCAUCAGCAAAACCUUGCAAAAUAAUUGCACAAACCUGCAUCAGAAUGCAACAAGAAACACAAACCCAAGAAUGAUAAUUCUGUCACAUGCGUCACAUUCGCAAAGCUACUCUCUUCACCAAUCUGCACAUACUACUGUCAAAAUACUUAACAAAUGAGCUUCCCAUCAGCAUGAUCCGUCAAUGGAACCACUCUGACAACAAAUAUCCAUCAAAACUGAUAGUUCCGACGAGGCAUUCAUACCUCAAGGUUGCCAGAAAUGGGAGAGGGAUGGAGAUGACUGUGAAGCCAUUUGCGGGUUCGCAUAUGCUGAAGACGAACUAUAGAGCCAUUUGGAAUGACAUCGCCCUGUUCAAUACUCUCGUCGUCUGAAGAGGGUUUUACAGCCUGUUACAUUCUCGAAAAUACGUGCUGGCUUAGAACCAAAACUGUAAUUAUGUCAAUUAAGAGACUGAUAUGUCGAGUGCGGUCAAGUCCAGACACCUUACAAUUGGAUGGAAAUCAGUUAUAAGCAAUUCUAAACAUGGUUAAUACACUCUCCUAGCACGUAAAUAUUACAUAUGCAUAUGCGGUCACCAGUAGAUACCUCCACUACUUAGAAACACCCAUUAUCCAUGCCACAAGUGCACGUCUCCGAACUGUUCUAGACUUAGGAUGACCACAAAAGAAAUUGAACUGCCACUAUAGUACAACUUUCAAAGAGUUGAUCAGACAGCGAAAGAAAAUCGAUGCAUUACGCAAUUGAGAAAGUUUUGACGAGCUAAAAUUUUAGCAUGGCAGCAAACGUGAACAUCUAGCAACAACUACAACAUUAGCCAAUGCUCAAUUGAAUUACGGGUCAUUUUCUUGUCUUGUAGUCUCCAAAAUACAUACUGCGCUCUCAAAACGUUGUUGUGGAAGAAAGAAGCAACAUGUGAGCAAGAGGAUGCAUUGUCACUCACCCAAUAGCUGUUACCGUCUUCAACGCCGGGGAAGGCAGUCACAGAUUGCUGUCCACUGCCAGAACCGUAGGGUACUUCAUGCGAAUGUAACCGAAACUUGGUACGAUCAUGCUGUAGCUUUAUCAUACUUCCAUACGUCACCUGAAAAAUGACACACACAUCCCACCAUAGCCAUCGCACUCGUCAAAGAAGCUAAGGCAUAUCGAAUAAAAACAUCCACUUCUACAUGUAAAAUUGUACUCACACACGCCUUUAUCCACUUCGUCACUGAAAACUUACGUAGGUAAUGAAUCAACAACAGAUUUACCACACCCCCUGUAGCACGCUAAGCGCCCACCUACUUUCGGCGUUAACAAGUAUCUACCAAAGUCGCAAAAUGGAACAGUCAGCAACUGCAGUUUUCAUAUUUCGCAAACAUAUUAACAGGCGAUUUAUGUUCGUCACAAGUUGGCGUGCACAAAAGAAAGUUAUAAGGACUGCAAUCAGGUCAUGCAAAUGGAUAGGUUAUACUCUAGUUUUUAUAAGACCGCCAAAUAACAACGCCCCCUGGAAUUUGACAUCCCCGUGUGUGUUAAUGAACCAGAAUCGGGAAUGCUGAUCGAGUACUGAAAAGUAAUAACUAAAUGCUGCAAGUCAUUCCCUCAGCUGCAGUGAUCAUAAAGCAGCACGUAGUGAAAUGACCAGAUUGGAAUAGAGCAAGACAGUUUCCAUUUCAAUUCCUCGCACCUCUUUACCGUUAGAAGCACCUUCGACGGAUGGAGAAAACGAGGGAUGAAGAAGAGCCAGCAAUACAACUAAUGCAAGGGAUAUCAGCGCCAUAGCCACGCACAGUUGAAGAAACCCCGCACUCUGGAAGCACCCACUCUCCGAUUUCGAUGACCUUGGCCCAGUGUUGUUCCCGUACCGCCGAGAUGCCCUUGCUUCCGCCAACUUCUUCAGCAAAAUUUCAUUCUCAACAUCAGAAUUACGUGCUCCUAUAGUGCCGCCAGUGGUUCGAAAAUGAAGGCCGGCUGGAUUUUUUGAUGACACUUCCGGAGGCAAUGCACUCCGGGGCGAUGAAGGGGCCAGUUCUGUAGCCCUUUUAGCGGCUGUAGAAGACAGUUCACCGUCAGAAGUCUGCAACGCAAUCCCGGCAAGGUUAUUAGACUGUUCGAACGCACAAAAUUAGGUCUAGAGCCAUAAGUAAGCAUUUCGGGUAAGAAAGUGGGCAGUUGUUGGGUUUGCCGUGAACGACGAACAGAGAGACAUUACAGAUGUUGAUUGAUGUUGAGCACAACGUCCGUAGAAGAGUAAGUUCUCAUUACGUUCCUGAAGCUUGGGGACAUGCAAAACAGAAUCACUUCAACGACAUCAAAAAGCACCGUAUCCGAAAAACCUAGAAAGUUACACAGUAAUCAUCUCACCAUCGCCACUUCAUGCCCAAAACCGACCAACGCAACUCAAACCCUACAGAUCGCGAGCUGCAGGAUGGACCCGCACCUUCACCAAAUUCUCCAACCCUAGACCCGAAUAGGCUACCGACCCACUUCCCUGCACUACAACCUAACGCCCCAAAUCUUCCACAACCCAAUUUAUUGACAGACAACACCAACCCACUCACCAAGAUAGUUCAAUGAAUCCUCCCUUGAAGCCCCUCGAAACUACUACUUCGGUUUUCAAGCCUGAUAUUACCAACUCAGUCUGUCGGCAAUCUACGAUAUACAAUUGUUUCAUGGUCAACGGCAGCUCAGUCAAACCCUUCAACAUUUACAAUUCAAAAGCUCUUUCUAGAAGCUGCCAUGGCAAUGGCCCAGCCUCGUUUAUCACGCAGCCCCCUACCAACUCGUAAUAUGACUGCUCCUAUUGAGAAUUUUACGAACGAUUCGCUUUAUAGACACGCAUGGAAGAAAGCUGGUCAUGUGAACUACUCGCAAUUCCAAAGGGCUUUGGUUAUCUCCAGUGUUCAGGGGUAGGCUUCAUAUGGAUGACGAAGCAGACACUGAAGGUUGAUUGGGGGCCUGCUUAAUGAACAAUUUGGUAUGAAAUUUGCGCGCAAUCAGGUUAAAAUCCAGAGCAUGCCAAUUGGAGGAGAUUUUGAUGAGGCUGUUAGUUGAGGCGACAUUGAUUUUUACGUUCAAGUGUGGGAAAGGAUUGAUGGAGAGAUUCUUGGAGAAGGAAGAAAUGGUAGUAGAAGGACUUGAGUCGAACAGGAGACCACGGUAGCCUAUCACAGGCGUCAGGAUUACGUGCAAAUUUCAAAACAAAUUGUGGUUUAUGCAACAACCAGCCAAACGAAGGAUUGCUCACAUUCAAGGAAUCGAAUCAAUACCUCAAACUUUGGUUACAGGCCUUACAUGGGAUUGCAGAAGGGCAAGAUUGUUCUAUUUUCGCUCAUUAAAAUGCUCCAUUACGAGGUGGAUGUAAUGAACAUGCACAGAACACUGCCAGUUCUUACCCUUUCAAGACCGCCUGUGAGUGAUGUUCGUCAAGAUGAGAAUCAUCUUCAAUACUAUUUAAUCGAUAGAUGCUUUUAAAUUCGCAAUGACAUGUUUCGCCGGGGAGUUGAUGUUUUUUCCACUGACAUCCUCGUCAGAUGAGAAAGCUUCAGAAGUAAUAGAAGACUACCAUUCCCUUAAACAGGUCACAGCAUUGAGCCUCUUGACUGGAAUCUUGUUAACCUUCAAGCCCAACUGCACUUCCAUCUUCCUCGAAGUUCACACUAUCACUGGGCAGUAUCAAGUAUGCCCAUGAAGCAAGCGACUAUGCCAUCGAAAAUUUCAAAGCAUCAAUGAGACUGACUUGAACUCACAGCACAUCUUAAGAGCAAGAUCAGAAUGGCUUUCAAACGCCUUGGAGACAUUGUUUAUAUUUUGAUUUAGCCUUUGUCCUGUCUCUCCGAGUAGAAGUUACGUUUGCCUCAACAGGUCUAUACAAAUGGUAGAGAGGCAUCCGCAAGUAUCGAAGUCUUCUGAGGUCUUUGCAUUGCCUCAGGAAUUCAUGGUAGCUUUCAUUAGGCUGCUGCACCAUUUACUUUUAUUUAGGAGUCGGGGGUGUUUUUCAGGUUACACAACAAAAGAUCAUACUGCUAAACGAGUUCCAUUGUAAUCUGCCAUGAUGUUGUAUUAGAAAGAGACACUAGGAGCACACAUUGAGCGCAAGAAUAUGUGUAUGUGCAGAUAUAUAUAUUCGUACACAGAACGACCGAAUAUCUCGAGUAGGAGACUUUCCAAGGAGAAACAACCUCGGCUAACUUCGAAGGCUCGCAAUUCUUAACAAUGACACAGCUGUUUAGUAUCAGUGUUACAUCUUUCUGGCAGUAUCAAUGAAUUGCUCGUGUAGCAAAAUAUCAAAAGCCCAAUUUAGCUUCAGACAAGAGUAUCAAUCCAAUCAAGACAUACAAAAAAAACACCAAAGAAUGUACGUGCACCGCACUUACGGAUCAUAAAACUAUUUCAGGAAAAGAAUCGUCCAUUAGGUGAGGAGGCUCACCAGGAAGUCACCGUGUCCACGCAACGGUACCGAGAAGGGGACGCACAAGCACAGGAUAAACGCCUCUGCAUCCACCACAGAAAGUAGGGAAUGGGUCCUGCAGUACUGAGCAAGUCACAGUUAGGAAGACAACAAACACAACCAAUCUCAGGACGUCUGCACAGGAAGAAUUGGCGGGGCAUGGCAAAAGGGGAAACCAAUAUACAAUCUGCUGAGGAGCAUCUCCUGUAAUUCAGGCUGGAUCUCAAUUAGACUCUCAGAACAGACCCAAAGCAAAGCAACCUACUCUACAUGUGCUGCACUCACGAACACCAUGCGUGCGUCGUUGCUAUCAUCCAAAUCCAUCGGACACUCAUGAAUAACACCACAAUUGUCGACUGCGAUAAGCUUCAUCUCCGUAUCAAUAACAGGCUUCGCACGUAGUACAGCAGUUCAGCCAUAUAGAAAGCGAAGAGCAGACCAUUUCAAAGCACAUGUAUCAGACAUCGAGUAAUCACCAUAGAUAUGAGCAGUUGCUGUUUCCCAUCGACCAAGUUUCAUAAAUGAUCUCACAUCACCCCCCCCCUCCUCAAUAAAUAGCCAUCUGCACCACUCCAACUCCACCACUGCAGCUCUCCAUUAAUCAUCCCCAUGUCAUAAACCACCACGCUACACCUGCAAUUUCCAGCUCGUGUAACCUUGCCUAAAACAACCCCUCCACACAUGCCAUCUUGAAAAGCGCAAUCCUCGCAAGCAACCAACCACGUUCACGGUUUGUGAUGUCACGCCUCGCCACCCCUUGCAAGCUGACGAUGAAAGCUAGUGUGCGCUGCGCGCGUGAAGGAGAGUAACACCAUGUGACACUGAGACGCACGAUUAGACGCGGCAUUAACUCGGCUCCAUAUGAGAGACAAGGCGCAUUGAAUCCACCAGUACACAACUGAUCCGUCGGCAGGGUCGCAGGGGCUGCACAAUGGACGGCAGCAAAUGGAAGCCCUUACCACGACACCCUCCAUCCUGUCCCCCCAUGAAGCUUCAAUGCCGCGCACCGAGACCCUCGCACACAGCUAUUGGCUUCGGUAUGCCACCACCCCUUGCACCGAUCUCACCGACACCGCAUCAUCUUCAUCCAACGACACCGCAAAGGUCACACCUUUAGGGGAAACAACCCCUGUAACUUUCUAUGGGGAUGCAUCCUAAUUGGAUGUCUCGCCCAUAAAUAAGAAGAUCCUGCAAUAAAACGAGACAUGUGUGUGUACAAGCUGCUCUUUCAGAUCUCGAGGUUGCCGAGGAGAAUCGACGCAAACCAUCACUCAAGUUUGAGCUCUUCAUUCCUGCACUGAUGGUCCAAACUUCAAAUAGAACACAAUCACGAGAUUAAUUCUGUGUUCUUAAGAGAAUGUUCUUUGAAACUUGCAUGGCGCUGACUAGAUCAUGUGUGGAAAUCCAACAGCAAUGCAGGUUUUUAGGGCUGGGUUUUGGAGUUCAGGUGUAGCAUUGGCAUUUAUUUUGAUGAAAAGAUAUGUGAGGAAAGGGAUUUUUGCGAAAGUGAAAAAAAUAUAAACAAAAUGGUAACGUGGAUUUUGAAAUAUAUUGUUGGAGGGUCGCACAGUUGUAGGCAAUUGUUUUUUAUUAGUAUUUAUUUUUUACGUAUCUUGGAAUUGGAAGUUGUGAAUGGAUAGAGCUCUAGUAUGACAUUUUUAUUGGCUUUAGAAUCAUUGGAAACGUUCGAAUGUUUACUUUUAUUACAUUAUACUCUACUGUAUGAAAAAAAAUGUGUACUAUGCAUAAUUUGAUUCUCACUUUUUAUAUUUUCUUUUCAUGUAGUGCUUUGGGACAUGGAAAUCACCUUCAAUGUUCUUGCUUUGAUACAGAAAAACAGAACAGAAGUUAAAGCAAUUGUUUGUUGUACACUAGAAUCAACUAUACUCUUAAAAGUAAACACCACCGUACCAUCUUCAAAUACAUAACAUUCUUAUUUUAUGAAACAAGACAAACAAAUAUCUAAAAGCUGACGAAAGCCCGAAACAUUCAAGUAUACAGAAUUUAGAAGAGGGUCGAUAGCAUAAUAAUCAACUACUUGACUCCCGCAGAAGAUAAAGGGUAUUGAAUGGUGUGAACAGUUAGGACAUACUGACACAAAACCCUAAUUCUUAAAGAGACAGGACUAACGAAAACAAAAAAAGGUGGGUCAUCUUGCAGCAGAGAAGGAGAGUAGAGGAUACCAGUUCGCUCUCAUUAAAAAUAUAAUAAAAAUCCCAUUUAUUGAUACAUUCCUUGUUGACCACUUCUUUCCAAAGACUUCGCAAUGUCCAUGAAGAAAUUAGGUCAUACACUGUUUGCAAGGGACAAGUAAAACUCUACCAUAAACUGGGUAUGUGAGUUUACCACAAACUGGAUGUGACAGAAUCCUCCUCCCGCUGCAAAGGGGGCACCAAGUGUCAUAUCAAAGCGCCACAAACCACAAGCUGGGAUUGCUUUACCUUUUUUGAAAAGAAAAAACUAUCCUUUAAGGGUUUGUGUGGAUUGGGGUUGUCUUCGUCCCCACCAUCACAGAGCCAGGCAAAAGGUUAUUUUGAAUUGUCCUUCGAGCAGAAGCUUUUUUAUCAGGAUAUGGGGUGGUUGCAAAAUGGGCAAAAAAAAGAGAGCAACAGAAGAGAGAGCUUUCAUCAGUAACCAUUUGUACUCACUACCGACAAGCGGCUUGGGGACUACCACGUUCAUCCAACAAGUUCCCCACGUUCGCUCCAACUUUCAUCCACAUAUCAUCCAAAGGAUGAGUCCCAUAUUCUUGAACAAACAUCCCUCUAACCCCGAAUAAUGGAAUUGACUUUAUGUGCAAACCCUAAUUUUGACAAUGGGGAACGGAUAUCAUCCAAAUUGGGUAUCUUAAUAUGUCAGUUCAUCUAGAUGAUAAAUCUAGGACUUUCGCUUCCGUUCAUCCUCCCCCUCUUUGUGGUUGGUGCUGUCCGUCCUCCCUUUUACCUUCUGGAAUCCGAUCUCCUAAAAAAAUGGAUGUGGACAUGUAAUGGGCCAAAAUGGAAUGGAACCCCUAGAAAAAGAUAAAAAUAAAAAUAAAAUAAAUAAAGGUGGGACCCAGGUUCAUAAAGUAAUGUACUUCUUCUCACUAUUACACCUCCACAAGGGCAUGACGGGGAUCACGGAACCUUCCGAGCUUUUCUCAGACGGAUGAAUGAAUGAUAACACGAUAUGAAUGAUAUUAGUGGAUGAACAAACGUAUAUUUGAAUAUAUAGAUGAACUAAUGAAUGAAUGAUUCCUCCGUCCCCCCCUUCCAGAACGCUGUUCCGUGUAACGAGGAAGAGAAUCAGAACGACACGUGCACUAAGGAAGGGUGACGGGUCCCUCCGCGGUGACAAGUUCCAUCCUUAAUACCAAAACGAGGUCCUAAAACCGAGCCUAAGCUUCUUCUUCUUCUACCAUGCGCCGUUGGGCAGAGAGAGAGAGAGAGAGCGAAAGAAAGCAAUCGUCGUCGACAUCGACGAAAGCCCACAGAUGAUGAUGAUACAAGCAAGCAAGCGCCCGCCAAUCGAAUCUUACAGCAGCAAUCUCUUACCAUUAAGUUCCAUCCGUAUUUAUGCGGUGAAGAGUGGCGUAUUUAGUAUGAGUAAUCAAUGAGGUGGAGCGAGGUCCGAUUGGAGGGGGAGGGAUGAAGUCGAACGAAGGAGGAGGAGACGAAGAAGAAAGUAGAAAGACGAAGUAAACUAGGGGGCGGAGGUGCCACCACAAGCACGCAGCAAGCACACAGGCCCAGAUCCAGAAGAAGCUGAGCACCACCAUCGGGCAACGCGUCAGAUACUUACCAGGAAUAGGAUAUCGCAGAAUGGAUGAAGAAGAAGCACCAAAUGGGGGGCUUGUGGUGGGUCGCACCCGAAGCUUCCAAUCCUAAACAACCGAACUGGGACCCUGUCCCAUGCGAGGCAGCAGCUGCAACGAAAAUUAUCGCCGAUAAUGUCAAUAUGCACCAUGAAGUGAUAUAUUUGGCUUGCCUCAUCCCAAUCACUGGCUACUUUGGUUUGCGCUGUGCAAAAAGUGGCACCACUUUUUAUAUUUCAAAUCUCCGUAUGCUCAUGGCAUUUCCUGUAUGAGCGGCGCUAUCCGGGGAUUACUGGAGAGUGCAGUGGACCUCUUCUUCUUCAUCAUCUUCUGCUUGAGCCUGAAUGGAUCUCCCUCGUCAUUCGACUGGGGAGAAUCGUGCUAAUAGUGAGCGGCAGACAUGGGAAACGCGGGGUGGUGAAAACCCGAGCUGUGACUGCAGGUGGCGCUAGAGUAAUUGAAGUGAAUUGCGACUCAAGUGAUGGUUGAGGUGAAUGUUCUGGGUGAGUGGACACCGCGCAGCUGCAGUCGGGGCAGUGUUGACCUUGGUUACUACUGUGUUCGCAGACAGCACCAGAAGUGAUGGAUCCUGGUGUGGACCAGCAUUCAGUGGGAGGGAGUUUUGGCUUCCCAUUCACCAUCGUCGAUCCCACAAGACCGCAGUGAAAAAGUACUAGACAGAUGAUCGAUCGAUCUACCCCGUCACUGUGUGGAAUCGAUUUCCCCAACAGUGAAAGAUUUCUUAUUCAAUUCCUGCUUUUUCGAGUUCCCUGCAGUUUUCCCCACUCCAACUUCGUCAUCGGCCGCCCCCUUAAUAGAGCGUGGGACCUCUUGCUUUUCUCGAAAGACGCGUUUCAUCCACCUGUCGUGAGAGGAGGCAUGAUGGCUGAGAGUCUAGGUAGAAUCUUUCGAGGAUGAAGAGAGGCGGGCCACACCACCUGGCGAUUCCAGCACCAGUGACCUGCGGCACUGCGGCGCAGCCAUGGGAGAUGAAAUCGAUGCAUUUCCCCGUUUUGUUUUUUCCCUCUUGUCGCGGCGGAACCCAUUUUCCCAGGACAUGGAGCUUCGAAGCUACUUCAAAUUUAGUGUGGAUCAAGCACGGAACAACAUUUUCGCUUUCUCGCUCUCACAACUUCUUCUUCUCCAUCUUCUUCCUCCGCGAUGGCUCGACCGAUCCAUGGCUUGCGAAAACGUGCACUGACAUCGAAUUCGUCUUGGGCGUUGCGAAAACCCUAAAACUGGUGUCUUGCAAACCCAUGUAAUCGAUUGGAUCCAUAACAAAAUUGGGCUUGAUGAGGAUUGUCGUAGACACUAACACGGAUAUAUUUAUACUUAAAAGCAGUGGUUUUUUACGACACUGAUAUUACCAUGAAAAGUUCAGCUCAUUUUAAAAUGAUUUCUGCAAUUACUAGAUGUUGAUGGAUUUUUUAGCAACAGCUUUUCAUUGCUUUGUAAAAAAACAAUGUUUAUUUAUUUAUUUAUUAAGAUGCAUUUCUGUGGUUGAGCAUGCUUGAAAUCAUGAAAGUCUAAAAGAGAAGUGCAAAUAAAUAAACAAACAAACAAAGAUAAAUAUGGCACAAUUAUUGUAUGUACAAGUUUCAAUACCAUUCAUUUUGUUUUGUUUUCUUUUUCUUUCUACAUAAAUGGUUGUACAGGUUGUACACUUGUUGUUGAAUAAUUUCAAAAUGGUUCAUUUUCUUAUUAUUUUUUUAAAAAAUAAAACAAAAUGUUUAGAUCCUACAAAAGACAGCAUGAACAAUAAUGCAAGAAUGCAAUAAUUUGACUCAUUAAAUCAUGACAUUCAAUUGCAAUCUAAUACAGCAAAAAGUAUUAUAUUUAGUACAUUCAAAGGUAAAUCACACAAAAUGAUUGUAACAAAUUAAAAACACAUAUAUGGACAUAUAUCUUGAAAACAAUUUAAAUUAUGAUAACCAUUAUAUAUGGUACAAUUUUUUGAUUAGUUGAAAGCAACUACUUAAAAAUCAUUUUGUAAGGAAGGUAUGCAACCAUUCAUAUUUAUUUCGAAUUAUAAAUAAAUUUAAAAACAAAUAAAUAAAUAACAUCCAACAUGUUUUUAUUUUUGUUGUAACAAACUUAUUAAAUAUAUGAACACUGAAUGAAUGUUUAAGAACAUGUAAUUUAUUGGGUUGGACAUGAAUAACGCAGAAUAAUAAUGAUAUUUCAAAUUCUACUUCAUGAUAUCUAUUUGAUGGAUAGCAUAAAAAAAUAAUAAACUAAACGAUAUACAUACCCAUAUCUUUUCCAUUUCAAGAGAUUGGGUAUCAUAUACACAUUUGCCAGACAUAGCUUAAUGUAAUUUCAAAUACAGGAAAUGGACACACAAAUACUCUAUUGAACUUUUGAAACAUUUUAAGGCCACACAUGUACAGAUCACUUGCAGAUAAAAAUUAACAAAUUUUUAUAAUCGUAAAUUAAAAUACAGAAUUACACUAAUGGAUUUUAAUUGUAAAUAAAUUGUCUUAUUAACAUCAAAAUCAUUUUUUAUAAAAUAAAACAUUUACAAAAUCACAACAUAACAUUUCAUUCUUUUGAAUAUUAUGUAACAUGUUAAUUAAAUCAUUAUAACACAAACUCAUUGAUGAGUUAACUUGAAUGAAAAAACAAACUAAUCUCACAUGUUUUCAUAUUAUUCAAAUAAGGUUACUUUUGAAUAAAGUUAUUUUCAUUUGUAACUUUAUAAACUACAUAACAUAAACAUUCUCACAACGGUAAAGUAGUAUUAAAUGUAUUUUUUGUUACUAAAAUACAUAUACAUAUAUAUGCAUGAUUCAAAUGAAAAUUGCAAAUAUAUAUAUAUAUAUAUAUAUAUAUAUAUAUACUGUACUUUAAUUGGAACUGGCAGUAAAUUCCAAUGUAGCUCAAUUCAUUGAAUCAAAAAAGUGCUUCAAAAGGUGUAAAUAAAAAUAUAAACAGUCUAAUUAUAAUUAAUUGUAUGUUACUUCUAUUAGUCAUAAUAAGUUCACUUCAAGCCUUUGACGAAUUAAAAACAAAAUUGUUUACAUUUUAUAAAUUUAUUAAGAGUAGAGCUAAAUAUUUAUGUAUGUUCCAUACCCUAAACUUAUGUUUCUAUUUGAUUGUUUUUGUACGUACUCACACAUUAAAUUACUAAUUAUAAAUGAAGAGAUACUUUAUGUUGAUCAAUGAAAGUAAAAAAAAAAAAAAAAAAAAAAAAUUAAAUCACCUUUUAUUGUUUUCACAUAAAAACUAGAAUUGCAUUUUGUAAAUAUUAAGAAUUCAUAAAAGAAACAAGAAAAAUAUUAAUUCAAAUUUUGAGAAUUAUGAGUCCGUAAAGAUUUUUUUCAUAAUUAUAAAAUUGGUUUGGGGCUAUUUUACAAUUACUUGAUUAUUUUUGUGAUUAUAACUGUUUUAUGAUUAUGAACUUUUGUUAUUGUGCAAAAAAUAACAAAAAAACAUUCUAAUUGAAAGCAUGUGUUAUAUUACAUAUUAUAUGGAAUAAUACACAAAAAAUAAAAAAUCAAAUAUAGAUUACUUGUCAAUUUACUUGUAAUUAUAAAGAUCCAAUAUAAGUUUUACUUCACAAAUAUUAGUUGUAUACGACUAGAUAUUUUGAUAUAUAUAAAAAAAUACACAUUAUUUUUAUAUUAUAGAAGAAAAAUGAAUACAAAUAAAUAUGUGAAUAUAUAACAUUGAUACUAUUAUGCAUUGUUUUUUAAGAUUUUGGAAUAAAUCUUUAUGGAUUUAUUAAUAGUUUUAUGAAAUUGAAAAAAGAGUUUAUGAUACAUUCUCAAAAUUCAAUACUAAAUAUUUGAUUAAAUAAUUUUUGUGAAUGAUUUUUAUUUACAUAUAAACCAAGAUUUGUAUAUUUAAUACAAUGUACUUUAUCAAUAUAAAAAACUCGAUUUUGCACAAAAUAAAAUAAAAUACUUUUGCAUUGAAUUAUGAUAUUAAUUUCUUAAUAGCUUUUCUAAUAACCUCCUAAACUAUAAAUAUUAUGGAUAUAUACAUUUACAUAUAUGUAGACAUAAAUUAUUAUAAAUUUAAAAGAAUAAAGAAAAGAAAGUAUGGCAAAUAUAUUAUAACUUUUGACAUACUUUACUGUUUAUUGAAACGCGUUUCUCAUUUUAAACAUGUAUUAAGCAUGUCAAUUAUUUGGUUAGAAAAUGCUUUGCUUGGGAGUCUAGAAUAAUUUAGAUAAAUUUUAUUUUUAAUGAUAUUUAGGUAAUUUUAUGAAAAUAAACAUUACAAAAUAUGGUUCUAUGAAAGUCUGAUGAGAUCAUAUUUUCUUUAAAAGCUUCAUCAUAUUACACUUUAAAGCAAAUGAUUUAGUUUGAUUUCAUAAACAACAUAGAAAAUAUCUAUUGGUUAUUUUUAUUUAAUUAUCUAAAAUCUUCAACACAUUAUAAAAAAAUGAAUAAGAAUAAAAUUAUCUAAAUAUUAAAUGGUGUAGUUAAUUGGUCUGUUCAAAUAUCUUUUAACUGCUUAUUACUUUAACUUUCUAUUGAGCAUACUAUUUGUUUUUCAAUAAAUUUACUUGAAAGUUGAGGAGAUUAUGCAGAUUUUCAACCAUUGGUGUCUUGGCAUAGCAACUUGGCUACAUUGUUACAUUUAAAUAUUUUGAUCCUUUCAUAUUACUAUACAGUACAAAUUCUAUCAAAUUUGAGACUUCAAAAUAUUCCAAAAGAUUUAAGUAGAAACAUGCCUGAAUCCGAGAAUUUUAUCCUUUUAAAGAUUUUAAAAAAGUCUUAAAAAUUCUAAAUUCAAUUGUACCUUUGUUUAAGUAUUUCUUUGGCUAUAAAUAUUUAAGAAAAAAAAAAAAAAAAAAAACUAAUUGAGAAAAAACCACGAGUCAAGUUGCAUUAUUUGUACAAUAAUAUAUGACAAACAGAUACUUUAAGUAUUUGGAUUUUCUUGUAUGCAAUUCAAAUGUGAAUUUUUAUUUUUAACCAUAAUACUCUCUGUGAUAAUUCUUGUUGGUAAUAAUAAAAUUUAAAAUUGAAAUGGAAAACAAAUCAGAUAUGAAAAAAUUAUCAUUAACCAGGUGUUCGUUUCAUGAACUGUUCCUAAUCGUGCAUACAGUAAAGUGCAAUAUUAGCAGAUUUAAAAUCUUGUAGCCAAGUAUUACUCUCAGAUUGUAAUUAAGCCUAAAUUAAGGAAAAUACUUAUUAAUUUUGUAUUAUGCAGAUACAGUGAUUAUUACAUUUUUACAAUGAAAAUUUCAAAGUACUGCAUAGUGAUUGAUUUCCUGAUUUAUAAUUUUGAUGAUAUUGAGAAUGAACAAAAUGAAGUACAUUCUCAUCCUCUUAAACUUUCUUCUCUCUCUAUACAUGUAAGAAAUCUGAAUUAAUUCAUGAUUCAAUAAUUAAACUUCGCAGUUUCUGAGCUAAUUUAUAAAAAAAAAUUACUAUACCACUUUUGAUUUUAUUCAGUAUAAAACAAGUUGAGUUACUUAUAAUUUGAUUGGUCAAACCACGAAAUUUGAUAGUUAUUUUGUUCAAAAUCUUUUAUUUUUUAGUAAAGAAUACUUAAUAUUAAAUGAUAAUGUUAUUACGUUCCAAGUUAUUACAAGAUUUUAUGUCUUAAUUUUGAAAAAUCAAUCUUAUCAAAAUAAUUCAUAUACUGUAAAAAGUUGUAAAUAAAAUAAUUGAGUACUUUUCUUCAAUUUAAAUAUUUUCUUGUUAGCUCUAGUUAUUGACAUGUAUUAACAUGUUUAUAUAUAGAUAGACAAGUUGUAGUGUAUACUUCUAUUCAUUUUAAAAAAUACACUAUAAAUGUUAAUCUUUUAAUAAUCUAUUUUUAAAUUUAAUUUAGUAGGCAAUUUUAUUAAAAAAAUAUAAUCUAUUUUUCAUAUUUUAUAUUCCAUAUAAAAUAUUAAUAGUAUUAUAAAUAAAUAAAUGAUGAAAAUACUUUAAUUAACAUAUAUAUAUAUAUAUAUAUAUAUACAUAUUGUAUAUGUAUCAAUUUAUUAUUAUUUUUAAUCUUGUUAGGCAAAAUAUUGUGAAUUAGAGUCUACAGUGUAAAAUGUUAUCACGAUGAAACUAUUCUAAAGAUUAUCAAUCAUUAAACAUUCAAUAUCUUGUCUAAAAAAAAAAGAUCCUUGUGUUGUUAAGUAAUAUACUUUUAUACUUUCACAAAUCUCAAAUAUAAACUUAAUUUAUCUUAGAUUAUAAUAAAGAUCUGAAAUUGGAAUGGAAUUCAUGUUAUACAAUUACAUCCACACGUGUCUAUUAUUGUAUUGCAAUUUAAUAUGCAAUUUGUGUAGGAUUUGACAGUUAUUAAAUAUAUCUAUAUAUUGAUUUAAUUAUAUUAUAGGAUAAUCAAUCUCUAGGUCACAAUUUCCCCAUCACUUUCUCAUUGAGUAACAUUUGAUUAUCUUGAUUCAAAUAAAUAGUAAAAAAAAAACAAAAAACAAAAUAGAAACCUGGAUAGCAAAACCUACUCUGAUUUUAAGGUCGUUAUUCACGCAUAGGAAUCUCUAAACAUUAAAUCAAAAUUCCAAUUUCCUCCUUUAACUCCCCUAUAAGAAAAGUGCGAAUAUUAAGAGAUCGGACAAGAUCCAGAAGCGGAAAACUUUCUUAUUUAAAAGAAAAAAAAGAAAAAAGAAAAUCAAACAAAAACCAAGAAUUUGAAUAAGAAGUCAUGUAUUGUAUUAUCCCAGAAGUUAUAUACUUUCAAAAGGAAGAAAAAUGGGCCUUUCACACCCAAUGAAUGAAUGAAUGAAUGAAUGAAUGAACGAACGGGGCCAAGGGGAGGAAAAAUAAUUCCAACAACUCCCCUCCUUAUCUUUUUACUUUCUUGUAGGCGAAAAAGGAAAAAGGAAGGCUAGGGAAGGAAGGAAGGUGCAGGGAAGGAGGGCGGGAGCCGAGAAUAAUGGACCAGUGAAGACUUUUAGGAACACACAGCGAGACGGUCAUGGGUGCACUCCCCCACUCAUUGCACUUCGUAUGGCAGGACAUUGCCACCUGUAACCGUGCCUCGCCCCUGGUCCAUACGAAACCGCGUCGAUUACGAACGAACGAACGAACGAACGAACGAGGAGGGACGAACGAGGGAGGCAAUCACCUCCAGCGAAUUCACCUCCAGCGAAUUCUUAGAACAUAUCCCCGCCUCUUGCCUGCCUGUCCGCUUCUGCUCCUGAACCAUGGGGUUUCAACCCCGUAUCCUUCGCCACGUCGUGCUCGCCCAACGCUGGACCGCGCGGUUGGGGAAACCGACUGCGCGGCCCCCGGUAAGGUGUUUCCCCGCCCCCCCGAGCGCGCCUGGUCGAGAUCACGCGCGGGGUUCGCAUCCCCCUCCACCGCCCCCGCCCGUUUUUCAGAUUAGCCUUGGGCUGCCCCGUUUUUUUUUUUUUGCCCUGGUUUACCCCCCCCCCCCCCCCGCGACCCUUUACGGAGUGAGUGAGUGCCUAUGUCAGAGUGCGCCUUCCUUCCUGCUCUUCGUCUUUGCUUUUUCGUCCCGUUUUCAACGUUUGGGUACCCGAAUUGCGACUCCCUUGCCCCCUCGGUCUUGUCAUUCCUGACCACAGUUUCCAGUGAAUCGUGGAGGGGGGGGGGAGGGGGUGAUUUUUGUGGAGCGAUGACCCUGGUGCCAUGACUUGGACUUGGAUGAGCCCAACGAAUGCAUUGAUUGUGGAUUAGUGGCAGAAGAACUGGGUUGAUAUUGCUGCUUUCCUUGCUCGAUGUCUUGCUAGGAAGAGUUUUGGUCGCUGGUGCGUGGUGAGGAGCUCUGUAGGACGUUUCAACUUCGGUUUUGAAUGUGCGCUGGAGCGCGGGUUAAGAGACGCUUGAAGAGCAAACCCUGUCUUGGGGUGAGAGGAGAGAUGGUUAGAUCGACGCCAGGGUUUGAUUGGAGGUGCAGGGAACGAGAGUAGGGAGGCGGGUGGAGUGACCGGGGAAGAACAAGCCCGUUGGAGCGGAGAUGGUGCGAGUGUGGGAGAUAGAUCAUGUGGAUGCAGAGUGCACUACGAUGCAGGGCAGGAUAUGGGCAUGGACAAAAGUAGGUGCCACUGAGUUGUAGAGGUGCUGGCUGAGUGAGGAGGUUAGAAAAUACUGGUGUUUGGAGAGGGAAGACUGUAUGCAGCUUGGUGAGUUGGCGUCCCAACUUGAUGGUUGACAAACGGAGAAACGGAGGAUUCUUCUUGUUUUCACAGGUGAGCACUUCUGUCUUCCGGACUUUUCCACCUUUCUAGAGCAUUGAGCCACAGCUUUCUGGCAAAGGUUGUUCGCAGACGCUACAUUCGAAAGAGUGGCUGUAUAACAGUAUUUACCCGAAGAGGUGACACCCAUACCCUAUUUGAAUCGGACGUCGACGACCUCCCAGCACUCGUGCAGGCGGGGACUGCCUUUCAAUGCCUUCCACAGCCUGGGUUGUCACUUCUAGGUGUAGUCCCCAAUCUGUUGAAGUUUGCUUUCGUGGCUUAAUAGUUACCUUGCCAGCAUCCUCUCGCAAGGUCUUGUUGACAGCAACUUGACAGGUUCUUCUGUCCCCACCCUGCACGUGAAAGAUGCCGCCCGCCGAUUCGCCCAAAAUUUGUUGGACUUCCUCUCCUUGUGAUGCGCUGGCACUGUCAGUGCAUCCUGGUUUGGAAAUAGUGCCUCGGGUGAAAGACAAAAAAUGUUGAAAUUGUUCCGCCGUUAUUCUCCAGCAUGGCCCUCGGUGAGUAACCUAUUGAUAUGCAUGCAGGGAAGGAGGGUGCGUCGCUUCAAAAGAAUAACUCGGGAAGGUCACUGUUGGUCGAUGUUUGGUUGGGUAGUUUGGAAACCCCAGUGUACGUGUGAAGAAGAAAACAUUCCAGAUUGGCCGCGCCUUGUGCAGCAUGUAGAAAGCGGGUCCAAUGUCUGUGCGGGGGCGCUUUGUUGCGUAGGAUUAACGUGGUUGGAGAGGGCAGAUGUAUAGUCCUGGUAGGGGUGAUGCCCGUGCAACUGCGCUGCCCAAUGCUCGCGACUCAUCGACUUCCAUGCCUAUCGAUCACGCAUCAGCGUGGCACAGAGAGCCUUACAACCGGGACGCGAGGUUAGAUAGAGGUGACAGGGAGAGGAUUAUCGGAGGGAAGAGGGAGUGGAAUUCGGACAGAGCUUCGUUUGGAGCGCCUUAUCCCAGAGCCUUCGGUGGGCUGCACCCUGUGAACGGGAGCCUUGGACCUCCGAACAAGCGUCGGCUGAACGGUGAGUGGAAGCGAUUAGGCACAUGAAAACUUUGGUCGUACGGGAAUGGGUGUGUCCCUUUGACCUGUUGGCUCGCGCAGGUAGCAGUGUUGGACUAGAUCGGGUGUGCGAAGAAAGGGGUGUUGAUUUGUAUUCGGAUGGUUGGGUUGUCCUUUGUUGCAGGGCGACACACCGGGUUUCACAACGAGGGCGGGCGGUAUGUGUCACCAGGACAUCGAGGGGAGCCGCCGUUCGGGUCCGUGGGCCCUGUGGAGAACGGGUUAGGACGGAAGUUUGACAGAGAGUCGUUCUAUCCAGGAUCAGGAUGUCCUGUCGGGGGUUCGGGGUUCGGCAACGGUGUGGGCGUGGACCAGCGUGCGAAGGAAUUGGAGGAGAGGCACAAGAAGGAACCUUUUCUGCUGUUGAGAGACGGCAGGGACGGCGGGAGCUGUGGCGGAAUCGAGCAUGGCGUGCGUUCGUUUCCUUCUCAAGCGGUGUGUGAGGCAGAGAAGAGUUGUUGGGAGAGGGAGAGAUCGAAAGGAGCGGUGGGUAAUGGUUGGGAGUCGUCGCAGAAAUUGCAGCGAGAUCUUCGUGAGAGGGUGGGCGGAAAGGCGGAGGGUUACAGCAGAAGGGAGGGGAAGUUGUCCCAGCACGACGGAGGAAGGGAGUGGUCGCAGGCGGACAAGGAGUUGGAGGGGCGUAGAGUGGACGGGUACGGGAGUAGCAGUCGGGACGGUUUGACGGGUGACGGCGUGGGUGGAAUCAAGGAGGCAGUGGGUGGGUGUGAGUGGAGGCGGAAGGAGAGGUCGAGUUCCGUGAGUGCAUCCCGAAGCGGUAGUUAUGUUGCAAGUAGCGGGACCGCGAAGGGGCCCGUGGGGAGACCCCAGGCGCUGGACGUGUCCGGGAGCGCGUCGUCGCCACAGGUUUCACCCCAUUCGACAGCUUCGCCAGGGGUGCAGGAAGCGAGUCGCGAUGAUGGGAGCCAACCGUCUCCGCCGAAACGGCCUCGGCUGGGGUGGGGUCAAGGACUUGCAAAGUACGAGAAGAAGAAGGUUGUGGAGACGGAUGAGGUUGGGGUGUCCGCAUCGGGAGGCAGCGUGUCGGGAAGGGAAAGAUCGAGUGUAAGUGGCGCAACGACGGAAGUGGUGCAGACGCAGGAGUCGCAGGCAGCAGAGGAAAGCCCCGUGUCUGUUGUGUCGAAUCUGAGCACAUUGCCUCCGCUGACGCCGUCAGCAUCACCUUCGCAGCAGGCAGCGGAAGGUACGUCGGAAUGGAUGGGAUAUGAUGGAUUGUGUUGAGCAGCUGGUGUUUAUGGUGCAGGAGUGGGUGCGUGAAUGGGUGAUGGAUGUGUGGAUGGGAUGGCAGCUUUUGCGGAUGUGAGUUUUGGGGAAGGGGAGUCGAGCGGUGAGAGUGAGAAGCGAGGUGUGAGAGGGUGCAGAGGUGUUGACUUGUGAGUCGUGGCGAGUGGGUACGUGCAGUUGUGUCGAAGGCGAUGGUGGAGUGUGACGGAGUGGAGCAAGAGGUAGUAGGCAAGGUAUGCGAGAGAGUGGCAGCAGAAGCGGAGGCGGGCGGUUGGAUUUCGAAGCCUGAGGGUGUGGUGGCGGAUGAUGUUGAGAAAAGAGGUAACAUGCGUGCGGUGACAGAAUGCGGGUUGGAAGAGAGCGUGAGACAAGGUGAAUGCUGUGAGGCGUUGGGUUUGAAGGAGUCGAUGGAGUGCCAAGCGUCACCGAAAGUGCGUGGGUCAGUUGAGCACUGCGGCGGUGUGGAGGUGGGUGGUGAGGUCGGUGUGAGUGACGCUGGUUCGAGAUGGGCGAAGGAGGAUAUACUGCUGAGAGUGGAGAAAGUUGAGUAUGAGAUCGAGGAGGUCGAAAGGGAACUAGCGAAGGCGGAGAAGGUUGGGAGUGACAGGAGGGCAGCGGGUGAAUGGGUUGCGGGAGUGGUUGGUGAUGAGGGGAGUGCUGGCGUGGACGGUGUUGUGAAAGUGGAGGAUGGAAUUGAUGACGGUGAAGCUAUGGACGUGGAUGCAGCAGAGGUCCAUCCGGGAAGGGUUGACAGUCGAGAAAGUGGCGAGGCGAUGCAGGUUGCGUGUUCUGGUCGGAAUUGGUCAGGAGGAGAGGAAUGCGGAAAUGGGAGAUGGGGAAGCGACGGAGCUGGAGCAGCCGGGAAUGUUGGGGAGCGAGUCGGGGGCGGCGUGAGUGAGGGUGGACACGGAGGAUCGGUGGACGAUGGAGGAGUUCUGGAGGAAGGUGAGUUGGGUGAAGAGAAGCAAGAAGAGUGGACGUCGAAGCAGAUGAGUGUGGGAUUGGAGAGUGAGGGGAAUCCGGCAUACAGCCCUAGGGCAGAAACAGAGCCGGCACAGAGAGAGGAGAUGGAUGUGACAGCGGGUGUGUCAAAAUGUGGGGUUGCAGAGAAGGAGGAGGCAGAGAGAAAGGUGAUAUCGUGGGAUGUGGAGGUGGUUGCGAGAAGUUUGAUGGAGGAGAAUAAGAAGCGAGCCGAGCAGGCAAGGGAGACGUUUGUGCACCUUCUCAGGGAGGGUGUUGGCGUGGAAGGAACGUUGUACAGGUGUCCUGCGGAAGCAGGCGUAUGGAAGGAGAACGUGGAGAGGCACUAUCGGAACCAGGAGAGGAUGUUGGAGAAGAUGGGAGAGAGACGGCAGUCGUUGAGGUUUGCGGAGCAGGUAUUAGCGAUGAGGUUUCGAGCACUGAAAGAGGCGUGGAAGCAGGAGCAGGUGGGGAUGAGGCAACAGCAGAGAGGAACAAAGCCCGUGCGCAGAUGGGAGGUGGAGAAACGGAACGGGACUGCACUUCAUUGCCAUCGGUCAUCUCUGCGGUUGAGGCCCGUACAAGCAGGUAGUUUGGUGAUGUUGGAAGCAAGAGGAAUGGUCGAGGCUUGUGGUUGAGCAAUAGUUGAAACGAGGGGUGUGAUGGGAUGAUGUGACGGGCAGUGUGGAGCGUGGGUGGCAUGGAGGUGUGAGUGAGUGUUGGAAUGUGUUGCAGAGGCGGUAUGGAUGAUGGAAGGGUGAAGAGGUGACGGUAACAUGGGAGGGAGGGAAAGGAAUGAGAGGGUGGGUGUGUUGUGGGGAGGGAAGUGGGAGAUGGUGAGAAUUGACGGUGCGGUGGUUGUGGUGUCAGGUAUGGAGAAAGUGGAAGCUGUGUCGGAGGAAUGCAUGAAGAAGGUGAUGGCGAAGGCAGUGGUGGGGCCGGUGAGGGGCGUGUUGAAAAUGCCGAGCAUGAUUGUGGGGCAGGAGAACAGACUGGCGCGGAGGUUUGAGAGCAAGAACGCGCUGGUGGAGGAUCCUGUUGGGAUGGAGAGGGAGCGAAAGAGCAUGAAUCCAUGGUCUUGGGAAGAGAAGAGGGUAUUUCUGGAGAAGUUCGCGGUGUACAACAAGAACUUCAGCAAGAUCGCGUCGCAUUUGGAGUUGAAAACGACGGCGGACUGUGUGGAGUUCUACUAUCGGAACCAGAAGUCGGAGGAUUUCGAGAGGAUAAGGCGGAGGCAGCAGCUGAAGAAGAGACGGGAUUAUUCUCGAGUGGGUGGAUCGUUUCUUUCGACGGGGCUGCAGACGAGCAGCCAGCGAAGAGAGGCAAAUGGGCAUGGGCGGACCGAAGGUGCGAACGUGCAGACAGUGGGAGCGGUGGUGGGAGUUUCUCACAUCAGCGUAGGUACGAAGGCCGCGAGGAGCAGCAUGCAGCAGAAGCCGGUGGAGCGUCAGCGGGUGAGCUCAGCGUUGGAACCCGGGAGCCUACCUGGAGCUGUUGAGAUAGGGAAGGGUGUGAGCGGAAAGGAAAACAAGUGGUGUGGGACAGGUGGAGUUUCAGGCAGUGCAGCGGGGCGUGGUGGGAUUUUUGGGAUGGUAUUAUCGGGGGCGACGGUGUCUUGUGGUUUGAGCUCCGCCGUGGCAGGUGCUGUAAAGAUCGGUCGGGAAAGAAGCUCGGUGAAGACGAUGGUUGACGCAGGAUUAGUAGUCGCUCGGUGCGGUCAGUACGAGCCGAACUGUUUUGGGGCAAAAGGGACCCGGAGUAUACAUCCUCCACUGGGUUUGGAGAAUUUUGCCAAAGAGGAGGUUGGAUUAAAUUGCGGGCAUUUUGAUGCGCUUUUCCUAUAGACUUGGGUAGCGAUGUUGAUGAAUGAAGUUGGGAGCUAUGGUUGUGGUGCAGGCAUGCAUGUUUGAUUGGAUUAAAUGGGAUGCUGAUCGUCUGUUUUACUUGCCUCUUACUGUGUCGUAUCGGUUUUCUGGGCACCUUGUUGGUGCGCACACACGUGUACUGGUGGUAGAAGCUGAAGGGUAGUUGUGGUUUGGUUGGAUGUGUGCAGGGUGAUGCGCAGUGGACAGACAGAGAAAGAGAGCUGUUUACGGAGGGCGUUAGGCUAUUUGGGAAGGACUUCGAGAGGAUUGCUGUGCAUGUUGGAUCGACAAAGAGUGUGGGUCAGUGCAAGGCAUUUUUCUGCAAGACCCGUAAGCGUUUGGGGCUGGACAAGCUGGUGGAGAAGUAUGAGGAUUCAUUGAAGGUAAGGUAUGGAGGUGUUAUGGCAGAGAGUCUCGAAUGUGCAGAUGUAGGGCGUGGAGAAGCUGCGGGCAUGGUGGCGGAAGAUUUGCGGACGUCAAGCUUGUUUGAGUGUUCGUGUCCCGGUAUGGAAGUGGAAAGUCACGGAGACAAGGGAGAUGAGAAUGAGAAGUCAGUGGAAGCUGUGGUUCCUGUUGAUGUACAGGAGAUGGAAGCGGUGGAAGUUGAGGCAGUUGAGGGUGUGAGAGUAGAGGGGGUAGUAGUUGAGGUACAAUCGGUGGAGUCUGAAGUCGUGCAGGAUGUUGCAAUUGCUGAUGAUGCCUUGGUGAAUGGAGAUGUGGAGCCUAGAGGUAUUGAGGGUUUUGUAGCAGAGGACGAUGCUUCCCAAGAGUUGAUGUCUAAAGAUGAAGCAAUUGAAAAAUCAGUGGAAGAUACAGGAUUCGAAAUUGCCGUGGUGGUUGCAAGUGCGGCAGAUGCUGAUGUUGAUAAAGCAUCGUCGAAUGCGUCGGUUGAGGUUACAGCCUUUAACGAAGCAUUGAGGGAUGAAACAGUGGAGGAUGCUGCUGUUGAGCAAGUGGUGGUGAGUGAAUGCUUGGAUGCAGCAGCCGGGAUACUUGAGAACGAGAAUUUAGCAGUGGAGGGUUCGAUUGUUCUGGAACAAGUAGGGACAGAUGGUCAUCCUGACGAGGGUAGAGGCGUCGGAGGUGUAGCCGUUGAGACCUCAAACGGUGUUUGUGAAGAAGGCAAUGGUGAUGCUGUUGGGGCUACAUCUGUAGUGGUCAUUUCGAAGGAUGUGUUAUUAGGGUCGUUUGUUUGUUUGAAAGAAGACACAGCCAUUGUGGAUAGCGCCUGUCCGGCAGAUCGUGAACCAGUUGCAAGUACUCCUGCCGUGGAUGCUAGUGGCGCAGAAGAUCCUGUAUGUGUGAGGACGGAUGCAGUGAAUGUACCUAAUGAUGCUUCUGUGGAAGCUGUGAAAGUGGAUGCAGCUGAGGACGUUUUUACAGGCAAUAAAUCAACAGACUUGGCUGCAGGAUGUACUAUUCGGGAGGGGGACCCUGCUGAUGUGGUUAAGGUUGCUGAAAGUGGUUUGGAGUCUUCGAAGUGUGUGGCUGCCGUUGGUGUUGAUAAGGCUGUUUUUCCAGUAACCAAAAUGAGUACCCAAGUAGCAGAUGAGCCGGAAGCGAAGGCAAGUCCAAAGGUCGACGUUAAGUCUGAGCCUGGGUCACCUCAAGUGGCAACAUCUGUUAGCACAGAUUCGGCAUCUUUUACAUCUGCGGCAGCUGCUGUGAGCCAUUCUGGUGAGCCUGUGUUUUCAACAACUUCGUCGAUGCAAGGUCGGGAGAAGGUGGGAAGGGUUGGAGGCGGUGAAACCAAGUCGAGAAGGGAGCCGACUUCUUGGACUCAAGAGGAGAAAGAGAAGUUCGCGGACAUUAUACGGAACCAUGGGAAGGAUUGGACUAGGCUGCACGAAUGUUUGCCCUCGAAGUCUUUAACGCAGAUCAAAACAUACUUUCAGAACUCGAAGGCAAAACUGGGUCUUCUGAAUGCAGAGGGUGUGAAUGUUCCGGGAGGCAGGGUAGCCGGAAGUCGGAAGAGGAAAGUUGAUGAAGCAGAAAACGGCAGCAACAACGUGUCUUGUUUGAGCUCAGGGAAUGAGUUGAAGGGAGGCGGUGUUUCUGCUAGCGACAUGGAUGGCGUUUGUCAGAAUGUGAAAGCAGCGGUGGGCGGGGUUCCAAGCAUGAACCCAAGCAUGGGGAUGGGUAGUGGUCCAUCGGGGUUGGAGAGCAUGCUGUACCCGUUUCUCGGUCAGCGAGUGGAAGAUCAAAUAGCGUUGCAGAAUUUUGUGCGGAUGUAUAGUGCGAACGGGUUAGCACAGAAUAUUGCGGGUGGGGUAAACCCGUUUGUGCAGCAAUAUGGGUUUCCAAUGUUUCCGAACGCAGGGCAUCAAAGGGCAAGUCAGCUGAGUUUGCAGCAACAGCUUGCAGCAUCUCUGGCUCAGAAGUCGGGUCAAGCGAAGGGGCUGCAGCAGCAGGAGUUGCAAGGUUUUGGAAGCGUUCAACAAAGCGGUCAAGCAAGUGUUCAGCAGAAAGUUGCACAUCAAUUGCAGAGCGCACAGGUGGGGAGAGGUGGUUGGUUGAGAAGCUGAGUAGUGAUGGUCUUGGUGCUUAGUGACAGUGUACGGUUUUAUAAACCGGGUAGUUGUGGACGGAGAGUUUGUGGUGUGCAUGAUUGUGACGAUUGGUACGUGAGAGUGGAAUGAGCAAUGUGGCGAUGCAGCAAAUAGUCGUGAUUUUGUGUGGGAUAGCGAGGCUGUAGAUUGGUGUUGAUGGAUUAGCCGUGAUUUGCAGAUGGUGCGAAAUCAGCAGCUUCUGGCAAGUGUGAUGCAGCAUCAAGCGGCAGCACAUCAUCAGCAAAAUCAGACGAGCAAGAGCGUUCCUCACCCUCUUCAGCCGCAGGUACAGCUAGUUUUCCAGCUUCAAUGGUUGAGGGAUUGUUUGUUUUGGAAGAGGAAAUAUAGUAGCUAAAAGGUUGUUCUGGCAGGUUGUGGUACCUCAACCUGGGGUUGCUGGUCAGCGGCAACAGCACCCGCAAGCUCAACAAGGUGGGAGUCAGCAGGAGCAAGGUAGUCCUGGUCACCCGAUAGGUAAUCCAAGUUUGGGGGUGGGCAAUCCUACUCAAGCUUCGACCCAAACGAAGCAGUUGCAGCAGCCUCAAGUUUCAUUGCACCAACAGCAGGUAUGUUUAGUGUUGCUUGUGUUGGGUUUAUUUGUUUGCUUUUUGGGAAACUUACAGUUGAGGAUGUUGUUUUUUGUUUGACCUGGCUCUUUGAUUUAAGCUGACGUCUUCUUUGUGGAUUGUUUUCUUCCGUAUCAGCAGACUCUCCAACAAUUGCAACACCAACAGCAUCAAUUCCUGCUUCAGCAACAUGAUCAUGAUCAUGUCCGAGCUCAAUCACAUCCUCAAUCUCACUUUCACAUUCAGCAGCCUCAAAAUUCUCAUGCUUCCAUAGUUCAGCCGCUUAUUGUCCAAAAGCCUAAAGGAGUCGUGCCCCUUCAGCCACAGGUGACAAAACCUCCGUUGGGAACUGUUGCACAUCAGAGAUGUAUGCCUUAUCGACACGAUCAGCAGCAGCUUGGACCAGCUCUUUCAUUGCUAAGUGGGAAUGGAGAUAGUGGCCUCUCAAAUAUCCGGGGAGAAAUUUCGAACCAGCAUGGAGAAAUAGGAGAUCACCGGAGUUGUAUCAGCAAUGGUACAGUCUCUAACUCCUAGUCUUUGGUAUGAAUGUGAUACUAAGCGAAAACACUUAUUCUUAGAUAUUGGUACUGUAAGAUUUGCAAGGAAGAUGAUUGGUUAUUCGAUUGUCGUUUGAUUGUCACUUGUCUUAUGACUGAGUUGUGAGAUGUGGAUGUUCUCAGGAGGUGCAUCUAAAGGAUGUGAUUUUUCAAGAGCUGAUUUUCAUCAACUCAGUGCCUCCGUGCAGAGGGUGAAACCUUCACAUGCAGCAAUCCCUCACAGACCAAGUCCGACUCCAGCAGCAGUGUCCGCGCAAGGUCGACCUGGUGAUGUUAAAUUAUUUGGGCAGUCUCUUUUGUCUCAGCCGACUUCGUGUGCGGUAUCCCAGAGUGCUGCACGUGAGUUAGUUUCUGCCGCUGACAGAGGUUCAUUGCAGCAGUCUCCUGCUAGUACGGCGGCUUCAUCUUCCUUGACGAGCAUGCCUGUUUCAGCUGCAUCAGCAACGAAAUCGCAUGGGAAAGAGUCUGCUUUUAGGGGUGUUUCUUUUAUGCCUGAUGGACUGCAAGGUGGGCGGUCGUCACGGGGUAAUCAAGGAAGCUUGGAAUUAUGGAACAACAUGAGUGAUGUGCGUUCUCAGGCGGGUCCGGUGUCGAAGUCAAUUGAUGGAGACUCGGAUAUUCGUAGUAUGCAGGAAUGCCGCAUGUCUCGAGAAGCUCAAGAUGUAGAAUCAGAUCCGAGCACACUAAAAUUGACACACAAGCUGCAGCAUCUUGAUCAGGCUCGUGGUGUUCAGGAGCAUUCAGGAAGCGAGGGGUUUUCUCCAGUGGUUCAUGGUGUGGGGAAGGCCCGAGCCUGUGCGAAUGAGCAUGGUGUGGGUGUGGGGUUUGCUGUUUCGUGUGGAGAGGUAUCCAGGACCGACCCGGAGAGAAGAGGCGAGAGCAUUGGAAUCGAUUUAGGCUGUAGUGAGCGAAGCUCCAUUAUGGCUAGUAGAAGUAAUAGGGGUCAGGUGGAGUCGUUUGCAAUGCAGGCAGCCGGGUUAUUGGCCAAUGGGCCACAAGUGCAUCGGAACCUGAUCGAUUAUCUGAUGGCCAUUACGGAAUUGCACCAAACUCGCAGUUUAUCAUCUCACUCAAGCGUCGGUCAGCCACGGCUGGAGGACCAUCAAUGGGAAAGUCUAACACGGCAUCCUACUAAUGGUACGGCUGUCGAUGCUUUGAAAGUCAAUCCUACUUUGGGCCUAGGUAGCCCUAUUGCUGCUCCGCAAACCCACUUGAGUGGGAACGAUCUGUUCCAGCAGUGUGUGCGGGAUAGCAGCAUGUACUUUAGUCAACACUAUCCAAGCCUUGCUGGCCAUGGUGUUAGCUCCAGCGCAUGGAAUGGCGGAGCUGGGCUUGUUCAUCCAUCUGAAAUGCAGCGCGUGCUUGUAAAUCCUCCUCUUAGUUCCUUUCUUCCAGGUGUAUUUUCCAGGGCUCCAGUUACAGAGGAUCACUUGGGUUCCACCGAAACAAGGGAUCCUGAAAGAGGCGGAGGUGGGAUUUGUUAGUCGCCAACGUAGAGCUCUAGCACCCGAGAAAGUAGAGUUUAUACUUUUUACCCCUCCCCUUUUUAUUUGAACCUUGUUAAGCAGGACAGGGCACAUGCCCUUUGUAAUAUUAUCCGAUGAUUCCUUGAUCGCAUUAUGCCCUUUGUUGCAAUAGGUCUUCAGCAAUGAGUUUACACUUCCGACAUGCAUUUUUGCAGUCUGCAAUUGUGAUGCCCAUCUUAAAUUUUUUUUUUGCACCUCGUUUCAAAUUUAGUUUGGUCACGUGGAAUGUCUGUUUUCAGGAAUUCCCGUUUUUAAUGGGUUAGUCCAUUAGUCAAGAGCGGAGGCAUUUAUUCUUCACAGUCCCUGUUGUAAUGCCCAAGAGGAUGGGUAGUGGGAGUGUGAGCAAUAUUGUUUUGUUUUUUUUGUUUUUUUUGGUUCACUAUUCUCUCUGACCACAAAUUUGGUUGGGUAUUGAAUCAAAUUUUCUGGUUGUUGCUUCCUUUGUAUGGACUGUGUGUGGCUUUAAAUUGUUAUGCUUCAGGGUUGCAGCUAUGCUUGGAUCUUCCACACUUCGUAGUUUCAUCAUGGUCAAUUAUGGCGGUGUCCAAUUGGGCUGUAGAACCAAAAACAGUAGAUAGCCUUCGAAGAAGUAACAAAUCUUGAAGUUACAGUUACAUUAGAUACAUUUUUUCUAAUGCUUAUACCUUCUUUUGAACACAACAAAGGCUUUUUAUUUUUAAAUAAGCCAAUCUUGUUGCUUAUUGAUUACAUCUACUAGAGUCUAUGAACAUCCAUCCCAUAUUCAAUGUGUUUCUUUUUAAGCCAUAUAAUAUAGUAAAUAUCUUGGAAAAAAGACAAAUGCCACCUUCUCUUAUAGAAGUCAAUAAUAAUGAAGAAUUCAAGAUAGAAGAAGUCUUAGAUUCAAGACAAUGCCAAAAUAGAUUAGAAUAUCUUAUUCAUUGGUGCAAAUAUGAUAUUAAUGAACGCAUAUGAAAGCCAACAAAGAAUUUUACAAAUGCAACAAAGAAGGUUGAGGUUUUUCAUUGACAACAUCCAUCAAAAUUAAGAUGAAGAACAGCAAAUCUUUGCUAUAAAAGAAACAAGAUACAUGGAAGAUAGCAUUUUACCUUCUAUCAUUGUUUGUAGCUUUUGUAUAUUUGUGAACCUAAGGAGAUGGAAAAUCAACAACCAAUAGAUUCAACUCCAGAGCUAUUAUUUGUUGAGUUAUCAAACAAAACAUUACAAUUGUCACAACCUUCAAGCUAGCGUAAUCAAGAUGAAGAUCUUCAAGAAUAACAUGUCUUUCCUCAAAUAGGUGGCGAGAUACAAUAUGUUUGGUAUCAUGACCUUGGAAGGGGAUUCAUGAUGUUUGGUGAUUUUAUUAGAAGUAAGAACAACUCUCGGCCAUAUUUCAAAUGUUUCAUUUGAAGGAAGUUAUGAAGGCUUCAACAACGAUUAAAUAAUAGGGUGGUCUUUUUGCCAUGAUAUAUCAAGAUAUGUGGCAAAUAUAAUUUGGUGCAUCUAGGAUUUUCUUAACGUAUGAUUACUCUUUAUCAAACUUGUUUCUAGAAGGAGGGAUAAUAUCAUGGAUAUAUGUAUUUAUUCUAAUAAUUAUCUUUAUGAUUAAAUAAAAAUAGAUAAAAGUAGAUUAAUUUUAUAAUAUUUUUUGGAAGAGCUUCCUAGAAGCUUCAUAGACAUUGCUUUGGCUUUAUAUAUGUUUGUAGUUAAUUGGUAGGAUAGAAAUUUGGUCAAUAAGUUUGCUACAUGACACAUGUAUUAAUAGCUUGUAGAACAAGCUAACUAUAUGAUGCGCAUAUAGAUAAUUUGCUUUGUAAUUUGAAUCACAUUUCUAGCAAAGUCAAUACAUAUUGGAAGUCCUAUAGAAUAUCACCAUGUAGCUUCUAAUUAAAGAGUCUAUAUGGAUGCAAAAGUAAAGCCUUCUUCACUCUUGUCAAUGCUUUUUUAGCCAUUAUUUUUGUUUCAAGACUUUCUAGUCUACUUGUCUUUGGCAAUAGCUAUUCUAGUCCAAUAUAUUAUCAUCUUUGAAUGAUUUUCUAGUCUUUUUAAGUGGCACAAGAAUAUAUUGAGUUUUAUUUUUUAAAGAUUCAUGUCCUUGACAAUACAUUUUUUUUAUAAGUGCUAUAAUGGCUCUUGAUUGUCAAAGAUAAGAAUUUAAACAAGUGAAAAAUAAAUCAAAGAGAGAUGAAAAUUUAAAAAUAAGAAAAUAAGUAUAUUUAAUAAGAAACUAGAAUGGCUAUUGCCAAAAUUUAAAAAGUUAGAGUCUCUUGAAACUAGACUAUAAGCAAGAAAGGACUUAACAAGAUUGAAGAACACUUUACUCUUACCUCUAUAUAUACUACCCAUGUAAGGCUAUUUAACAAUGUUCUAUAAGACCUCCAACAUGUGUCCAAUUUACAAGAUACAUGCCUUGACUUACAAGCUAAGUUUCCUAUAAGUGCACCAUAUAAUUAGCUUGUACCACAAACUACCAAUACAUGUGACAUGUGGCUAAUUUGUUGGCUAUGUUUCUAACCUACUAAUUAUCUUUAGACAUGUAUUAAAGUGAAAUCACAUCUAUUAAGCUUCUAAGAAGCUUUUUCAGAAGAUAUUGUCAAAUUAAUCUACAUUUACUUACUUCUACAUAUUCAUAAUAUCUAAAUAACUAUAGAUAUAUCCAUGAUACUAGUUCUCUUAUAUUCUAUUAACAAUUUUAAAAAUUUGUUUUUUAAAAAUUACACUGUAGAAUUCAAAAAUAUCCAAUCAACCUAGGAACCUUAUAAGGCAUUCAAAUCUUCCUCAAUUCUUUUGUAACUCACUAAUUAGUAAAAAUAAUUUUUAUUAAAGACUUGAAAAAUUGCUCUAAAAAUUUCUAAAAAACUUGAAAUAAGUUCUUAAUAAAUUCUAAAAAUAUUUGUAAUUUUUCAUAAUUAUAAUAUUAAUUUAAUUAUUUUUUUCUUCUUAUAUUAGUAAUAUUUUUAGUAAUAGAAGAAAUUUAAAUCAACUAAAAAUCUUAUUUUAUAAAUAAAAUAUUAAAAAAUUAUGAUUUUUUUUUAUACUUUUUUUACCUAUUAAAUAAAAUUUAUGGAUUUUUUAAUAGAAAGUAAAUGUAGAUAGAAGGCCAAUUUAGAGAUUGGUUUUAAUAAAUAUAGAAUAAUUCUUACAAUUAAAAAAAGUUAUUGAACUAACUAAGAUAAUUGCUUCUAAGAUUUUUUCAUAUUUUAUUUUUAUGAUUUUAUUUUAUUUUAUUUAUUUUUUUUAAUAAGAUUCUUAAAAUUUAUUAACCCUUCCAACUAGAAUCUCUAAUCUUUAAUAUAUUAUUAGCUAAAUAAAUUAAAACUAUAUUUUAAACAAUUCCACCAACUACAAUCUAUUAGUAGGACUAACAAUUGCUAAGGAGUCCAAAUUCAAAUCCAUGGCUCUCAUUGAUUCAAAGUUCAAAAUCCAAGAUGAAGGCUGAUGGCCACUAAAUGAGCCCUAGAAAUUCUUUUUUGGCCAAAAUACCUACACCAUUGUGUUUAAAAUAUAUUUUCCAACAAAAAUUGACUAUUCACAUGCCUUAAUCUAUAGGAAUUUGUAAUACUUAUGAAGUUUAAAAGUAUGGCAAUUUGGAUUAAAAUAAAUUUAUUCCUAAAUUAAUUCUAACUUACGUCUAACUUACAUAUGACAUCCUAGUUAGAAUAAUUAGAUUAAAAAAUUUUAAUAAUAAAAGAUAAUAUAAAAAAUAAAAUUUACUAUAAAAUCAAUAAAUGAUCUAUUAAUUAUCAUUAAAAAAUCUAAUUAGGCUAUUUGUAUAUCAAACAUUAAUAGUCACAAAACUCAAUUAUAUAUAACCAUUGAAAUUAUGUAUAAUUUUUAGUGACAAAUAUACUGCGAAAAAAACUUAUAAAGAAGUUAAACAUCAAAGCCUUAGAAUACAAUAUUAUAGUCUGUAACAUUGUACUUGAAGUGUAUAGCAUAGAUAGUUGUUAUUCUAAGAUUUAGAUUGGAUUAUUGAAGAUGCAAUAGAUAAUAUAUCAAAAUGAACUUUUACAUCUUCUUUAGAUAGCACAUUAAAUAUAUCAUCCACAAAGAAAUUUUAAGAAGAAAAAAAGAAUGACUUAUUAGAAGAAAGUUGUCGCCAUCUUUUUCAAAUUAAUUGCCAAAUACUUUUGUUUUAUAAUGCACUCUCAAACCUUUAAAUACAAUUCAAAGAUUACUGUGCAAUUCUUCAAAAUAUUUAUUUACAACAUUGAUAAUAUUACCCUUAGUAUGGACAAUAUUUCAAAAGAUAAAAGAGAUCAAUUCACCAUUACAUUUUUUCUUUUAUAACUUUUAUUUUAGCAAUAUUUAAAAAAUUAUUGACAUAUACUUAAAGAAAAUUUCUUUAAAAUGAAAAAAAUCGAUUAUAUUAUCCUCUUUGUUUUGCAUAUUGGUUUUUGGUAUUGUACAUAAAACAACAAAUAAAGAAGAAUAGUGAAUAUAGAGGCAACACAAUAUAUAUAUAUAUAUAUAUAUAUAUAUAUAUAUGAAUUAUAAUAUGAAGGAAAAUAUGAGAUAAGUUUAAAGAUGAAAAAAAUAUAAUUAUUUUUAUUUUUUUCAUCCAUUAAAGAUGGACAAUGAAUAAAAAAUCAAAGAAGAAAAGAAGAUAAAAUAAAAAUAUUAUAUAUACAAGAUGAAUGAUUAAACUUGAAAAGAUAAUAUGGUGAAUUAAAAGAAAUGAUCUACAUCAAUGAAUGCUAUAAAAAGAUUGGUUUUGAAAAAUAGAAAAGUUGUUUGGUAUAAGAGCCUGAAAGCCAUUUUGAUUUGUAUAGUAUAUAAUUUAGAUAAGAUGUUUUAAAAGUAAAAGCUAAAUAUAAAGAUUAAAUUUACCUUCCAGUCUAUGUCAUUAUAUAGUCUUAAUUAAGAAUUUUUUAUAAUUUGUGGUAUAAUAUAAAAAAUAUAAUAAUAAAAAAUAAAUAAAGAAGAAAAAAAAGCUAAAUAAUAAAGACUAUCAAAUAUAUAUUCAAUUAAAAAAUAGUCAUUGUCUAUUUUUAAGAUUUUUAUUUGAUAGAAUAUAAAUUAUAAAAGUAAAAAAUAUAUUUUUAUGUAGUUUUUUUAUUUACUUAAAAAUAUAUAAAAUCAAAAAAAUUUAUAAAAUUAUUAUAGUUUAAAAAUAAAAAAUUAGGUGAUUAGAUUCUACCUUUAAAAUAAUUAAAUUAAGUAAUCAAAGAUUUCAAUCUCACUAAAAUCCAUAAGUAAGGUGUAGGUGUCAAAGACUCUACAAAAAUAUUAUUGUCAUCUAAAAACUCUCAAAAAACAUCAUUUAUUAGAUAUUAAAAAUAUACUAAUAUUAAAUCUAUUUUUAUAUAGAUCUUAGUUUGAUUCAAGUGAUCAAGAAGUUUAGAUAUCAUAAGUAGUCGAUACCUAUUCUUGAUGGUGAUUUUAUUAAACUUUCAAUAAUCAACAGACAUCUACAACAAUCUAGCUUUUUUCUUCACAAAUAAAAUUGGAGCUUUUAUGGGAGAUUUGAAAUGGUGUAUGAAGUUUUUGGCCAGAUUUUCUACAAUAUACUCCUUGACUUUAGCCAAUUCAUUUUGUGAUAAACUAUAAAUUAGUCCAAAUGAUAGUUGAGCUCUUUCUUAAAGGUCAAUUGAGUAGUCAUAGAGAUGAUGUUUUGGUAGAGUAUCCAUAUUCUUCUUCUCAAAUACAUCUUAAAAAUCUUAUUAUUGGCUUGAAAUGACACUUGAAGUCUUUCCACCAUUAAAAAUAGGUGCAACAUAAAUGAUAAAAGAUAAUCCUUCCUUUGCAACAUGCAAGAAAGGUCUUGUAGCUGUAAAUAUAAGUUUAAUUGCAUUAGACUUAUGACUUUUUAUUUGAUUAACUAUACUCUUAAAUAUAUUUUCAAAAAAUUUAAGACAACAAGAAAUCCAAUCUAUCUUUGAAUUAUAUUUUUUUAGCCAUAAUAAAUCUAAAAUUAUUGGAUUAGAAGAAGAUCUAAUGAUAUUAAAUAUUAUAAAGCUAUUAUGACUAUUAGUUGUUACUUCUAUAGGAAGGAUUUUAUGAAUAAUAUUUCUUGAAGAUAGUGGACAAUCUAUGACUUCUACAUCAACAAGUCUAGUUUUCUUCACUAAAAGUAUGCUAUGUCUUUUAGCAAAUUUUUCAUCUAAAAAAUGCUAAGGCUCCUGAAUCUAACAAGAUAAAAGCUUUGUGAUGUUUGGGUUCUAAAAUAACAUUUAUUAUAAAACAAGGAGAUGAUUUUGAAGAGAGAAUACGACCUUUACUAAGUCUUGUAUAGGGUUCCAAUCAUAGAAUGCUUAUUGUAGUUGGACAAACUUAUUUUUUAACAUACUAUCUUUUUUGAUGGCCAUACUAUUCAUUUUAUAGUUGCAUUGCUUCUUUAAAUAAUGUUGAGCAAUGUACUUAGAUUCUCUAUAAUAUAAGCAGAAUUUUUCUUGAUGACAACGAGUCUUUUCUUGCUCAAUAAGAAGAUUGAAACGUACCACAUCAAUUUACAUAUUCUCUACUUUUAAAUAUGUGUAUUAAAAAUACAUUGGCAUUGUCAUUGAAUUAUAAUAAUAUUGAGGUACACUUGUGCAACUUUUAGAUUGAAAUUCAAAAAGUCAAUUGUCACACUUCACAGCAAAGUCAAUUGUUUGAUUCAAUGUGUGAGGAUCAAGUAAGUUGAGCAUCAAUUUUUUUAUCUCAUAUUAUAAUUGAUAGAAGAAUUGGCUAACAAGUACAACAUCAUCCCACUUGAUAUUAAUUGCAAGUUGUCAAAAUUAUCAAGCAUAUAAUGUCAUCAAUUAAUUACUUUAUCACAAAAUACAGAUCUUAUUGGUUGCAAUAUAAAUUACAUCAUAUUCUCCAUAUAUGGAUCAAAAUUCUAUUAAAAAAAGUCUCAAAGUUAUCCAAUAUUAGAUCUUGUUGUUUAAGAAAAGAUGAAAACCAUACUAAUGUUGAAUCUGAAAGGAGUAUAUCAAUGAAUCUAACUUACAAUCUUGGAGUUAGAUAGCUUUGAGGUUGAAGUUCAAUCACAAGUUGUACUUAAUUUAUGAAUCCUCAAAACUUGAAUCUUGUGCCAUCAAACUUCUCGGGUAGUGCAAUCCUUAGUUCUUUAAUACUAGAAGAAUAUUCUACUAUAGAAGAAAAAACAUGAUUUGGUACAAAUGUUGAAGUAGCUUCAAUCACUUCUAUAUCUUUGCCCCCUGGUAUUCUUAUUGCUUCAUGUAGUGGUAAAUUGAAUUGCUAUAUUACAAGCAUUAACUCCCUCAAUUGUUCUUGUAUCUGUGCCAUUGCAGUCUUCAUUUCAAGAAGCUCUGCCAUAAUAACACUUAAAAAAAAAAGAUGUUUAAUAAUGCUCAAGACAAAUAGAAGAGAAGACUUAAUAUAUAUAUAUAUAUAUAUAUAUAUAUAUAUAUAUAUAUUAAGGAAAAUAUCAAUUUAGAAGAGGGUAAUUUAUAACUCCUAAAACGCUUAAGUCUUAUGAAAAUAAAAAGGUAAUCCACUCUUAAUUAAGAAAAGACAAAGCUUUGACAUUGUAAAUAUACUCUAGUCAAUAUGUCAAGGACAAGAACUUGAUGAAAGCAAAUAAAUAAGUAAGACUCUUUCAAAGAAAUAAAAAUAGAAAAGUUUAUAUAUUAAAAAAAAAAAAAAAAAAAAAAAAAAAAACCUGAAAUGGCUAUUGCCAAAAGACAAGAAAAUUAGAGAUUCUUGAAACUACACUAGAAAUAAGAAAGGAACUGACAAAAGUGAAGAAGGCUUCAGUCUUACCUCUAUAUAUACUAUCUACCGAGGAUCUAUGUGGUGACAUUUUAUAGGACCUCCAAAAAUGUGUUGACUUUGCAUGACAUGUAUCUUAAUUUACAAGGCAAGUUUUUUAUAUAGGCGCCACAUAGUUAUCUUAUUUUGUAAGCUAUUGACACAUGUGGCAUGUGAUUAGCUUAUUGACCAAGUUUCUAAUGUACAAAUCAACUACAAAUGUAUGUAAAGUCAAAACAACAUUUAAGAAGCUUCUAGGAAGGUUUUCUAAAAGAUAUUAUGAAAUUAAUUUAUUUUUAUUUACUUCUACUUAUUCAGAUUAUCUAGAUAAUAAUUACAAUAGAUAUAUAUCUAUGGCAGUAGGAUGUUCUAAAAGAACCACAAGACCUUGGUCUUAUCCUACUAUCUAUAUCCAAGGUGCUACAAUCUAUUUAAAACAUAUGCACCUUCCUUCCUACUACUACUACUAUAAUUGCUUAUCACUCUAUUUUCUAUUAAUAAUACAUCUUUUUUUUUAUAAAUUUGAAUAUACCAUAGUAAUCAAAAAUAUUAAAUUGAAGUAAGAAUCUUCUAAGGCCUUCAAAUCUUCUUUUAAUUCUUUGCAUUGCCCUCAUAAAGUGAUAAAAUUAUUCUUUCAAAUGUUUUGAAUAUAAUUUUAAGAAAUUCCUAAAAUUUUAUAAAUAAAAAUUAUAAAUUAUUUUUAUAUUUUUAAUGUACUAAUUUUAAAUUAAAUAUACUUUAUUUUAUUUUGGUAAUAAAAUUAUAUUCAUUUAAUUAAAAUUCUUAUUUUCUACAUAAAUUAUAAAAAAAACCAUAAUAUUCUUUAUUAAGCUUUUUUAUCUAUUAAUUAAUACUAUUAAGUUUCUAAUUUAAAAUGAUUAUUUUUAGAAGCUAAAUUUUAUAUUUUGGUCUCAAGAAAUUAUUAAAAAUAAUCAAAAUUAAGAAAAAAAUUCUUAAAUUAAUUAAGAUAAUUGCCUUCAAGAGUUGCUAAGAUUCUAUAUUAUGAUUUUUUAUUUUAUAAGAUAAAAUAUCUUUUAAGAGUUUUUUGGAUUUUUAAAGAAUUAUUUUAGAGAUAAAAUUUAAUUUUCAAAUAAACACUUGAUUUUUAGUAUGAUUUUUGAUUACACAUCUAUAAAACAAUUGGUGACAUAAUUCAUCACAAAGACUUGCUUUGAAUUUUCUUUAAAGUCUUGCAAGAUGGAUUGGUGUGAAAUAUGACAAAAAUUUAGUAAAUAAUGCUCAUAGUUUCAUAUUAACUUAUAUUUCUUGAUGAUUUUCAAAAAAAUAUAUAUAUUUUUUAUUUUUUAUUUUCUAAGUGUCAUGUAUGUGUAUAUAUAUUUAUUUUUUAACUUUAAUUUUUCUAUAAACCAUUAAAUUUACUAUCUAUAAAUCUUUAAAAAAUUAGAGAUUUUAAAAAGAUAUAAGUAAAAAUAAAAGAUAAAAUAUUUUGCAUAUUAUAAAACAAAUAACAUUAAAAAUUAAACAUUAUUUAAUUAAAAAUAUAUUUAAUAUAUUUUUUUCUUUUUUAUAUAAAUUUUAUUUUAGUAUGUAUAUUAAUAAUAUUUUUUUUUUAUAUUUUUAUAAUUGGUAUACUAUAAUAAUUUUUAAAAAUAAUUAUUUGAAUUAAGUAUUAUAUGAUGCAAUCUUAGAAGAUGCAACACUAAUCAAAAAUUAUUUUGUACUUUCUUAUGCAUAUACAUUCUAUAAAAAUAUUAUGCCACUUUAAGAUAAGUAAUAUAUCUUACAUUUAUCUUUUUUAACUUUUUUUUGCUAAUGCUUUGUAUUUUUGUAAUUUUUUUUUAUUUUUUCUUGUUUUUUCUUAUUUUUAUAUAUAUAAAUAUUUUUUUAAUAUAACUCAUUGUACAUAUUUAAGUAAUUUUUUUAAAUAUCAAUAUAAUAGUUUUAUUUUUUUUGGUGUUUAGGACGAAAGAAAUAUAAUUAAUGAAUAAACAAUAUUAAGUGUCUUUUCACUUUUUUUUUCAAAAUAAAUUAAAUAAAACUAUUCAUCAAUUUCUAUUGAUAUAUAGAUUUGUUUUUGGAUAUUUUAUUAUUUUGAGAUUUUUUAAUAUUCUUUGUUUAUUUUUAUGUUUUCUUUUUAUUUAUUACACAUAGUUCUUGUAUGUUUUUAAUUCUAAAUCAAAAACAUACCAUAUAAUAUAAUAUAAUUUUAGAUAAAAUUUAAUUUUUUUUAUUCAUAAGAAAAUUAAGAAAAUAAAUAUUGUUAGUUUUUUUAUUUCUUUAAAUUAUUUUUUAAAAUUUUAUAUAAAAAUCUUAUUUAUUUAUAAUUUUUAAAUAAUUAUUUUUUAUUUUAGUAUAAUAUUAAUUAAUAUAAAAUAAUUAAUCUCAAAUUCUCUUAUUAUUACAUUUAUAAAAUCUUAUACUUUUUAUUUAAAUGCCAAAAUUUAAUUUUCUUUAGAAAUUUUAGUUUUUAGUUUUUAUUUUUUAGUUUUUAUUUUCUUUUUUUCUUUUUUUUUCUUUUAAUGUCCAAAGAUGAGAAUUUUUUUAUAUUUUACAUUUAGUAUUAGUAUGUUUUAAAAAUAUUAUGUGAAUUUCCAACAUGAAAUAAAAUAAUUCAUUAAUCUAAGUUAUAGUUUUAAAUUUAUUGAUUAUGCAUAUUUUUAAUUAUAAACACUAUUCAUUAAUAUAUUACUUAAAAUAAUUGGUUUUUAUUUAUUUUCCCAUACUUUAAAUAAUGAUAUUCUAUUAUUUCCUAUACAUAUACUACAAAUUUUUGUAACAACUUCCUACCUUGUAAAAUAGUUAAAUAUUCAACAAAAGAAAAUAAAAAGCUAGAAUAAUUUAAAAGACAACUAUAAACUUAGAAUCUUAGUUUUAUUACAAAUUUUAUUUAAUGAUAAGUUUUUAGUUCUUUUUGGCUUAAACUAUCAAAGAAUAUAAUACAAUUUUAUAUUUGUAAGUGUAUUCUGAUGCAAUUUGCUAUUUCUGAUAAAUAAUAGUAUUAAUAAUUUUAAGGCCAACUUUGUAUCUAAUAAAAAAAAUUAAAAUAGAGAUGCUAUUUUGGAUAACUACAACUAUUACUAUAAUCCAUUUGUUUUCACAUGCCUAUUUUGUAUGAAGAACUAAUUACAAGAAACUAUGUGUGCAGUAUAUUGUUUAGUAACUUGAAACACAUCUAUCAAAAGAAUUAUUUUACUAAUUUGAAUUUCUUUCAAUUAGGCUUGUAGGAAAUGCAUGUGAUGUCUACAUAAAUAUAUAAUUUGAUGCAAUUAUAUUGUAUAAAUAUUUAUAAAUGCAUCAAAUGAUUAAAAAAAAAGUAAAAUCCAAUGUUAGAACAUUUAUGUGAAAUACCACAAGAUAGUAGAAAGGUGUUAACAUCUUUUAUAAUAAUUUUAGAGGCAUUGUGUGUGAUUUGUUAACUUGGCUUUUAUCAUUCUAUUUAAGGUCAAUCAAAGUAUCUUCUCCAAAUUUAAUUAUACAUAUAAAUUUCUUUCAACCACCUUCAUUUUAGAUUUUAAUAGCUAUGUCAACCUCCACAAUCUAAUCUUCUUUCAUGCACAUAUAAAAACAAUCAUUUACAAUCAUAUUUUUAACAUGGAAAUAAAGUUUUUACAUGAGAAAAUAUCAUAUAAACCCCUCAAAUAUGUUAAAAUAUCAAAAAUAUUCUUCUAUUCUUGAUAAUAGCAAAUCUACCCCACUUUUGCAAUAAUAACAAAUCUACCCUUGAAUAUGAUAAGGUAUCACCACUCUUUCUUUUUUAGGUACAUCUGUGCCUAAAUUGCAUGCUUCACAAAUUUUGGGGCAACCCUUUUUGGCACUUUUUGGCAUAAUUCCUCUCCUCCUGGUUUGUUGAUGUCUGCAUGCCACACAAAUUUCUAUAAAAAUGGUGAUAAUUUCUUCACAACUGCACCAUUUGCUGUAUGGGUGGUUUGAAGGGAUGGUUUGAAGCUUGAUUACAAGUUUAGAAGGGCACCUCCUUGAAGAUUUGUUGUUUUGAUUGAAAGUGAUGGAGUCAAUUCCAUGACUUGGGCACUGUGAGAGCGAAGGUGGCGUGAGGUUGUGAAGGUCCAAGGAACCGGGGAGUUUGAAGGGCACUCUCUUUGUCUGCGGGUGUCACUCCCUGGCUUCGGUUCUUGCCGAGAGGACUGCAACGACAAGAAGGGCAGAGCUGGCAGAGAGGACAAAGAAUAAGAAAAUACAAAAAAAAAGGGCAAUGUAGUCCAAUUUUUCACUCAGGAGCUUCCGUCGCUGGGACUUAGACCCGGGUCGCUUUGGUGGGAACCGAGUAUCCUAACCAUCUAGAGUAUAAUGGAUGCGGACAGCAGUCUGAUUUGCCGCCGCGAAUUCAUAUUACGAACGAGUCGCACAACUACUCCGGUCCACCAAUUGUGCCCUCCGCACGACUCGCUACGCCCUUCCAAGCUUCAUGUUUGCAAGAGACUACCUGCCGAAUCACAAAAACGCGCGCGCGCGCUCUGUCUCCCGUGUAACCCCGAUGUUCAAACGCUGCCCGAUGUCCUCUGGUCCACCAACCGGUGCCCUCCGUACGGCUUUGACGGGGUUUCGUACAACACCCUCCCCGAACUGACCGUAGUCUACCACCGUUUUAAACCGAAGGUGUGACCCACCCACCUCGCCUUUCAACCUCACCCCCCAUGCAUGUGCGCUCAACGUCGGCUUGCUACUACCGUAGCAAACCCAUGGUUGCCCAGCAUCCGCUCCUCUCCCCCCCGAGUCACUUUCCAACAACUCGCUGCUCCGCCUGCCCUCCCAGAAAUGUUGUUUUUCUGUGUUGUUUGUUCGAUUUGUUCUGUUUUUUGUUUUUUAGGCAAAUGCAGUCUUUCGUGAGCUUCCGCUUGCGAGUAACAUCCUGCAUUCAACACUAUCUUUCGGAGGCAUUCUUGUCCUAAUGUUGAUUUUGACAAAACCUACUCUUCACUGGGUGUCAAUGAGGCGAAUGGAGAUGUUCAUCUCCGUUGAAAAUUCAAGCAGUGAAAUUCAAUUUUUUUAGCAGCCAAAUCUGUGUAGCACGCAUACAUCGACAGACAUUGCAUAUAAAAAUGCAUUAGUCUAUUGGUCAAUGAGAUGGCUUGUUUAUAUUUUUUAUAUUUUAUCUUUGUUUUUAUUUUCUUUUGUAUAUAAGCAUAUUAUUAAUGGUCUUGGACCCAAUACCUCAACAUGACACAAAAAAAUUAUAUUGUACAUAAUGGUGAUAAAAGAAGACAAAUUAACAAUUUUGGCUAUAAAUUAAAUGUGAUUUAUUUGAACUAAAUUUUACAAUUAACAUAUAGAAUUGUGUGUGCAUAUAUAUAUAUAUAUAUAUAUAUAUGAAAUUUAUUUGGUUUAAGUUUCAAUAAUUAUUUUGCAUAAAAUUAGCUAAAUGUUAUUCUAUAUGAUAAACAUAAUAAAAGAUUACACGAUAUUUGAGCUCUUCUUGCAAAUCACUUAAGAUAAAACAAAAAUAAUAUACAUUUUGAGUGCAUAAAAAAUAGAUGAAAAAUACAUUAAUUUUAAUUUUAUCAAUUGUAGAAUUUGACGUAAAAAAAAAUAAAAGGCAAUAUUUAUUAGAAAACUUGAAUGAAAUAUUUUGAUUGCAACAACAAUGUUUCUGAUUUCUUAUGAUAUAUGUACAAUCUAUCAAAUUUUAAAGCUACAGCUUCUACAAUGAGCUUUGAGCCAAGAAUGUGCUAUUUUGAAUAAAAGUAGGGUCAUAAUAUUUAAUAAGGUUCUAACGACCAGCAAUUGAUCCACAAUCCACGUUAACUAUAGUAAAAUGAAUAAAAAAUUACAAUCAAACCUAAAACAAAGUAUGGUUCAUCGUUUUGAUCACCUUCUUACAAAGUUGGCAUGUACUAUCUUACAGGUUGAAACUUUUGGUGGUUGUUGAAACAGAGUCAUAAACAACAUGAACAUCACUGAGUAGCUCUUGACACAGGUUAACAUGGCUGGACUUCUGACAGGUAUCAGAUAGCGUUCAAGUGCCUUCAGACUUGAAAUCCUCCCCCACAUGUUUCUCGUCGUAAUAUAUUCCAACGAAGAUUUUUCCCCCAUCCUUCCACACUCUCAAUGCACCAGUGAACUGAAAAAGGUAUGCAGAGAUCCGCAGUAGAAUUCGAAAUACAGAGACAAGGUGACCACAAACUAGCUCUAACUAUGGUCGUAUAUCAUGGUAAGCUGUAAUCUGGCAUCGAAGGCUAAACUCCGCAAGAUCGCGGAGUGCUCAUGGAGAGAGCAACUUAACAAAGCGAGUCACCAGCGUUAAUCACAGUUGAGAGCAUCCAAGAGGCAAGAGUGUCUUUUCUAAUGGAAUUAGUGGUCAUGUCUGGUUUAGCAAGCAGGUUCUAUCUCUGGGUUAUCGGAGUCGAUACAGAAUACACAUUAGUUCGUAUAGUCUCAGAUUUAUCGCCAGCACAAAGGAAUGAUGAAAACUCCGCGAUCUUGCGAACUCCAUCUCAUUCCUUCCAUCAUUGAAUUUGCGAUAGUCAUGUGGUGAAUUUGAGAUGAACGGAGCAACCAACCGGACUGUGGUGAACGGUUUUCAUAGUUUACCCCAAAUAGUUGCUCCUCUGCCAACUAGUCAUGAAAGCAAAUUCGUACUUGUUUCCUUUCAUAUCAAUGGUAAGAAGCAAAUUUUAGAGAAACUGUUGAGCACCGCAAGAUUGGAUCUUAGGUUCUCCCUGGACGAUAAUGGGACCCUAGUCGAAGAAACAUGAAUAUUGUUGUGGGAUGGCUUCACCUCUCGAUUUUACAAUUGACAUUGUUCUUGGUGCAAUGAGAAGUCGUAGCUUGAAGAAUAUUCCCUAAUGGGCAGCAGUUCUAACGAGCAGCACGAAAGUUAUCUAUAACCCUCCAUCUCCUGUUCUGAGGGUGGUUCUUUCAUGGUCCUUUCUGCAGAAAAAAUACACACGAAAUAAUGUCGUCAGGAAUUUCCUCAGAAGGACUCAAUGAUCUCAACACAUUUUAUUUCUGUUUCACAUAUCAUGGAAUGAAAGUUCAACCUGCAGCUAUACAUUUUGCAUUCCGCUAAGAGAGUACAAGAAGAACUGGGUGGUAUACUUACCUUGCUUCUCCCGGAAACGAAGCUCAUGGAGCUCUUGUAAAACAGCACAACAGCAGCAGCAGACAUGCGCCCAAUAAUCGCUAAAACAAUCACCCUGCAUAAAUUCACUUCAUAAGUAUUUGUACGAUAGGAAUUUAGCAAUAGGGAUUUACACAACCAUACCCUGGUAUAUAACUUCAUGAAAGCAUUCCCUGUAGCACUUUCUCUAAUCCAGUUCAAAUUCGUUGACAUUCAGACGUACAUGGAUCCUAUCAGUUUCUCCAGGUUUUUCAAGAGGCUUACUGGGAUAUCGAAUCGGCGACGGACCUUUCUUCGUAUGCAAGAAGUGUAACAACAGCACCCACCGUAGAGUGAGUGAAACGCCAGUUGACUGCAUGCAGAGUCUUCAGCUGUAUACAAUCCCAAGUUAAUGAGCAGUAACUUCUGCUCUGGUUUUUCAGAAACAGCAGCACAGUAUUUACCUCAACAGUGGACAUAAAUAAAUAGUGAUAUUCAGAUGCUACUGACUUCCUGCGUUAUAGUCACAUCAAUUCUUUUUCCUGAGCAAAAGGACGAGAGGUUCGAAAGAGCAACGUACAAGUGCCGCCAUCUGUAACUGAACUUGCAACAAGAGUAAACGUCCCGCAAGGAUAGCAGAAAGUUUCGAUACCUGUUCCAAACCAUACAAACCACAGUCUACCUCAACAAGGUGGAAGAAAUCGGAGUGUGUAUAUUAGUAAAAGUCACUAUUAGAUUUGAUGCGCUCCACGUUAUCUCUACAGCCAAACGAAAUUCUAUCUGAUACUGUGAUAUACACUUUACGUACACGUAUCCAUGUUGAAUGUUCUAACUAAAAUUCGAGGCAUAGUAGAUAAUUUCACAUGAUAACUCACACAAGCAGGGGUCAACGCAGCAGUCGAAAAGGUCAUAGCGCCAGUCUUUGACAUAAUAGUUGCUAUAAACGCUGUUGCAGGGCAAAUCUUUCCUAGCCACUUCAUCGCACACAAUCAUCUGCUGGUAAUCAGAAGGGAAGCCUUGCCUGCAGUAAAGCAUCCCUCAAUCCAUGAGACUACAGUAUAUUUCCAAAAGAUCCAUGUCUACCUCACUGUCCUCAUGUCUGCAUUGCACAACUUUUUGUGAGGAUAAUGAAAGUGUAGAGCUAAGUUACAUGAAGGUGCAGGAUGCGAAUUCAAUUUAGAAUUCAAGCUCGGCACUUACAACGACGGUUUUAGAUGUUUCAUAUGGCGCUUAGAUGACUCCACCACUUCGGUCCUGGUGUGAGGUUUCCGAUGUCUCUCUUCCUCCUCGUUAUCCUCUUCAGGUAUUUCGGCCAUGGCCUCUGCAAGGAUUACCGGGUCAGCUGCAGCAGCUUCUGUGAAGUCUAUCAAGUGCUCAAUCACGCCGCAUUUUUCUAGCUCCAUGCAUGCCUGCACAAAGAAUACACCAACGCAUCAUCAUAUUGCACAGCAAUAUGCAUGCAGGGGCCGGUCCCGAAGUACUCCCUUCCAUCAUCUUACGCUGAAAAUGACAUGGCCCUGAACUUAAAGUAGUUCCCAGAUUCUUAGGAUCAAGUUUCGGACCCAAGUUCAGAGCCUGUCAUUUUGAUAAAAGCUCUUUUUCGUUUUUAGCUCUAUUCAACCAGAAAAGCACGGCUAGAAGGAUACGAAAUAAUCGGCCAUCACAUCAGAAAGGUGGAGUCAAAAUUGCAGAGUACAAAAAGUUACUCACCCUCAUGUGUUCCAGCUCCUUCUGCAACUUAGCAUUUUCUUCCCGCAAAGCGAUGUCUAAGGGCAUACCAGGGUAGCGGCGUGACAGUUGUCGUGAUAAUCGCAUGGAAUCUCUCCGAGUGUGCUCGGGCUUCAAAAGUGUCUCUUGCACCUUAACAUCUGAACGUUCCAUCGUGUACGACCGUUUAUCUUUAACAAUUGCCCGGAUACGUUCCUGCACCAUUAGACAUUGUCUAUUGAGGACAACAAAACAACUAGAGGAACUCAUAAACAUCUAUUGGCAUAAAAGAUUGAGACAAACCGUUCGAGACAACUACACCACAAUGUACUCUAAGAAACUGGUUCUUGAUCAAUGAGCACUGACGUCAGUGAAACCAGAUAAUGAGCUGAAUGUUUAAUUGCCACGCAAGCUUGUGUUUGGCAAAAUUUCACAAGUAGAAUUCUAAACGGCGGCACAAACCGGUAACGUGGUCUGAGACGAUUCUGUGUCCUCUUCUCUCUUUCGCCGUAGCAGGUGCCAAUUUUACAUAAAACAUUGUGUAGAUUACUCACUGAAACUAGCUACAAAAAAUCAAUGUGAAGCAAAGGACCUGAUUCUAAGAAUCUGCCACGAUUCCAUGCAUGAAAAUUUAGCUGAAACCUCGGCACUGAAGAUUUUGGAGAUGAUUCUGUGUUCAUGUUUAACAUUUCGCUUGCUAGCGCAGUCGAUCAUUUCACCGACGAAUUUCUACGUCAAUCUCUACGAUGAAAUGGUAGAUAGACAUACCCGACUAUUUUCAACGAGGGAGAUGAGAGGAAUGAGCUUGAGAUAUUUGUCGAUUUCGUCCUGGUAGUCGCGAAACUUGGUGACGUACAUCCACCCCAUGGCCACAAGAUACAAGUAGCUUUUGUCACGGCAGCUUUCCACAAGCACGACCGCCUUGCGCAGCGCUUGCUCUAGGUGCUCCAGCGGCUCCCGGCACUCGGGACGCUCUUUAAGAUCCGUGAGGUUGAGCUGCUCCAGCAAGUUGGCAAUCAAUUUGAGGUGUUGUGCGAAUUGUCGGCAGUUCUUCUUGUGCAUACGUGCGUUGUUGGCGGCUUUCACAAUCAUUGCAAUUAGCUGCACUGCAUUUAUGCCAGCAAGCUGACCGAAGCUGGCAACGUCACCCAACGCGAGCCACGGCAUCCAAUUGAACAAGGCCGCCAUUGUGACCGCAAACUUGAAGAGUCCUCUCCGCCUAUUCAAGAGCCUUCUCAGCUUUCACUAGAAAAUUUCAUGUUCAUUGAAGCAUACUGAAUGCGCAGCUCUCAACUUCCUCUCCACAAACAAGAUCUAGGAGUGAAUCGGACGAGGUUUAGACUUGUGAUCCAAGGCUAAACCGACUGCAGUCAUGACUUCUUCCUGAUCUGCAGUAAAAUGAAGCAUCUCCUAAACUGCUCUUAAAAUAGCACAAUCGGAACUGUCAUCCACGCCAAAAAAUACAUAAUAUUGAAGAAUCUCAGAACUCCGAGAGCGACUCUCUCAAAAUUACACUCCAGAUAGGGAAUGGAACUGACAAUAAUUCCACUACGUUUCUUUUGAUUCACGAAACGAAAAAUAAAAACAAAAAUAUAAGAGAGAGAUGCGGGGUUCUAUCUCGCAUAACAUCCACACAUUCUCUACAAGACGAAGUUGCUUCCUCUGUCAAGUAAAUGUUGUUUUCAGACUCUUACACACCGCCCCUACACCUACUCCCUUUGAGUACCUUCAAACGAAAGCCUGGCCAGAAAUGGCACUUACACUUCAAGCCAUUUCUGCAGGGACCUACACUCCGUGACAAACUUUCUGAGCAGACCUUCAGCUGCCAUGCGUGCAAAACACAUCCCUCAUACACCUUGCCUGGUUUGCAGAUUUCAAAGAUUCAAGAAGACGCCAUAGCCAGGUCCUAUCGCGUCACGAGCAUUAGCGACAAAGGUCGCAAUUAUGAGUUGCGUGGGUUCUCUUGUACAAGAAGCCAGACUAUCAAAACCAAAGCAACAAAAUCCGAAAGCCAUGAGUACAUCGUUGUCGCCAAAAUCCCUCACUACGUCUACAACUGUAGGGAGGUCCCACCACAUCCAUCAACGCAACGACAGUACUGUCUUCUCUCCGCACUAUAACACCGUCUCGUCGCAAUGCCACAAUGAUCUCGUUCACUGUAUGUACAGGCGUUAAGAUUCACAAGUUCACCUCACAAUUGCGCAGCAUCGGUGCGUAGCGUCAAGGUUGUUGAUUGAAGCGGGAUGAUAGAUCGCCGCCGUGGUGCCGGUAAUAAUUUGAUCUGCAAAGUGCAGGGAAAGAGAGUGGGAGAAUGAUUGAUGAACUACGGGCUUCGCCAUAUCCCAUCCGCACAUCAACAAAAUCCUCCGCUGGCAAUGCCUCACGCCAUAGCUCAUCCCAUCGAUAAGCUCGUACUUAUUGGAGCAACGGAGCUUCACGACAUGUCCCGUAUUAACAUGUGCCUCAUGCUCAUCACUUAUAUACCACUAUUUGAAACUCGUGCAGUUGGCUACUAAAAAAAACAAUGUAAAUAUUGAUUUUUUGUUUGAAGCUUCUCAUGAGGUGAAACUCCAUGUUGCAUGAUGUUCCACAAUGUGGUGCUUUCAAGCUUCACUCUUAGUGAUCUAGUGCUGCUACUCUAGGCAAUCUCUAUCAAUGGCAUGCAGCUUUUGAUGUCUUAUUGAUCAAAAGUUGAAUAGUUGCUUCACAUUUAAUGAAAAUGAUGAAAUAUGUUGCCAUUUAGAAUGGUUUUUGUUUCCUUUGGUUUAUCCAGAUGGUUUAUCUCCUUGUACUGUUUUAUAUAAGAGAUUCCUUAAAAUAGAAGCCUAAAUUAAGAAUAUUGCAUUAAGGAUUAAGAAUGUUGUAAAAUACCAUAAUAUGUUUAUUGUUUUGAUAUUGUUUAAAAUAUUCUUUCAAAGUGCUGUGUAGAGAGUUUUUUCUUCUUCUUUUUUUUUUUUUUUUUUUUUUUCUUUUCUUUCUUUCUUUCUGUUGUAGAAGGUCAUAUUUUGUAAAUUUUUUUUUCUUAGUAUUCUUUUUUAGGUGGAUGAUGUACAUGGAAGUGAGAGUAAAUCCACCUUUAAUUUUGUCAGUGUUUGUUUAGAAUGGUAUAGCUCUUGUGACUUUGUGCUUUUAUGUGUACCUGAUUCUGUAUUAUUGUACUAUUGUGUCUAUUCUUGAUUUUUUAUUUUUUUUAUGUCAUUAAUAUCAAAUCAUUUUUUAAAAAACUAAAAUUCAAACACAAAAAAUAAACAGUGAGGGUAAUAAUUUCGUGUGGAUUUUUAAAAUACUAUAAAAUGUCAUCCAUAUCAAAAGCAUAUCAAUAAAAUAAUUUGUAUUUUUUAUGUUUUUAAAUGGUAAUUUAUAAAUUAGGUAUGCUUACAACAUGUUUAUUUUAAGAUUAAAAAACAAACUAAUGAUAUAUUUUUCAACGAUGUACCCUCAAUAAUUAAUGAGAUUAUGAGUAAAAUUUGAAAAGUCAUUGGUAACAUUUUACAAAAUCAAAGUAUGAUUUAAUAUUAAGAAACUGUUACCAUAGAAGUAUGAUUUCUUUUGUGGGUUCCAACAUUUAACUACCAGAAAUAAAUUAUUUAAAAAUAAUUUAUUGUUGGUUUAAUAUAUAUACAUAUAUCACCAUAUUAUGCAAUUAGAUGCAGACCACUUUUGUCUUUACUAUCUUUAACAUUAUUUGGUAUGUGUUUUGAUAUUUGUGAAGCAUAAAAUGUAAAGUCUUAUAAACUAUUACAAUCCAUAUACCACAAAAAUCUAGGAUCAGUGGGUUAGGUUUGGUAGUAUGCAAUAAAACACACACAAAAAGUUCAUGACCCAGAUAUGUUCAAUUUUUGAGGUAAAAAACAAAUUGUAUAAUAAGAUGAAAUUUUUUGUAUGUGAAAAAAUGCUUUUGUGUGCACAUAUGUCUAUGAUACUAAUAUUCAUUAUAACUGUAUCGACGUGAAACCUUUUUCUUGCAUGAAAAACUUCUUAAGUUUCUGUUCCAACUAAUAAAUGUUAUUUAUCUAAUUAUUCUUGCCAUGUAGUUUCCCAAAUUAAAAUUUCAAUGGCCACUGUGUGCACAUCAAUUCAUUUAAAAAACAAGGAACUGUCAACUUUUGACCAACUAAAAGAGUCAUGAGAAAAAAACAAACAAACUAAUAAACAAACAAAUAUGUGGUCAUGCUCUCUUGCAAAAAGUAGAAACAAAUCAUUUUCAAAGAAUUGUUUGUUGAAUGUAUUAUCAAGUGAAAAAACACCACUUUGACUACGUAAAACAAAAGUUGAAAUUUAAUUUGAUUAUAAUACUAAUGGUAAGGUCAGGAUUCGAGGGGACUGUCACGUCAUGGACAGGACCUGACGACGUGGCAGAGCCCACCAGAGGCUUCCGGAGGGGGAGCAGUCUUUCUCUCCUUCUGUACGGCAUUGCCAACUAGGAUUGUAAUUGACGGGUCUGGUACCCCUCUGGCGUCCUAGUUGGACCCCCCCCCACACACACACAACUCUGCAUCCAAUCAGAGGGAUCCAAUCCCUCAAAAGAUCCAAAACCAAACAGUUGCGUGUAUCAAUUGAUUUGUGCUCUACCAUAUUUGAGAACUCAAAUUGUUUUAUAUAUCUAUAUAUAUAUAUAUAUAUAUCUAUAUCUAUAUAUAUAUUAUGAAAUGUGUUUUACAAUAAGGAAGGAAGGAGUAGACAUACUGAUCUGUUUAUUUAUUCAUUUGUUUUUGUUGUUGUUGUUGUUUUUUUCUUUUCUUUUCUUUUCUUUUUUUUUUUUUUUUUUUUUUUUUUUGUUUUUUUUGAUGCAGGGUCUUGUUGGACAUUUAUGUUCGCCAAGAUGAAAUGAAUUCCCACAAAUACUGUGACACCAACCUUGUUAGUUUAAAAGGUUUUUGUUGCAUAUGCACAGUAGCCAGAAUUAUGGGGUGCAUCCACUUCAUCUCUCAAAUUGUCUAUAAAUUUUAAGAAUGCAUCGGGGUUUCAAGUGUAACAACAUACACAUACAGGGUCGGCACAAAGUCCUGACCCCACAUGUAGGUAACACAAGAGAAUGUUGAAGAGAAGCACAUUUUUGUUCAAUGGAGGGGGCAUUACAACAACAACAACAACAACAAAUACCACGAGAUUGUGGAGGCUUUUUGAUGUUCACAAGAAGGUGGAAGGUUCUCAUCUUAUCAAAGGUGCACUUAGCAAGGUUCUUCUAAAGGAUUUCUUGGUUAGAUUAAUAAUGAAAUUUCUAGCAAGCUAUGUGGUUAUUGCUUGUUUUGUUGUAGGAUCGCAUCCCUUUGUUAUCUUAUUUUCCUAUUUAUUAUUGGCUCUUCUAACUGGAUCACAAAGUAUAAUGAAUAUUUUGAAGACUUUGCAAAGCGUACUACAUAUAUUUUAUUGUCUUUUCUAUUUUUUAUUGGAUUUAUAUUAGUUUAUUAAAGACACAAUAAUAAAACCAAACAAAUAAGGACUUAGUUAUAAAAAUUGAAACAUAAGAUUUUCACAAACUGGUUCUAUAUUUUUUUCAAAACCAUUAUUUUCAAUAUAUAUAUAUUUUCUGUGAGUAGGAGAAUUUGUAUUGUGUCAAUAUCAAAAUGUAAAAAUUAACAUUUUGUAUCAUAACAUCACAAUAUAAACAUUUUUAGAAAUAAAAUUUUAAAAAAUUGUCAUAUUUUGUACAAGCUAAAGGAUCUUCUUUAGAAUCUCUAAUGGUUAUGUAUAUUAACCAAGUUAAAUGUCAAUAUAAUAAAUUUAUUACGUUUUUUUAAAUGAGCCUCAAUCAAAAACUAAACAUAAUAUUGCAAUAUAAUGCAUCUUCCAUAUGAUAUUAAAUUAUAAACACCACCAACAUACCAACAACAUAGUAAUCAUAAUUAAACAAAUAAAAAUAUUAUCAAAAAUAUGGAUAAAACAAUAUUUAUUUAUGUAAGUUAUAUUUAUAUAUAUAUAUAUAUAUAUAUAUAAUAAAAAAUACAUUGCUAUAUAGUUAAUGUUUUUACAAUUGUUAGUUUUUUUUUAAAACAAGCUCAAUAUUAGACUCCUACAAGUAGUAGUGUAAAAUAUAAAUUAUUAGUGCAUGCAAUAAAUUACAUCUUGAGCCUCCAAAACAUUAUAAUUAAUUUUAAAUAUUAUUUAUAUUUAAAGUAUCAAAAAUGUCUUAUAUCCUAACUAGAAAGUAGAAGUAAUAGCAAAGCAAAAAUAAGACCAUUGAGAAUUGUUGUAGUACACAUAGUAUACAUAAAACCAUGCAAAAGGACAAAAUAAUAAUAAAAUUACAUUAGAAACGCCAAUUAAGUAUUAUUGCACAGAAAUAAUGGUAAAAAAUACAUGCAUAAUAUUGCAAGUAUAUAAGGUUGUCAAUCUCUUUCAGACUUAAAAAAAUAAGUAAAAAUAUUAUAAUAUGCCAUGGCAAUAUAUAUUUUAUAUAAAAAUAUUGUUAAAUUAGUUAGAGUUGUUACACAUCCAUUUUAUCAAAACAAGCUUAAAAUAGAAAUUCUUAAAAAAUCAUACUAUAAUAAUAGAAUAUUUUUAUUUAAUAAUUUUAAAAUAAAAAAUAAAAAAUAAAAAAAUGAAAUUUAUAAAAACAAACAAAUAAAUUUUUAUAGAUACAUUUUUUAACUGAGUAUGCCGUAAUAUUUGUGGAAAAAAAUUUAGGCUAUUAUCCCAAAAUUAUACAAUCAAAAUUGAAAAUCAAUUAUCUGCUAUGGUUGUAAAGAAGCCUAUUUUUUAAAAAAAUGGGGACCAUUAUCUUAUCUCUUAUUUUGUGGUAUGCCAUAUCUCUUGUUAUACCACAUAAUUGAUUACUAAAAUAUGCAAUUUUUGAAGAAAUAGGAAUUUAUAGAAAUUAUCAAAAAAAAAAAAAAAAAGUUAUGCCUUUUUAGAUUCAAAAAUGAGUGAGGAUUAAUAUAAUUUUAACUUUUAACAUUUUAAAGUCUAUCUUCAAUGCAAAGUAUCUUCUUGAAGAUAAAACUCAACCUGAAUUUUUCUAAAAUAUCAAAAUUGAAGUAAUUAGUCAGCUCACAAAACGUACUAGAAUAGACUAAAUUUAUAAAAAAAUUACAAAAUUAUUGUGAAGUUUUUAAGAGCAUUCUUUCAAGUUGAAGUUGAAGGUGAAAAUGUAGAGGAGUUUUUUUUAACAACCAUUUGACAUAAAGAGUUUAAAUAAGUCCUUACCUAUAAUAGAAGAAAGAAGAGAGUUGACAAUUCUAAUUGAUACUCUGAAAGUUUUUAAUUCCUUUGUGAAAAUAAAUAAUAAUAAAUACAUAUAUAAUAUUAUUAAAAAAUCUAAAGUAAGGAUAUUAUUCUAUUUGUAUAAGAUUUAUAUAUUACACAUUGGUAGAAGAAGAAAAACUUAUGAUUUAUAAAAUCUCAAGUCAUAUCUAUCACAUUAGCUACUAUGUAAUUUAAAUAAUAUACAGAUAAAAAGGUGACACAAUGUCAAUUAAAAUAUACAAAUUAUAAUAUAUGAAAAAUAGUCAAAUUCUUCAAGAUGCUAUGGGAAAAUAUACCACCAAAGAAUUUUUGAUUAAAAAAAGAAGCAUUUAUAUUAUGCUAUAAUUGUAAAUUAAUUUCUACAUAUAAUUUUUACCUUAAAAAUAUAAUAACUAUUUUUAAAAACUUAUAUUAGUUUCCUGAUAAAAUAAUAAUAAUAAUAAUAAUAAUAUAAAAAUUAGAUUUGUUUUUAAAGCUCAAGUAUCAAUACUUGCCAAUGCACUUCAAGAAUUCUAAUUGACCAAGGUAGAAAAUAUAUAUAUAUAUAUAUAUAUAACUAAUUUCAUCAAAAAAAAAAUUGAAAAAAAAAAUUUAAAAGAGUUCUCCAAAGCAUAAAAGUCCAAAUCAAUUAUGAUGAAUAUGAUACAACUAGCUAACAAAGGGAAGUAAUUUUAUUCCAAUUAAUUUUCUGUUAAACCCGUUUAUAGCUCCUGAUACCAAGAACUUUAAAAUAACAUUUUUUUUUUUUUUUUUUUUUUUUUUUAUAAUAAAGACAAGUUUAGUAUAAUAAAAACUAUUAAGUUAUAUUUUUAAUAGCUUUAAAAAUGACUUAAUACUAUUCAUAUUAUUUGAUAAUAAUAGAAUAAAAUAAAUUAAUUUAAAAUAUUUUAAGUGUGACCUUACAAUGCACCCAAAAUUAUUAGAAUAAUUCGAAAAAAUUACAAGAUCUUAUAAGAUCUCUAUAAAAUCAAAAUUUUCAAUGAAAAUUAUGAUAUUGGUAAAAUAAAAAUUAAGCUCUCGGAAGGAAUAAUAAAAAUAAUAAAUUGGUUUUAUUUCACAUGAACGUUCUUAGUGUAUUAUUGCCAAUUACAGGCUGCUAUUGCUCUUUAUCAUUUUUUUUUAAUUUUUUAAUUUUGAAAAAACAUCAUAAAUUUAAUAAUUACAAGUUCUAAUAAAAAUAAUCAAUAUAGACCAAUCUAAAUUUUUUCUCUGGUUAUUUACAUUUAAUAAUCUCAUACUAAUUCAAACAAAUCUUAUGCAAGAAAAUUAAUUAAAACAAUCUUUUAUCUUCUUGAAGCUUUACUUCACAAAAGCCUAGGUCAUUAUAGAACAUAAACUUGUAUUCAUUUCAACGUACACAAUGAAUUUUAUUUUAAAAAUUAUCUUUAUUUUUAUUUUUAUUUUUAUUUUAAUGUAUUGAUAAUAUAAAUGUACCAUUUGUUUUGUUUCCAAUUAAAAGGGAGGUAUAGCAAAAUUAUUUUCUUGUCUUAUACAUCCUUUUUAUUAUUGUUAAAUUUUGUAAUGCAGUUGUUAUAAAUGAGGUAGAAUUUAAAAUUUAUAAAUAAGUUAUCCUAUCAAUAUAAAGAAUAAAAAAAAUUAUUAUAAAAUAUACUAACAACAAAUUACUUGUGUUAUUACUAUAAAUGAAUUGGUAUAUUAUAUUCUCUAUAUUUUAGAAAAUUCAAGUUAUGUCUUUUACAUGGUUAUUAAAUGCACAAAAUCUAAUAGCUAUUAAAUAACACACUAGAAAUUACACAAAAUUAGAUAAAAGAAUACAUAACAUAAAAUAAAGGAUUUUUUUAACAUUUCGAAAAGUUUUUGAAAGAUCUUUUACUAUUUAUUUACUAUUAAAGACGUGAUUUUUUUUAAUUAUUAUUAAAAAAAUUUAUAAAAAUUAUCUUAUUGAUGCAACAAAAAGAUCAUUACUAUUGAAAGACAAGAAAUAGUUUAUUUCUUCUUACUUUAAGCUUUGUAUUAUAUUUUUUAAAAUUUAAAGAAACAAUCAAAAAAGAUGUCAACAAAAUCAAAACAAUUACUAUCAACUAUUUAGCAUCAUCUAAAGACAUAUAGGACAAUUGUGUAAUAGUAGAAUAACUUUAGUGGUGUUAGCAUCAAAGAAAAUAUGACAUUAAUUAUAUUGAUAUACAAGUUGUAGUAGUGGUAUGAAUAAAAAGUAAUAUAUUUAAAGAUUAUAAAAAUUUGUCUUGUCCAACUUCUAUCUCUUGUAUAAAAUUGAUGAGGAUAAUUUUGGCUUUACAACAGUAGCUAAAAGAAUCCACGCUAAUUCUUUAUUUUUCUUUACAAGAUAUUAAAAUUUAAAAAAUAUGCUUUAAUAUAAAAUUGCAUGACAAUGGCAUAGAGAACUAUAUUAUUUUUGCAUGGUAGAAAAGAAUAGUCUGAUAUUUUUCUUGUGAUUGCUUCUAAAAUUUGAAGUUGUAAGAGAAAGUAUAAAAUAAAUAAAUAAAUCUAUGGCAUACUUGGCAUAAGUUUCUAGUGGUCAAUAUGUAGAUAGAUGUGAUACUACAUGAUGCAUCUAUUAAUGAAAAAAAUUAGUUUAAAUUGUAUACAACUUGUAAUGUAGAUGAGAAAGACAUCAUUAUUUAUCAAUUUUGGAAUUACUCAUCCACACAAAAAUCAAAGACUUAGCACACCAACAUAUAAAACUAGUCAUUUUGGUACAAAGUAAACUACUAUUUUGCAACUUCCUUUGUCCCACAUAAAAGCACCACAUAAUAUUUCUUUUGUCAACAAGUUGUGACUAUUAUUUUGUAAAGCAAUCAUGCAAAACCUCUAAAUCAAAUACAACAACAAGCAUUUUGAAAGAUUAAUUUGAUUUUCAACCAAAUUAUGUAGAAUACAUUUAUAAAAUAUAAAUAAAUAAAUAAAAUCACCUAAAUAAAAGCUACAAAAUACACCAAGCUAUGCAAAAACUUUCAAAACACAUGAUAUAAAAAUGAUCUCUUUACCAAAUAGAUAAAAUACUAGCUUCACAAGCAUCUCUCCUAUCCCAAAAACAUUUCUACCACACAAGAAAAGAAGUAGCUAAUUAUUUCAACAGAUUAGGUAGACAUCUCUAGAAUAUCUUCAUUUAUCAAUGAAAGUUCACUCUAUCAGCGUUAAUUAAAAAACAGAAAACAACAAUAACAAAACAAGAAUUCACAAACACACGAAGUGCGUGGGAGCUUGGAAUGGCCAUGAAAACCACACCGAAUUGUGGAGAUCUGGAGCUCAGGGUGAAGAAAAGCACAAAGAACAACAGCAACAACGAGAUCGCGGCGUUAUCAGCAUGGGAAGGUCGCACUGGGAUGUGAUUUGAGAACCUACAUUGCACGGGAACCAGAGGGGCGCAAUGAAAUCCGGUAACCUGCCGAUGCUGGAUAAGGCAUCAUCCCCAACAAUUGAUUGUGUGUUGGCAUUCCAAAUCUCACCUCACGAAAACUUUGCGCUUCUUUGCUGUUGUUGUUGCUCUCAAUUUGCCCAACUGGGUGGGUCUCUCUGAUAGGGUUUAGCAAUUUCAUCCCCUAAAACUGUCUGUUUUGGCAGAUGCUUUCUGAUAGCUAGAUCAGCACUUGUGUGGGUUUUGUGUGUAGUGGGCUUCGGCAACUCCUCCCCAGUUUAGGAGUUUCCAUGCCGUGGAAAAGUGGGUGGCUGGUUCUUUGACAGCCACAUCGUUGGUUACAUCUCUAGGGGAUGUUGACGAGGUGUUUAGUUUCUGGGAAUUGGCGUCGCGUAUCCCAAAGCUGAAAUGGACGCUGUCUUGUGAGGGGUUGAGUGUGUUUGUGGCGCUUGUGCAACGUGAGGAGUUCCAUGCUGUGUUUUGGAUUCAAGGUGAGGGUUGUUGGAUUCAGGCGUCAUUCUCGUUUCUGCGUUCUGUAUGGGUUGCAUUACAACCGCGUCGUGAAUGGUUUUUUUUUUUUUUUUUUUUUUUUUUUUUGUCUCUGGGAGUACAUUGUAAGGAACGGUCCCUUCCCAUUCACGACGCGGUUGUAAUACCUUGGCGGUGUUUGUUCGUCGACUUUGUGCUGUAGUGAAAUCGAGGAAGAAUCCUGUGAAUUGGGCGGUAAUGCCAGCAGUCCUCAUUCUGGAUGUCAGGGGUGAUCAUGAGAGUUUGUCUGUUGCAUUGCUGUUGAGAUUUUAUGUUCUCAUCCUCGUGGUGGGUAGUGAUCCUGGUCGUGUUUGACGAGCUCUCGCACUCUGGAUUCUCUAGUGAGUAGCGCUGUCUUUGCUAGGUUUAGAGUUUUUAGUGACUAAUUCGUAAACUGUAUGUUAUGGAGCCGCAGAAAGUUGGAGCGAUGGCACAUUCACGCGCUGCGAUGAGGCUCGCUGCUUGUGAACCCCUCCAGGUGGAAUUCCACUCCGCUCUAUCGUGCUUAAGAUUGUGUCCGGUCCUUAAAACAAUUUCCGUUAAUUUUCAGCUAAGCCAGUUACAGUUAGAUAGAAAUUGGAAUGGUUCGCAUCCUUGGGGGCAAUAUGAGAGCGUCUAUGCACGUGCUGCGGUGCCUGCAGGUUUUAAAAAUCCGAUCGAACGCAUCAAAUUUGAUAUCUCAUGGGGGUAAUGGCGGAUUUGACCCGAUCAAGUUCAUAUCGUCAAUUACUGUUAGAAGAACUGGAAACAUUUCAAGUAGUAAGCAAACUAUUGGUGUAUCUCAAUUAUCUGGUGUGAGGAGAUUGGGGGAGGGAGGUCUGCGAGCACCUCAAUUGCCGAAAGCAGAGACAGUCCCUCGGCCGAUUCUCAGAGAGAAACAUUCCAACCUGUUGACUUGUUCACGUAAGUAAUAUGUAGAUUCCCUCUUUCAGGCCAAUUAGUAUUUUAGAAUAAGCAUGUUAAAUUGCUCAGAAAUCUGGAAUGCAUCUAGACCAACUUUUAAAACAUCUCUACAUAUACUCACCAGGCAAGGUUGUGGCACAUUGGCGUCAAGAAAAUCAGUCCUGGAUGCCAAUUCGGAAUUCGAGGUUCCGUUAUUCGUCUCUUCAAUUUGCUUGUUCCACCUGUGAUUGCAUCCGAUGCUUCAAGUGUGAAGAACAUAUUAUCCGCAAAAUUGGAUCAUGGUUUUAGUAAUUUGACACUUGUCUGUGAUGAUAUCAAGUGUCUCCCAGCAGUACUGUGCAAGUGGCGACCUCGAUGUUCACUCUUGGCACGGCGUUCGUUGUACCAUUCUACACAGCUAUGGUUUUUGCCCCGAAGUGGAAAUGGGUACUUUCUCUAACUUCGAGCUUUCCUCUUUUGAGAGAUGAUUUCCUGUAGUAUUAUAUGUAGGUGGGUGCGGCCUACAAUUCCCUUACCUGAUCAUUUGUACGGUUUUCGAAACAGACUAAGAAGCUCGUGGAAAACGAUAUACCAUUUAUCGUGUUGGGCGCGAUGUACGUCUACCUUCUUUUCCUUUCAUGGACACCAGAAACUUUGGGCCUUAUGUUUGCAAGCAAAUAUUGGCUCCCAGAGGUAAAUCACCUGUUCUGCUAGUGAAUUUGACUUGUUAUUACAGUAUUAGCACAUGUUUUAUAACCUUGAUUCUUUUCUUUUUGUCAGGGUUUUCGUAUUUUUGUUGUAGCCUGGUUACUAACUCCAUGAAUUGACACGUGAAAGUAGCUUCCGGGCAUUACUCGCAUGUUUUCAAGCACUAUCACGGUCGCUUCAGCAUGGAUCCAUUUGCUUGUAGCUGACCUCUUUUGCGGCCGGUAAGUGACGUAUAUUUAUUUACUUGUUCCUUUGAUUAUUAUUCCCAUGAGGUCCUUGUCGGAUUCGCAAGCAAGGUCAGUCCCGCUUAGUGCUGGUAGUGAAGAUUAUAUAUUGAUUUUGUGUAGGUACGUGUAUCUGGAUGGACUUCAGCACAAAGUAGAGACUCGUCAUUCACUUGUAUUUUGCCUCAUGAUGUGCCCUAUUGGCAUCAUCUCUCAUUUGGUCACCAAGGUGCAUCUCCUAACUCACUCCUUUAUUGUUCUGUAAUGUUAAGAAUUCCUUAUGCCCAGAGGUUCAAGUCAGACGUAACAUUGUAUGCAAGUUAAUUAAAUUAGAACGGUGGAAGUAGCUCCCCUCAAAUCACAAUUAAUGCAUGAGGUUACGAGUAGAUUCAGAGGCUCCAAAUUAGACUUAAGCCUUAUUUCAGUUUCACAACUAGACGUCAGACUUUUAGUUUUGUCAAGGCAUUCGUAACAUCUCAUUCGUGUGUAACGUAAGUCGCGAACACAAGUAUUUUGCGUCUCUAUGAUUUAGUAAGUAGAAAGGGUGUAACUAAUCAAACAGGUAUAUGAAGCAAGUUUUUUAGCUCGAAGCGAAUAGAGUGGUCAAGGUAAAGUUCACAGCUUUAAGAUUUCUAAGCUCUUCGCUCCGUGUGGUACAAAUCCCUAGUUAAAGUACACAUUUUUCGAAACCGCAAUUGCUUAACUUGGCAAGUUUUUACUCGCAUGACAGAGAGAGAGGCUUUGUGUUACAUGCUAAAAUGGCGUUUUCUUCAGGUUCUUACAUCCUUCGCACGGCGCAUUGAUGGCGAGAGCACAACAGACAUAGGAAAAGUACUGGCGUAGGAGUGCUAUUCUAGUGCCCCCCCCCCCCCUCCUCCUCUUCGGUUGUACUGGAACGACUGUGUGGUAUUCUACCAAGACACGAAAACCGGUGUUCAACUCCUUGUACCACACGAGUGAGAGUCUAUAGGGUUUUUAUAUGAUUUAGAAGGUGCUUCUUGAGUUUGUACACUUCUUGUUUUCGUACCUUGUGUGUAGACCAGGAGAAAAAAAGUUAACCUGCCAUUAGCAUUAUCGUGGCCGUCCAGACGCCGAAUUUUCCUUUGUACAUCAGUGGAAAUGACUUGCAAGCAGAGUGAUUCUUUGAAUGAGUUCCACACUCAGCGGGAUAUGUCGCUCAGAAACCUCGCAUCUACUAAAAGACUACCUACAAAUUUCUAAAUCAUUGAAAAUCAGUAAGAGUUGCGGAAAGUGUUGUCCACCUAUAUAGCCUAGUGUAGACCGUAAAAUUGUGAUCCUAGGCACAUCAAGCACAUCCCGGAGCAGAUGUUGUAAAUGAAGCUCCGGAGCUUGAUCACAUGUGCUCCAUCGCUCCUCUUAAAAAUUAUUAUUGUUAUUAUUCAUCUGCUUACUCCUGUGUGGAGUUCCCCUUUCCCAUCCUCAAAACUUCGCUUUUGUCAUUACUAAUUUUUGCUAUUAUUCGAAUUUGCCUCACUACAGAUAAUAGUUACAAAGAGAGUGUGAUACGAAAGCAAGUUGGUCACAGGUGUCACCCAUCUCAAUAUCCACAUUCCUGAACAGCCAUGCUGAUAAUGUACAAUACCACAAAAGAAGACGGCCAACUCAGACGAGUUGAGCUGUGACGUGGUAUACGUUUUUUUAACUAACUUUAAAAGGAGAGUACUCUACACUGUGUAAAUCAACACCCAAUUAACAAGUGUGUUGGAGAGCAUCAAGGUAACCACUACACUCUACAAUUCAAUUCACCAUAAUUAUAUUGUACAUGCCACCUAUCACACUAAUAAACCAUAAUAAUCAAUAAAUUUGCUUGACAUUGAUUACUAGAAUAUAUGCUUGCAAACUAUUAUUGUAUGAAAGCAUACAUAUAUUAUUAUUUAUUGUUAUUAUUGUUAUGAUAACAUAUUCUUGUUUGCAAAUAAUUUAUUGUAAUAUAUAUAUAUAUACAGAUUUAUUUGCAUAUACAUGUAUAGGAUUUAAAUGUUUUUAUUAAUGUAUCAACCAAAUCCAUACAAAAUUAUAACCGAUUAGAAUUUUAAUAAUAUAUUUUUGAUAUCACUAUAAUUUGAUCAUUAUAUAUUACUGUAUGAUCUUUAAUUACAUAUGAUGUGUUAUAAAUAGGCCAAAUUGUCUUUUAUGUAUUUUUUUUAACUACACAUCUACAACAGAUAGAAUAAAUAAAGAUUUUGGUAUUCAACACACAAGUAUUAUAUAGGAAAAGACAAGUAGUACAAACGAAUUAAAUCUAUGUUAAGUAAAUGAUUGACAUUGUCAUUCAAAUUACUAUUUUUACUAUCUUGAGCGUUGUUAUUUUCAGAAUGUGUCGUUGGAAUGAACUACUAAAUGAUAUGUUGAUGAUUAUGUUCAUUUGUUCGAGUUUUAUCACAAAGUCCAGCAGAGUUUUUUCGCAGUUCCGUGUGGAACCUGGGAAACUGCACCCUUACUUGGAAUAAUUUGUUCCCUUGUGGAGCCUUCGGAGUGGGACAAGCGGCAGCAAUGCGCAACCUCAAGCUGAAUUCACGUGUAGCAAAGGGGAAUUUGUUGUCCGAUGUGGAAGCUUGACUUGCAGGGGGUAACAAAUUUUGUGCGGCCUGUGCUGUGCAAGCAGGUGGGUCUGUUACUAAACUGGAUUGCGGUCUCCCAGGUCUGCUUUUUGCGUUCAUGUGAGCCGCCGCCACUGCCACGACACUCCCUCACGUAAAAGGAUCUGUGGAUACUGAAGAUCCACAACGACUACAAGGUUCCAAGAUGUGGCAGUCUCGGGAUCCACCUCGCUUCCUAUUCUCGCAGUUGACUCCAGGAAGUUUCCAAUUCCUCGCAAAGUGCGGUAUCUGGUAGACCACGGUGACCACGAAGAAUCACUAGUAAAGACACCGUUUUGCUUCUCGUGGUAGCUGUGAAAGUUAUCUAUAGGUUGUGUAAACGCCACUUCGAUGAGAAUGAUCAGACAAGGGUCAAGCCGCUGCAUGAGGUUCAUGGUGGGAAGGACAUGAACUCUGAGUGCAGAAGAUGUGUUGGAAAAGAUCGCAACUACACAGCAUUUCAUCGAUUGAAGUCUAGAUUCUAGUGGAAGAGGUUGAGGGGUACUCUGGGAGGAAGAGGCGCAGUGAAAUUUGUGGGGAUUUGUGGGGGGCGUGUAACUGGAUUGUGUUCGUUUUUUUUAAUGCGUGAAGGCAUGUGGAUCCCAGCCUGAAGAGCUGAGAAUUGGUGACAACCUUAUAACAGGGCGAAGACACAGAAGGGGAUUCCUCGCUGGGUAACAGUGGUGCGAACCAUAAGGCGAAGUGAGAAAUUGAAGCUGAUGAAUCUAUGUUGAAGUUAGUGAGAGUAGACGUAAAACUGGUUAGAAGUGCGGUUGGGAGAAAGGUUAUAAUAUCCAAGUGGGGGAUAAUAGAGUCUAGAGGGUUUGUUUUUGCAGGUACAGUUGAGAUUCUUGCAAGACGAGCCAGCACAUCCCUGACGAUAUCGCCCUGCUGUCACUCGCACUGCUUUGCGUAACCAGCGCUGCACAAGGUCUGCUCCCACUCCUUGCAGGUUUCAAGGCCUUCCUCUCCAAGUCGGUAAGGUGCGUGCAUGAGCUGGCUCUGGCUUCCAAAGUUACACUAAAGCCUCCACAACACUCUACGGCCACCGCUCAGUAUAGCACUCCGCGUACACCUCUCCUCUGGUGCUUUUGUGUGGAUUUCACUUCUGUCUCCAUUCUUUAGCUUUCGAUGGCUUGUACCUGAUCGACCGGCACGCCUGAAGAGUCGCUUCUCAUGUCACUCCAUUUCUGACACCCGCGCGGUACAUUCCAUGUUGAAUUGCUUGCAAAUAGUCCCUUUCGAGCUCAGACACCUUUUUGUAUUCAUUCGAAAGUAUUAACUUUUGCAGAAUCCUGAAGUUAUACUCUAAUUUGCAAACAAGGUUAAGGAUCGAAAUUUGUUUAAAGAAGAAAAAGAAUAAGGUGGACUGUGGCCUAAAGCUCCUGUCUGAAACCGUGAAUCUAUUGUUUUCGGCUAUGGGGGUUGUUCAAUUAUUAUAUGAGAGAUUAGUGAGCCCCUGCACAUGUCGCGAUUGGUUCUGUAGGUUCCGAGCUCCGUCCUUGCGAGACAUGGUGACUGUGUGAAUCUUGGGUGGCGAGCCUGUCGACUGGUACAUAGCUACUUUUCUUAGGUGCUGUACCAUGUGGAUUGGGCGCGAGUUGCUGGGGAGGUAACUAAUUACCGCUCGGAUGCGCAUUUCAGCUUCUGACAAAAAAACAAUCUGUAUUCUAGACAAACAAACUAUGGGUGUAUUCAUCCUCGAAUCAAAGGAGCGAGCCCGGACUUCAACGAGGUCAGGACAGCCUUGUCAUUGAAGAUUUUAAUUACAGUACACUUGUACAAGCCACUCUUGCAGCAGCUUGCUUUUUAUACGGGAAUUGAGAAUGUAGUCUCGAAGCAACCAGGAGGAGUGAUUCUUUUUACCUGUCGGCUGCGGCGGUGACUACCUAAAGGGUUGCUUUGCGAGGAAAGAGAGACAUUAUGUUUUGUAAAACAGGUACAUGGGAUGUUGCGCAGGUGGAUCAGCUCAGUUCAUGCCAUGAAUGAGAGAUAAAAAGAGGGUUUGGGACAGGGCGAACUGGGGUGUGCGUGAAUGCUCCACAGUUUCAAUUCGAGGGAUUGAUUAAAAUUUGCAGAGUGAAGGAGUGUUGCUUUAACGGAGCUCGACACGAUGAAGUUCAUGAGGUUGGGAUCGAAGCCUGACUGCUUCACUACUCGUGGCAAUCACACGUAAGCCUCUCCCCCUUGAAUUAUUGGUGCACUUUGUUCAAUCCCAUUUCUGUCGGAUCCAAAUUUGACGACACUGUCUGCGCAUUUUUUUAUUUGUGCGUAUGAAGAAAGGAAACAUGUUGAAAACUGAAGUGCUUUGGAUAGUCAAACCGCAGCAUUUGGAUGACAGGAAAUCUCUCGUAGUUGCAUUUUUAUAUCACGAUAUAAUCACAAUUUCGAUUAUCUUGUCAUCCUGGAAAAUGGAUGUGUCAUACCUCCCCAAAUUUUAAACCAUCUGCUGCUCGAGUUAGACGUUCUUCUGAGGUGAAUGAAGUGGCCGUGAAGAGGACAAUAAGAAGUGUCGCUUUAGGAUUGCCAUCCAUAUCGUGUUGAAUCGGUUCUCACUGAGGAAGUUGGUGGUUAUUGUCGAAAUCCAGGACGGUGAAAUCCGACCUUGUAAGCGAUAUUAUCAUGGAUGUAGAUGGACACAAAUUCCACCUUCACUUGGUAAGCAGAAAUCUGGAAGUUAAUAAUCACUUGAGUUCUGCUGGAGGAAGAUAUUAGUGUGUGCGCAUGAGAAUGCACCUUUGCAAGCGAAGAUCAUGUUAAUAAGAUACACGUUAAUCCUAUACCCCAUUUCAUGCUUUCAGUUGUUUAGAGGUUUCAAAUCCUAUUAAAGGGAUGCAGUGAGCAAUCGACCCAAUGAACUGACGACGGAUUUUGGCUCGACAGUUUCCGCUUUUGGCGAAGUGUGGAGCUCUGCACAAAAUUAUCAGUGAGGCACUUGAAGCCGGCGAAGACGACGUCGAGAUCAACGACUUUCCUGGAGGAGCUGAGUGCUUCGAAAUUUGUGCAAAAUUCUGCUAUGGCGUUGCUGUGACUAUAAACGCACACAAUGUAAGCGCGGUCCGAUGUGGAGCAGAGUUUCUGAAGAUGACGGAAAGCGUUGAGCAGAGCAACCUCAUUCACAAGCUGGAAGUUUUCUUAAACACAUCUAUCUACCGGGGGUGGAAAGACUCGAUCAUCUGCAUUCAGAAUUGUAAAGACCAUCAGCCUUGGGCUGAAGAUUUGAAAGUAAGUCGCAGUUUCCAUUUCCGACCGUGUUCGUGAAUAGCAGUGGCCCUUUUAUUCUCGUUCUGGUCAUCAGCGAGUGUUCCGAGACUCGCUCCUGGUUUUUUUCUGUACACUUUGUUGCCUCUUGGUUUGGUCUCAUGCUUUGCCAGUGGGUGUCUCCAGAUAAUCAGUCGAUGCAUAGAAUCAAUCAGCUCAAAGGUGAUGGUCGAUCCUGCUAAAGUGGAUUGGUCAUUCUCGUAUACAAGAGACUCUUCGGCAGUUGACCAUGUGUCAAUUAGCCAACAUAAAAGUCCAGCCAUUUGGAACGGGGCUAGUUCAUCCCCAUGGCAGUCCCCAGUGCCGAAGGAUUGGUGGGUGGAGGACUUAUGCGAUCUGGACAUAGACGUGUUCUGUAGAGUCAUGGUGGCAGUGAAAGCGAAGGGAGUGGCGAGGGAGCUGGUGGGAGAGGCUCUCAGAGUGUAUGCGCUGCGUUGGCUACCAGGGAUAUCUGACGAUCAAGCUCUGUUCGACAACACGCGGAUGAUCAGUACAUACUUCACAGACGAUGUAGAAGAAGCAUCGAAGCAUAAGCAAGUGCUGGAAACCAUUGUCGGCCUGCUUCCAACUGAGAAAGGCUCCUGCUCUUGCAGUUUCCUGCUAAAGUUGCUCAAAGCGAGCACGAUUCUAAACGCUUCGACAGGUUUGAGGAUGGAAUUGGCAAGGCGGAUUGGGUCGCAACUGGAGGAAGCUACGCUGCGUGAUUUGUUGAUACCAUCUCUGUCGUAUGCAAAUGGGUCGAUGUAUGAUAUCGACGUAGUGAUGCGCAUUGUCGAGUACUGCCUCUUGGAAAGCCAAAAUCCUACGUCCUCCCCGGAGAGUGGGAAGGCGUAUGAGAUCCGAAGGACACGGUCUGCGGAGAACUUUGACCUCAUAGAAAGACGGGACUAUACAGCUUCGGCCCACAACUCCAUGUUUAAAGUAGCUAAGCUGAUAGACGGUUAUUUGGCCGAAAUCUCGAGAGACCCAAGCCUGUCUCUUGAGAAAUUCAUGCGAGCUGCAGAGUUUGUUCCUGAUUGUGCACGCCCUUUUCACGAUGGGUUGUAUCGAGCCAUCGACAUGUAUCUGAAGGUUGGUUGAAUUCUGACCUGAAUGCCGUAGUUUGAUUUGGAUACGUUCACAUUUCUUUCUCUUGCUUACCUGCUAGAGCCAAGCUUGAGAGUUUUAACAUUGAAAAUGGGCGGAGGUGCGAAGUUAGACCCUACCUGGAGACUCAAGUUUGAUUUUGUUCUUCCUUUUAACAUAUUCUCCUUGUCCUCAUGCAAACUCAUUGCCUGAGUGAACUUUUUGUCAGGAACAUCCGGAGCUGACGAAGCGUGAAAAGAAAAGGAUCUGCACACUGAUGGAUUGCAGAAAGUUGUCGAUAGAUGCAUCAAUGCAUGCCAUACAAAAUGAGCGAUUGCCUCUUCGAACUGUUGUACAGGUACAUACACAGUCAAUCUCUUCAUGUUGACGUUAGACUGUACUGGCUUGUUUGCCAUGAUAUGCGACAGGAUGUAAACUGAAAUGAUUCGCUAUUCCUUUCAUUCGAAAUCCUUCGGUAUUUAUGUUCAAUUACGGUAAAAUAAGUGGCUCCAAAUUGAUGAGAUCUUUGGUGAUCCCUGCAGGUGUUAAUGCAUGAGCAAGUCCGGACAGCAGCAGCAUCUGGAAGACUACUCGUCGGGGACAUAACAAGCAACAUCCGUGCACUGUUGGCUGAAGAAUCUAGCGACGACCAGAGCCUCUUUGAUAUGCGCACUGAUAUGAUUCCGUCCGCCCCGUCUGCUGGCGGUCAAGGCUGGGGAGCUCUGCACCAUGAAUUCUCCACCUUGAAGUGUGACUUGGCCGUUCUGGAGACUCGGAUCGCCGAGGCAGAGAAGGAUCGCACUUCAUUAACUACCGAUACUUCUUCGAAAUCCCUUAAAUCUGGAAAGAGUAUUCUAUCCAGACCUAAGAGGUUUUUUCAGAAACUCUUCAGCAAAAAGGUGUCAAACUCUGCCUCUUCCAUAGAAUCCGCAAGGCAGAGCCCCAUGCCCACCCUUGGUUCCUGCGCUCUUGUGCCGCAGCGGCGGCGGGGGCGGCGUCAUUCCAUGUCUUGAUCAAUGCAGCUACCACUGCAUGUUGCGCUUCUCAAUCAGGCAAUCUAUAGAGAUUUCACGUCUGCAGAUGCAAAGCUUGCAUCGGCACGACGCAAUGUCGACAGUCGAUCAUGGCUCAAAAAUUGUGAUUUAUCGUUGGGCAGUUGGAGAGGUUCUGUUCGAAGAUUCCCACUUGAGCAGGUGGAGCAGGCCAUUGCCGUAGUCUAAAAUCCGGGAUUGCUAGCAGAUAUCCAGUUCAAGGUCGAAGAUUGACGAUCAAAGAGGUGGGUCUCUCACUUAUCAAGCAAUAACUCACCAAGACUAAUAAAGGAGGCGUUUCCUCAUGCCUUUCUCAAGCAUGCCAUUAUGAAGAACUCAAUCACGGCACUGCAGCAUUGCUCAAGGUUAGAAAGGAUUGAUCGACCUGAGUAGGCUUUGUUAUCAUAUCAGUCUAUCAUGACUGAUUCUGCUGCAGCAGUACCAUUGUACCAUACUAUUCUGAGUAAUCAGUUCACCCACCAAACCAGGAGCACAGCACGGCCUUCACGCAGGCAUCUGCGAGCGCAAUGUACCGAAACGAAAUCUCCACAAAUUUCUCUGCAACCAAGUCCUCUGACGGCAAUACGUGGAUUAUUUUAAUUUUGAUGCAGUUUAUUUAAUUUGUUGGAGUUUCUGUCUCCCCUGUCGAUCGGACCUGGGGAUGAAUUGGCAGCGUCACGUGAUCAUAGGUGGGUUUGGUACACUGCAACAGUCUCGGAGCAGUGGUCCCAUCAUUCAAAAUCGGGUGUAGCAGGGGGGAAAUCUUGGGGACUUUAGCUGGAGCUGCAGGCGCGAGUUCCUGCUACGAGCUCAAUCUUGUCUGCCCAGUGCAUAGUUGCCAGGACUUUCACACACAUUGUGCUCUGACGCUUCGCUUGCUUCGCAAACCGGCGGUAGAUCUGAUUGGCGGCCUUCCAUCAUGCGCUCACAUGUUUACGCGCCCUGCGCGCUGCGUUUCUGCCAUACCCCUCCUGCAACCUUCAAUUACACAUCAUCACACAUUACAAGCGACGUUAACAAACUCAGAAGACACAAAACUGCAGAAAGUUGGAUGCAAAACGACAACAGCAGCAGAAUCAGAAGCCAGGCGACCCUACAAGUUAAUUAACCCCCAAAAACACAACACUAAUCACCUACGAACAUGGCCCAAUACGGUUCCAACCCCACAAACUUGAAAUUCACCAACCAUUCGAGCCGCGACACAGUAACACGCAAAGGUUGAGAAACAAGAAGCCAAACUCCUAUCCCACUCUCUCUCGUAAGCAACGCUUCCUGUAGCACAUAUCGAGAGCAUCGUAAAUGGGAAGACAAGCAGCCCAGAGAGAGAGAGAGAGAGAGAGCGAGAAAAAACACAAAACAAAACAAGCUCCUGCCAAGCAUCACCAUGUUUUGUUGUACGCGCGAGUAUGAUGCACGCAUGAGGACAAACAAGGAAUGUGGUGCCAGAGAAUGGAAGUGAGAUCGCAAUAGAGCCAGACAAGAUUCGUCGCCUUUUCCUUUCCCUGUACUAACAUUCCUGCUGUGCCCACUCACUUCCUUCCCACCCUCGCUGCCCCAAGUAGUAAACCCUAAAAGGUACUCCAUAGCCUCACUUCACAGAUUCACAGUGAACAUGAAUAGAAUUCUAUAUAUAUAUAUAUAUACAUACAUAUAUGCAUAAAUAAGUGAGACAAACAUGAAUCAUGUCACUGGAUUUUUAGUGAAGAAACUGAUCAUGAGCUUAUGGUUACUACCCACCUUGAGAAGCAGCUUUGGUUUUACCAAACAAUGCUUCUGGCUGCACUCUCACAUCAUCUUGUGUGUGGUGUUUGUAUGGUCUUGUGGUCUUAGGUUUUGUUUGUGAGAGUCUCUUGUUGCCUUUGUGGGUUCAUGACAUAUGUUGCUAUUGCCACCACCACCCACUCAACAUAUUUCUGUAGUUUUUUUUUUUUUUUUUUUCAAUCAAAAAAUAAUAAUAAUAGUGUAACUUGUAUAUAUAUAUAUAUAUAUAUAUUUAUAUAUAUUUAUUGAAUCAUAAAGAAAAAAGUUGUGAUAGUAAAAAGAAAAAUUUGAAUAAAUUUUCUAUCAAAUUUUCAUGUAUUUGUGGUAGCAAUAGUAAAAACAAUGGUGGCAUUAGCAAAAUAUAUAUAUAUAUAUAUAUAUACACACACAUACAUAUACACACAUUAUGGUUUUGUAUGAAAUUGUAACAAAUAAUAUGGAAUAAUGACAUCCAAAGCAUGCACUCCCAUUUCUCAAUGAUUGUGACUCUUGAUGUAUUUGCAAAAUGAACAAGUUUAAUCUCAAAUCUAACCUCAACAAUGAAUCAAUUUUGCUUUUGUGUUUGAAAACUCCAUGUUAUUUCAAUGGUGGAGUUUCUUCUUCUCUUAUUUCCUUCAACUCCUUUUUCUUCCAUUUUGAAAAUAGAUGAGGUGAAAGUGAUGAGUUGGAAAUUCUAAUCUCACACCAAGUGCAUGAAGGGUGUCCCUUCCAACCCAAUAACAAAAACAAUUCUACAAUUCCCUCAAAAAGAGCCCUUUAUGUCCCUUUCCUCAUCCACCAUUGAAAUGGCAAGUGGUUGGUGCAAAACAAACAACCACAAAACCUCUCAAUUGUACCCCAUCAUUCCAUAGAAAAAGUCUUGACACACUAUGAAUCUCUCUAAUUGCACUCACCCACACUUCAAAAGUGCUCAUAACUAAUACCACCCCACAUUCAUUCACUAACACAUUAUUUAUAUAUCUAUAGCACAUUUUCUUUUACCAACAUGCUAAAAUUUGUCUUUUCAUGAAUCACACUUUGAUGCUUUAAAUAAAGACUAUCACCAAAAUUGAAAAAAACAAAAACAAAAACAAACUACCUAACUAACUAACAAGUAUCAAUGAUUUGUUUGUGACCAAAAAUAUAUAUAUAUAUAUAUAUGUGUGUGUGUGUGUGUGUGUGUGCAUGUGGAUAUAUAUUUGGGGGGUAUUAAAGAGGGACAAGACCAUGUCAUUGUUGUUGUUGCCCAUUCUUUAGGGACCCAACAAGGCACAAAAAGGGAACACUCCAAGGUUGGUCUCUGAUGGGACAUGUUGAAUCACACCCCAUGGACACCAUCAGUCGUGCACCCAUUGGUGCCCAAAGUGUCUGCAGAACUGCCAUCCAUACAUUCAUCCACACAUUCAUCCACCCCUUGGGAUGGGUCUGAGGUUAUAUGUUUCUCGUUCUCUCUGAGUGAGUAUGUAUGUAUGUAUGUAUGUAUGGAGUGAAGAGUAUGUGACAAGACAUAAAGAGAGUAUAUUUUAAAAGAAAUGUAUAAGAGUAGAGCAUGACAGAAUAUAAAAAACAAAACAAAGACAGAGAAGACAACAAAGGCAAAGAAUGAUUGAAAGCAUUAUUUUAUGUUUGGAAUGCAUUCAGUUUGGUGUAAUGUUGUGAGUUACUUGAGAGGACUGGAUCUGAGUUUGGUUGUUUCCAAAUGCAUAAAGUAAAAAUGGGCUUGGCACUCUUUCACAUGUCUUCAAAGUAGUUUCAUUUGAUAAUGAGUUUGAGUUUUAUUUAUUUAUUUAUAUAUAUAUAAAGUUCCUUCAAGAGGGAUUUCACAAUGAAGGAGUUGCAAAAUAUGGCCUUAUUGUGAUUUGACUUUUUACACACAAUGAACUUGGAUGUUAUCAUACAGCAAAUAACACAUCAUGGUAAUGAAAUGAUAUACAAGUAAAAAAAUAAUAAAUAACAAAUAAUAAAAUGCUAAGAAAGAAGAUUAUGCUGAUUUUGUAGUGGAUGAUAAGCAAAUGUAUAAGCUAGGCUUACCUGGCAACAUCAAGAUUGAAUUAAAAUAUACAUGUGAUUUAAAUUGAUACGUGUUCAUUAAAAAUAAAAUAUACAUAUUAUGUGCAAAUUUCAAGUGGAUUAUAUAUAUAUAUAUAUAUAUAUAUUUAUAGUUUUCAAAUGAAUUGAAAGCAUAUUGACAUUCAUAUAAUGAUAUUCAUAAAAAAUCAAUAACUCUUAAUAACUAAAUCAAGAUUUUAGAAUUUGACUUUGUUCUAUGGUUAUUUGUGAUUGAGUAAAGCAUGGCCAAAUGGCUGUUUGUGAUUUGAUAAGAGAUGAUUUCCAUCUUGCCUUCAACACACCACCUCUAAUAAUUGAUGACCUUUGAUAACUAAUAUCUUUUUUUGCAAUAUAUCAAUUAAGAAAAAAAUAUUAAUUAAGAAAAAAAGGGCCCUAUAUAUAUAUAUAUAUAUAUAUAUAUAAUUAAAAUUAAAAUUAUUUUGAAUAAUUUUCUUUUUUAAUAUUUGAUGCUAAUAUUAUCUACUUAUUUUGAGAUUAAGUGAUAGAUUUUUUGUUAUCUCUUUUGUCCAUAUUGCUUCUAUUUUGAUAUCAUAAAUAACAUUUGGUUGUAAAAAAAAUACUUUAUAUCUGAAUUUAUUUAUUUUAUGAUUUUUAUCAUAAUAAAUUAUUUUGGUCUUGAUGGCAUUUGUAUUCUUGAUUAUUGAUUAUUUAAAGAAAAUUGACUCCUUUAUUUUAAUUUUUUUCUCAAAGAAGAAAUGUUAUAAUGUAACUCUUUUACAUUUGAUUCAUACUGAUAUGCACAAUAAACUUUGAAAAUUGAAUUAGAUGCAAAAAAAUUCUGUACAAUCUUCAUUUAAGCUUUUUGUGAAUUUUACAUAGGAGAACUGAAUAUUGUUCUUAUAUAUAUAUAUAUAUAUUUCUUAUUCUUCUAUCGUGAAUUUUUAUUUCUCAUCUAAAUGUUUACAUUAAUAUUUUUAGAUCAUUACUAUAUUUUAGAAAUUAAUACACAUUAUUAACAUAAUGCAUGACACAUAUACGAAGAAGAAAAAGAAAAUCAUAAAUUAGUAUUCUUUAUAAUUUAUUUAGUUGAAUAUAUCUUAAAGUUAUGAAAAAAUAUAUAUAUAUAUAUAUAUAUAUAUAUAUAUAUAUAAUUUAUUUAUUUAUUUUAUUACCACCAUCAAAAGUAUCCAAGACCAGGUACAAAAUUGCUUUUGUAUGUAAGGUCAAAAUAUGACAUUAUUUCAUCAGUUGACCUAACCACCCUUAUAAUUGAUACCAUCUUAUCAAUCACCAUGCAUGCUAAUUGUAUAACUUCUUUCAGUUGACUCAAGCCAUAUUUUUUGGAUAGUAAUGAAAGAACUAUAUUUGGUUUUUUUUAUUGAUUAACAGUGACCUAAAAACUCUUGUUUGAUCUUGUUAAUCUCAAGAAAUUACCAAGUACAAAUGAGUAGAUUAAUACAUGAAAAUCUAAUUAGGACUUAGAGAGAUAGUUUGAUAAAAUAUAUAUCAAUAUUUUUAUACUAUCAUGUGAGUAACUGUUUAUAUUUUUUAAUUUUAAAACGGGUGAAAAUAAUUUAACAUAACCUAUGACAUGAUUACAGUUAUCAGCUAAAUAAUUUAAACUAACAGAAAAAAACUUGACUUAGAGGAAAUUAUUCUUUUAGUUAGUGACUUCAUGCUGUUAAGUAACAUUUAUGUGUGUGUAUAUAUAUAAAUAUAAAUACCAAAAAAAAAAAAAACUUGUAUGAUAUAAAUAACAUAUUUAUUUUUUCACAUGUGCCAAAUACUGUAUAUAACUUUUAUGCAUGAUAUUUGUAUCUUAGACGAGUUUUUCUUUAAGUUCUAUUUAAAAAUCAAAAUCAAAAUCAAAUCAAGAAGUGUCAUAAUAAUUUCCAGUUAUUUCAAUGAACAAUCAUACAAAAGGUCCUUACAGUAAAAUUCUAAUGUUGCCUAUUUUAUUUGUUCUAAUUUUAGUUUUGAAAUUGAAUAUUUUGAAAUAUUUUGAAAUACUUUGAUAAAAUUCAAUUCAACAUUCUAAUUUAAUUCAAUUCAAGGUUAUACUAAAUUCUACUGAUUUUUUUGUAUAAAAAGAAAAAAGACUCUAUUCUAAAAUCCAAUAAUAUAUUCUUAUUUUUAUAACUGUACUAUUCAUCAUAUAAAAUAAUAAGUCUCUUAUCCAUUGGCUAUUUGAUAAAUAUACAUACUCAAAAAUAAGUGACACAGUUUUUUUAAGUUAAGUAUGACAUAAAGAAUUUGUGACUUUUCAAGCUUUGACAUUUAAUUAUGGAUUAUAAAAUAUUUUUUUAAUAACACCUUUGAGGUAUAUAUAUGUAUAUAUAUAUAUAUUGAAUCUUUUCUACAAGGGCUAAUUGAAUUUUUUUUUUUAAUAAACCAAUCUAAAUUACACAUAUCUAAUUUUGACCAAAUAUAUUAAUUAGUUCUCCCAGUUCAUCAAUGUUGAUAUUUAUUUAAUUAAUUCAUUUUAAAGAUUUUUUUUAUAUAAUUCAAGUAUGGAUUUUAUAUUUAGUAAAAUUUAUUGAGGAGUUAUGCUAGAACUUUAAUACCAUGUUUUGUUAAAUUUUAAAAAAUAGAUAAGAUGUUAUUAGAGUCUUUUUUAAUAUGGUUUUAGUAGAGUUUUGAUUUUGACUAUAUACAAAGUUGUUUCAAUGCCACAAUUUCAUUUUAUUUUUUAUUAUCAACUUUAAUUUAAGAAAAAAAACUACUGUAAAUCUAGUAAUCAUGUUUAAAUAUCAUAUGUCAAAAACUUUAGUAAUUUUUUUUAUAAACUCUUAGAAAUAAUUUUUUAUUAAUAUUUGUAUAUUUUAUUUAUAUGUAAUAUUAAUAAAAAAAACUAAUUUAUGCUUUUUUUUACUUUUAUUAUUUAACUUAUAGCAUCUUCUAAGCAUUUUAGCUAUUUUUUCAAAAAUAAAAUGAUCAAUGCAUUCACUUUCUUUAGAUUUGAAAAAAAUACUAUUCAUUACCAUUCUAAAUGUUUUUGAUAAUAUCUUUGUGAUAAGUACAUGUUUUCAUCUAACUUUGUGAUCCACCCAAUCAUAUUACUUAUUGUACUUUCACAUUAAUAUCUUCAAUUAAAAUACUACUUUUUAGGUGACAUUCCUUGGGAUUCAUUAAAGUUUUUUGAAGAUUAUUCUUAAAAGCUCUUAGGGCUUAUCUCAACUUACAAAGCAAAGUUAGAUUUUAAAAUAUUUUUCAAAAAAGUAGAACUUCUCUACAUCCUAGAGUUAUUGGCCUACAAUAGGAUUUUUAAGAUGUUCUUGUACUAUCACAACUUAAUGAAGAAGCAAAGUAUAUGACUUCAAUUUUUACACGUCUUAGAAUUAAAUAAUUAUGAAGUAAAGCAUCUCCAUUGCAUGAUAAUCUAGUAAAAUCUUUUUAAUAUUCUUAACAAUACGUUAGAAUAUACAAUCUUAUAUUCAUUUUACAAUUAUUUUUCAAAGUUUAGAAUAAUUAUAACAAAAUUGCAAGUAAAAAAAUAAUACUUGUAGUAAAACUUUACAUAUAUCUAUGUUAUAUUAUAACUAUUAUAUAUAUAUAUAUAUAUAUAUAUAUAUAUAUAUAUAUGUGUGUGUGUGUGAGUGUGGGUGUGUGUGUGUUUAAAUAUUUAACUAGAAAUAUAUUAUUUUAAAAAAUAAAAAUGAAUCAAAUCAUUUUUUAUUUUUUAAAAUAUCUUUUGAACUUUUCUAUACAAAAUUUGAUGAUAUAUUUUAAUCAAAAAAUAUAUUUUAAUCAAAAAAACAUAUUUUUUCAAUCACAUGUGAUAAGCAAAAAAUAGAAAAUAGAAAAUAAAAUACUAAGUUGGAUUGUUAUUAUUUAUUAUUUAAUAAUUCAAUAAAAAUUUAUACCAUAAUACUAUUUAUAAUAAUAUACAUAUUUAAAGUCUCAAAUAUAUAUAUAUAUAUAUAUAUAUAUUAUCGUUUAGUAAUUUAAUUAUAUUAUUUGCUUUGUUACCUUAAUAUCUAUUUUCUAUAGCUAUUUCAUGAGUUUUUAAUAUAACUCUAAGUCAUUUUUAGUAUAGUAGUGGCUAUAAAGCAAGGAAACGAUUUAAUCAUAUAUUAUUAACUACUUGUAACUAAUACUUAAUAUCAUUAUAUGCUAUUAGUUUAAAGAUAUGUAAAAACUAUUCAAUAAAAAAUACUUUAACAAUAGCUACACCAUUCUAUAAUUGUUAAUACUUCUUAUGUUAUAAUGAAAAAAUAAAAAGAAAAAGAAAAAAAUCCUUAAAUUCUUAUUAUAAGUUUUGACAAAAACAAAUCCCAAAAUAAAUUAAUAAUUUAUCUGUUUUACAAUAAUUUUUUUUAAAAAAAAAAAUAGUUGGAAAUAUUAAUGUUGUUUAAGAUAUUCUGGAGUCUAGAAUUUAUUUAACACAACUAUAAAGCAUACAACUUAUUUCAAAUCUUUUAUUUUUAUAGUAAAAUUAUAAUUAUUUAAUUAUUUAACAUCGGUUAUCUGUUGAAAAUAUCUUUAAAUAUUCCCAAGAAUUUUAAAUUCCCAAAAGAACCUUGCCACUUUGUUGUACAAAGUCAGUACCACCUUUAGAAAUACAAAACCAUUUUGUGUUUGAUGUCAGAAUUGCAUAGACCACAUGAUGAGAUUUGCACAUGGUUGCCUUCACCAUUUUAAAUUAAACCUUGAUUCACAGAUGAACUGACUAAGAUUUAAAUUUUUAUGAAGGCAUGGUAUUUGAAUACAUAUACAUUCAUACAUAAACGAUUUGUGUUAUGUAGGUAUUCUUUGUUUUAUUUGAUUUGCUUUAAAUUUUAGUUCAAUACGAUGAUUAUAUGCCAAUUCUGUUGCAUUGGUGUCUUGAAAAUUCUAUCUGUAAAAGCAUUUCAAAAUUUGCCUUAACACCAUAGGAACAAUGACAACUCAUUCAGUCUUUUCUGUUUGGCAUCUCCACCAAAUUUUAACCACUGCUUUCAGUCAAUCACCAAACAAACAAGGUCUAAUUAUCACCACACUCUCACACACAUGUGCAUAUAUGUAUAUAUCAAAAUAUAACUCUCAAUGCAAAAUUUGUUGUUUGGCAAUUUCAAAUGAUAAGACCCUUAAUCAGCCAAUAUAAUCAAUGCACAUUGAACCCCAAAAUAAAAAUCACAAAAAAACUAAAAAAUCUAAACUAAACUAAAAACAGGCAUGUUAUUAUGGAUGGCAAUACCAGAGAUGAUUAUUAUACAUCCAAGUAUAAACACCUGAGUUAUCUCAUCACACAACCCACUCACAUUUCUUUGGUAUAAACACCCCCAACAUCAUGCAAGAAGCAAAUACAUGGAGAGCACAGUGGUCAAUAAAACCCAAAAAUAAAAAUAAAAACAUAAACAAAACAAGAACUAAACAUAGGUGACCAACAUCUGCAGAGGCAACAAACCACAAAUCCAGUAAGGGAAGGGAAGAGAAGGGCAGUUUCUGUGGGUUCCCAACACUGCCCCCCACAAAACCCAAAGGAAAAGUAAAGUAAGUAAGUAAGUAAAGGGACUAUGCUUCCUUCCUAUCCUUUCAUUCGUCCAUGUUAUGUUAUGUUAUGUUAUAUGUCCCUCCUCCAUAUUCCUGCAUAUUCCUGCAUGUUCUCUGUCUGUCUGUCUUACAACCUGUGCCUCUCUCUCUCUCUCUCUGAGUCUGUCUGCUCGUGUCCAUGAGUGUGAUGCCACUGCUUUCUACCUGAUCCUCUUCUACCCCCUUCCAGCCAGCCCCCCAAAGAUGGCGGUUUUAGCAUCCAGGGGGAAGAGGAAGAGGAACAGGAUGCAUCCUAAGGGAAGGCAGGCAGAGGGACUCUAUCUAAUCUAAUGGCAAGAAGAAGAAGAAGAAAAAGGAUAGAAUAGUGUAGCAUAGUAAGCAAGUAAGUAAAGUGAGUAAAGUAAGAAAGAAAGAUAUCGAAGCUGCUGCAACCAUCUGGGCUGACGAGGAGGGAGGGCUCUUCCUCUGCACCGGGAUGCGUGCCAUUUUAGUUGCCAGGGGGGAGAGUGAGCUUAAGGGAGGGAGGGAAAGUAAGAAAGGUGGCAGGCAGGCAGGCACGGAGACGGGGACGGAGAAGAAGUGCGAGGGAGCGAGCGAUCAGUGCCGAAUUUUCGGCUUGGCUUGGUGCUGUGGUGGUGUUCUUAUUAUUUCUCGUAGUGGAUGGUUUUGGGGCGCUUGAGUAGCAGGGUGUUGUGGGGGAAGGAAGCAGUGGCACUGGUGCUCUACCGUAUUGUGUGCAGGCAGGCAGGCUGUGUGAGUGUGUGUGUGAGUGAGUAUGUGUGUGUGUGUGGCAAAGGGUACAGGCUGCAUCCAUCUAGGCAGCUCUGUUGAUUCUGUAGGGCUUAGUCCUUCUACCUCUCUCUUUCUCUCUCGCUCGCUCGCUCGCUUGCUGUGUAGGGCUGCAUUUGUGUAGGUGAGUACCCAAAUCCCCCAAAAUAGCGCUUCUAGAAGUUGUGUGCUCUAAAGCUGCUGCUGCAUCUCGCGGUGGUGUCAUGGUCGUUAGUGAAGUGGUCGCGUGUUUGUUUCAAUAGUGAUGGAGGUUGGGUUGAUUGGUAGGAGUGUUGGUGUUGUGUGCAGUGGAAUGUGGUUUUGUUGUUUGUGGAGGUGAGAGGUCAGAGAGAGCUCGGGUGGCCUACUAGACUGGCAAUUGUUGUCAGGCAUAGAUGGUGUGCCUGCGGAGGCGUCAUGUGAUGAUGGUGUAGCUGAGGUAGUGAACUCUGUUCAGAGCUUUGUAGCCUGUAGGUUGCGUUGUUUUGGGUGUUUCUGUAGGAAUGAAUGAUGACUGUGGCUUCUGUCUGGUUAUGUGAGUACUCCAUUUGUUUCACUAGGAGAGGCGGGCGGUUUCGGAUUGAUUGUUUUCUGAUUCUGGGGCGUGGAUUGAUGAAAUGAUUGCUCGCAAUCGGUAGUCAGCCUCGUGUUGGCGAUUAUGGUCCUGCGCUAGUCGUGGGAUUGGAAUGCUUGGUAGUUUUCUUAAGGGUGACUGAACGUAUGGGUUGGGUGGGUCCUCCCCAUGUGCAAGCCCUGCGAGGUUGAUCAUUGAACGUUUCGUUCACAGCAGCUGUGUGGUUGCUGCUUUUUUGGCGUUUUCGAUGAAUGCACCAUAGCCUAGCGAGGUCGGCUCACGCCUUGCUCUUGAGCUCUUGGUUUUGGGAUUGAAUUGAUUUUAGGUUGGACGUGAACAGCAGGAUCGGCUUCCUCACACUUCCUUUUUAGCAACCUUCGUGUUCUUGAGGUUACUAACAAUCGCCUCCCGAGAGUUCAAUUCCUUUCCCUUGUGAGCUAGUUGUGUAUGAAACACCGUUUUGGGAAAACAUUUUGGCGGAAUUGACACGGUUUGGAGUGCACGUCGGGAGAUAUGGUCUUUCUCGAAGCUUCAAUGACACCACCUAAAACUUAAUCACAAGCCAGGAAAUUCCUGCAGACAUCUAAGAAACACGUGAUAGAUCUGGUUGCUUCAGAGCACUAGGGUUCAAGGACCUCUGCAACGUUGCCAGCGCAGUUGGGUGUUACCAAUGGGAAGUGCUCUUAUGAAAUAUCACUGUGGGUCCUUUGGUCUAGGAGUUUGCUGAAGGAUAAAUUUAACUGGGAAAUCGUUUAACGAAGAAGGGUCUGAAAGCCAGCGCACGGUUUCCGAAAGCCAGCACACGAAGUGUCCGGCCCCUUUGUUUUCAACCGAUUUUGUUUGUCUCUUUAGGCACCAGUCUUUCUACCUUUCAAGCUAUAGUAGGCUUGCUCGCUUAUAUCUUUUAAAGAAAAGCCUUUCAGAAGCUUUCGUACUUCCUGUGGGGUCGUUGUGAGAUGCUUUCACUAUCCUUUGAUUGUUUCCUCGUCCUUUUCUUCUCUCAGAUGUGUUCUGCAGACUGAUUGAGAUUUUAUUUACUCCAAUUAGCAGUGCUGGCCCGGUAGAAGCUGACACUGGAAAUGACAUAAGGCUGAGUGUACUAGAAAUGUGGCUGGAGCUAAGUGCCGUGAGUUCUAGAUUGAUGUGUCCAUCUGUUCUGGAGACACUAUUGUGUACCAGCGUACAUUGUCAGGGGUCAGGUCACUCUGGUGCAGUCAGUGGGAUUGUGCCUCUCCUGCCUAAUUAAAUGAGACGUUCGAGAAAGUGUAAGUUGUGAGACUAGCAAUUAUGCUAUAGAUGAAUUUUUGGUUGUGCCCUGUCUAAAAUGCUACGUUGCAAGUCCCCUCCGUUUGAUAGUUUACUUUGUAACGUAAAUCACAUUAGAGCUCUCCUUAUCUCCUUAACUGAGUGUGUUGUUGUGUAGAAUAUGUUGGAGGAGGCUAUCGGAUGGUAUCAAGAGGGAGUUGUAGUUAGCGCAGACUUUGCUUCUACAUCUUGUUCCAUCUUCGGGUCAAUUUUGCAACAACCGAUACGACUAUUCCAAUCUUUACUGCAUUCCGUUGUGAGUGAUUUCCCUAUUUGCAAGGAUCUCAUAUUUGUGUCGAAAGAAGGCAUGCAAUCUCUAUGUCUACCAGCGCUUACU
This 95901-nucleotide long non-coding RNA is filed under the name Physcomitrium patens. Its description in RNAcentral is "long non-coding RNA (PPAT_LNC007733)". Lineage: Eukaryota; Viridiplantae; Streptophyta; Bryopsida; Funariales; Funariaceae. The record is from RNAcentral.